Molecule: long non-coding RNA, 108161 nt
Filed under: Sorghum bicolor (sorghum)
Lineage: Eukaryota; Viridiplantae; Streptophyta; Magnoliopsida; Poales; Poaceae
Description: long non-coding RNA (SBIC_LNC016415)
Rfam family: Plant small nucleolar RNA R71 (bases 78138-78244)
Source: RNAcentral
GUGGGAAGAGUACUUGAUCUAAAGUCUAAGUCAUUAACGGAUAGGAUAUGGGAAGGUUCAGCUGUUGUUAUCUGUUUCUAGAGAUGCUAGAAUUCUGGAGAAUUUUAUCUUUGAAAAUCUUUAAAAUGUUGCAUGAUGAGUUCCUGUAUGAUGAGAGUUUAAAUUGCUACCACAGCCAUAUAUACAUGCUUACUAGAUUAAGAGACACUCAUUUACUUUUUACUGCUUAUGAGCAUUGAGUGUGGUCAAGCUGUGUAGACCUCUAGGAGCUUGUCAUGCAGUUAAAAUCAAGAUUCACUUGCACAUCCACUCAUACAUGCUACUUCUACUCCGGAAGUAUGCAUCCACAUACAUCCACUCACUUCCAUCUCCAGAUUCACCCAAAAUUAUUCUACUCCAAGUCCGAGAGAGAAUAGCCAAAAACAUUCUCCUAUCCCUGUUAUUCCCUGUGAAAUAAAUGGUCCAAUUAUUUUGGUUACUACCACUUGCUACAUUAUUCCAGGAGGAUAAAUGCUCAGAAAAAAAUUGAAUACGAGGAACUAAAAAGGGGCAAGUGCUCGAAACCUCGAAGAAAAAAAAGUGAGAUGAGAGGUAAAAAAUGGACAAGUGUCCGAUAGUAGAACUAGGGGUACAAGAUACCCACUUGAGAGAAAAGAAAAAGAAAAUUUAGAGCAUCUCAUUCUCCUCAAAAAGCUUCAAAGUGCAAGAAAGGUAUGUAUCCCCUCAAAAGAGCAAAAGUAGAAUUAGACUUUCACCAUACACCAUUCAUUCACCACACAUGCACAUCUUGAUUUGACUUAUUGACUUGUUUCUCUGGAUCCAUAGUUUGACUAUGCAAUAAAUAUCUUAUAAGUAUGUAUUCUUUAUCUCCCACCUAUGAGCUCUAGUUAUAAAGCCUUAUUAGAGUAGGGUGAGAGAGUAAGACAAUGUCACUAUGCCUCAUACCAGAAAUACCAUAUACUUUGAGAGAAGGCAUAUACCAUUACUGCCUUGGUAAGGAUCCAGAAAUACAACAAAAGAGAGAUUUGAGAGAGUCAUACAAGGAAUCUCUAAGUUUUAUUUGAAAAUCUGCAAAACUCCAAAGCUAUAGUUGAUCAAAGAACAAGAGUCAUGACGCUUGACUUGACCGUUCUAUCUUUUAACUGCUCAAGACACAAGUGACGAUUGCAAGCCCCAUGGUGGAAGGUAAAAUGAGUAAGUUUUAAGUCUUAACAGUUUGCUCUAACUCAGAGAUGAGACCUUGUUUGAAAGCAUGUGUACCAUCAAUAUACUAAGGCAUUACAACAACUCCUGAUCCAUCAUUGAGUCUAUCCUUUCUUAGGGACGAGCAAGAGGUAAGCUUGGGGGAGUUUGUUGACGGUCCUUAAGUAUCAAAUUUAAUCAUCGAAUAAAUAAAGAAAAGGAUCUAAAUGUAACCAACACCCAGACUUACGGUUUUAUCUGACAGAAUUCCACAAGUUUUGGUGUUUGUCUAUUUCUGCAAGGGUUAUCAGGAAAUAUGGAGGAAUAACCCACAUGUCGGGUUUACAUAGAGAUAUUAACGUGUGCGGCAAUUUUCCAUCAUCUAGAAGACUCCAGAAGCCACGGAAACGAGCGGGAGGAUGAGUGGGCCCAGGGGUAGGGCGCCCGCCCUCCCCCCUAGGGUGCCCGCCCUAGACUGAGAGCCAAUCAGGCUCCACCUCGAGGAUUAUGCUCCACCGACCUAAGGGAUCAAGAAGAACCACGCGAUUAAGGUCGGUUUGAUCUGACGGCCCAUGUUCAUUUGGGAGGGCUAUAUAAGCAAGGCCCCUGGCCCCUGGAGGAGAGAAACUCUCAAACCCUAAUUCAUUCAUUCGUCCAAGGAGAAGAGCCUCUGAUCAAGCCCUAGAGCCACCACUUCAACUAGAUCUCUAGUUUACGAUAGCUACAUAGGAUUAGAACUAGAAGGAGUCAAUCUUUGAUUGGUUUCUAGAUCUGUCAAGAGGAUUCUUGGUAAUUCCUCUAUUGUUCUUCAUUUGUUCUUCAUUGUUCUUCAAUAUUAUGAAUAUGACUUUGCUCUAUUUCAAUAUAUUGAUUAUGACUUUGCCCUACUUGUUUAUAUUUGCAAUUAUAUCAUUCUUAGUUUAUCGUAGUUAUAUACUUGGCUUAGUUAGAUUGGAAUUAUAUACAUGCUUAGGAUCAUAUAGCGUUUAUCCAUGUGUACAGUGGGUAAAUGAUAAGUAUUGUGUAGGCGUGGUGUCUAUACCGUAUUUAUCUACGAUUGUACUCUAUAUGCCGGAUCGUGGGGUGGUUCACGAUGGUGACAGCUCCGUUGAUUCUUAUAUAGUCCCCCUCCCAUGUAUAGGGUAGGCAGAGCAAUAUUAUUACAGGGGAGUGAUUGCUAUGUUUCUCAUCUUCCUUAAUAAUAUCACUAUGCAUGGGCGUAAUCUUGUCUCGCAAUGAUUGCCAAGUAUAAUUGCACUAACUAUGAUAUGCUAGACUUUAUAGUUAAGAAUAGCUUAGGAAAUAUUCUUGUAGUUCAUCCUGAUUCCAUGCUAUUGACUUGCUAGAAUAUCUGUUGAGGUGCUAAUCAUUAUCAUUUGUGGCUAGUGAUGCUGAUCAGAAUAGUUAUCUUUGUCACCAUUCAUAUUUUAUCUAUAUUUUAGGUGACACUUACCCCUGUAUUGAUGAGAUAGAUGAAUGCUCUCUAUUACACAUGCAAUGAUACUCAGUUCCAUAUUUUAUUCCAUCAUUAUUAGCAAUCCCUUCCUAGUGGUAGAAAUAUAAAUAACGAUACCUAGAAUACUUUCCGGUUAAAAUGCUACAUCAGUAUUAAUGUGUGCGCUUGCAGAUCCCAUUUAUUAUUUAUCUAGAUGAGCAAUUGCAUAUUUCAAUACCGCGUCUCUCAUGUCAUGCUAGGGAUGACAACUUGGUUUAAGUCAUGAGGGAUGGGUUCGGCAUUUUUGGCACCGUUAUCAUAAAUAGAAAACUAAGUCUACUUUUGGUAAUGAUGUUAAGAAUGCCCAAUACAUACCACUGCAUGUUUACUUUGAAUCAUCCAUGCAUCCACUUUAUUUAGUUUUCUCAUCCACAUCAUGUUUAGUUCCUUGCAUGCAUACAAUUCAUCUGCAUCUAAAAAUAUAAUAAUAUUUCUCAUUGCGAUCAUACUCUAUCAUCACUAUUGAGUAAAUCUCUAUAAUGCUCUCAUGCUACCUUUGUUUGCUAUAGUAUGCAUAGGCUUUGAAGUAGUUUCAUACAUCUCUUAAAUGAAGCAUGGUGCCUAGUUUAGGAGUGGUGAUCUUACAUUCAAAAGGAUUUUUAAAUUAAGCGUGGUGCUUAGGUUAAAAUGCCUUCGUGAAUCAAAUUAGACACGGUGCCUAGGUUGAUUUUUGAGCUGAUAGUAUGAUAUAUUAGAUAUUGGAAUAUUUUUGUUGGACUAACCCCUAUAGGAAAAUCUCAAAUAUAAAUUGGGACAGUCCUGAGAUGAACUCAUACUAGAGAUGAAGGGAGACACAACUCACACGUAGCCAAGUAGAAAGAAGGGUGCCACGAAACAUGAUCCAUGAUCAAAGCACUCACUCUAUGGAGUUGCAUUCUCUUGUCAACCACUAAUUAUCAGGAAUCAAGAAAAGAUUGACAAGAGAAAAGCAUGCAACGUUCUGCACUCUCACCUCUGAGGUUGAGAAGCUGAGACAUGAGGAAGAGAAGGUCAACUCCUCUAGAUGAUCCAACCAAGUUCUUCCUCAUCGCUCCACACGUUGGUUUGCAAUCUCUAUAUUUACUACUACAUUAUUACUAUAAGUUUAAGUUGAUCCACAAUGCCUAUAUUUAAGAAUCAAAACAUGAGAUGGAAAAAUAAAAUUAAUCCUUUAGAAAUAAGUAAUUGUGAAUAAUAAAUGUGCUAUGCUAAGUAUGUUAAAACAAUUUCUUUUGUAGAAUAGGAAGUGACCCUUAGCUUUGUGUUACAACAAUGCCCUUGUCAUUACUUGUAUACUCCUUCGGUAUGUGUUGUCCACUAAUGAUUUGUAGGGAUAAAAUAACAAGAAGAGCUAAAGGUCAAAGCACAAAUAAGACAGAGAACAAUUAAUGGCAAGAAAGGAGUACAACAAAGCAGACAAGAUAGCCAAGCAAGGAAUGUUUCCACAAGAUGUUACGACUUCCACAUGUUUCAAUACUAAAGGUAACAUCUCUUGGUAAGUGAUCAUUACUUCCAAAAUAUCCUCGAUUUUGGCACUCACAUAAGUAGAGAGCCCAACAUGUUUUGAGUUACAACCUUAUUUGAUCCAAUCUAAUUAGCUCAACAUGUUUAGUUCUUUAUGCUUGUUCCUAAGAAUCACUUUCUUGAUCCUGUAGUUUUUAAUUCAAUAAUCUGAAAUAUUGCACAUCCUAUCUUUGGAAGAUGAUAGUCAUAAUUAUGAAGUUAAAUGCAUAGAUAGAACAUCCUUCCAUAAUGUUGAAUAAUCUGAUCGGCCAAGUGUUUUAAUGCUACAAGCUUGCUAAUCAUUUGUUCCUAUCACCCAUGUUUAGAUUGAGCAAAACACAUAAACAUCAACUUUAUCUCAUUCAAUGUGCCAAAGGCUAGAGUUUAAUGAAUAAACCUUUUGGUUCUAUUGGUGUUUUCCCACCAACAAAGCCCAUGCACAUGAUCUCUGCCUUGUCUCUAUGAGCAGGACACACUUUAGUCAACUCCUCGAGAAUCCUACAAGUGAAGAUUCUAGACCUAUGAACAUGCACACUGAGCGAAGAUGUUGCUAGCUCCUAGAACUAGUACUUGACUCCAACCCGUUGGAGAAGCAAUAAACAUAGGUGACACCAUCUCAAGGGGUGCAAUUAUUAUGGUCUCCACCUUUGGGACCAGAUAAAGCACCUAAGAAUUAACAUGGUAAGAGGUCCUGUUCGGAGGACUUAAAAUCACCGAACACCAUGCCAAGAGGUAACUUGGUAUUUAUCUACAUUUUCCUUUAAGCAUAUUUAUUUUUCUUAACUACAUUAGUAGUUGCAUCUUUAUUGUGUACGCAUUAGAAAAGAAAAUAAAUAUGUACUGCAUUGCAUUUAGAAACCUACUAAGCCCCAUGUAUUUAGUAUGUGAUGCAACAGCUUACGUACUUAUCUACUAUGGUGGCACAAAAAUAAGUUUUAGCAUAUUUAUUUUCCUGGUCUGCAUACUAUAAAUAUGAAAAGUAUUAAAAAAAUAUAUUGAUCCUGCUAAAAGAUAAAUGGGUAUAAAGCUUAGAGGUUUAUUACUAACGCUUAAUCAGUUCCACAAGCUUUGUUGUCUAUUUGAGCUUCAUAGGCUUCAACGGACCAAAAAGAACUAACAGGUAGAAGGACGUCCUGUGCCCUGUCAGAGUACUGUUCGCACGAGGCAAGUGCUAUUGCUAACAACAAGUACCUAUGAUACUUUAGGAGGAUCAGUACGCCUUCACUGCCCGUCAGCAAUCUCAACAAACUAAUACGGCUCGAAGCUGAGCCGCUCCCCAUGCCCAGGCUGCAACCUAGGCCUGGGCCGAGAAUUCCCACACCCGUCUGGGUUUAAUCUAGCCCAUCCAGUCUCAGGCGAUUGUUGGUAUUUAUUAACGUAAAUAGAAAAGAUUCGCAAGCUCAUGGAUACCAUUGUUGCUUUCACUCAGAAGGUUUUGAAUAUCGUGUCCAUAGGGAAACAUGUGAGUCAACUAUGUACUACUUAACUAUAAAAGGUUAAUGAGUUGGAAAUAUAAACUAUGCUAGGGACAAGAUCUAAAGUGGAAACAAGAUUAAAACGUAGGGGAGCAUCAAUCUAGUAUGGGGUCGAUAGUAGGAGUAUAGAGAGGAUAACUCGAUCAGGGUUUUACUUCUAACUCAGGCUGUCCAUGUCUUCUACUAUUCAACUGGGGAAUUACUAUGGAAGACUGCAAAUAUAGUAUGAAUCUACCAUGUAAGGAGUAACUACUCCUAGGAGUAUAAAAAAUGCACCCUAUAUAUAUAUAACUCUCUACAUCUACAUUAACUAGCAAUAUGGUACUAACUGAUGUUGCACCUUCUACCUCCCCUAAUAGGCCUAAAUAAAUAUGAAAGCCUAUUAAUAAAUAAAGACAUGGGCCUUGAGUGUUAAAAAAAUGAUAGAUUUAUGAUUUUUGGGAUUAAUUAAUUUCAUGGAUAAAAUAAUUGUAGAAAAGUCUAGAAUUAUUAUUUAAGCCAUGAAAAAUACUCCAAAAACUCUGAAAAUCCGUAGCAAAUUCUCAGAGACAUUACAGAACAUGAGGAAAUCAAAUAAAGUAUUUGAAGCUAGAUUAGAUUAUCUAAAAAUUAGAUUAUGCUCACAGAAAAAUUGGAACAAGUUCUAUAAAAACUAAAAUAAUUAUAGAUAGGUUUUUAGAGAUUGAUAGACGAAUGAGGAAGUGAAAGAGUGAUUGGCGACAAAGAAAAGAUUUAUUUGGAAAUGUUCUAAUGAAAACUUAAUCUGAGAAACAAGAAAUUUGAUUAUAGAUAAAGAUAAAGACGUACCGAUCAAGGAAGAUCGAUCUACUAAACUCAUUUUAAAAACUUUGCUCACUCUCAACACACAAAGGAGCAACAAGCAAACAUUACAUCAAAUCUUAUGCACCAACAUGUAUGCACAACAAUAUUGCUAAGCCUUAUGAUAAAUUUUUUAUAUAUGAAAAAAUAUUAUUUUUCCUAUAUUUCCAUGAACACAAAAAUACAAAAUUAAAUCAAUUUACAUCUAUUUUGGAACGAGCAAAUUUUAGGGCGUUACAAUUCUACCCCCUUAAGAUGAAUCUUGUCCUCGAGAUUUGGAAGACGGUGAUAAAAGAGAUAUAGAUUUUAAAUCUUGUUCACUUCCUUGAGUAGUUAUAUCUUCAUAACAAUGAUUCCACUGCCUUACUCCAAGUAGCCUGCUCAAAUAUUCCUAAAUUAUUAACGAGACACCUAGUGUAAUAGUUAUGAUCCUUCUUUAAACUUAUUUCUUCAAGGGUAUUUUUUCUUAAGUACUACCAACCAUUCCUCCAACUUUGUCAUGUGGACACCUCAGGUACUCCGAGCUCACUCUCGGGUAACUUCAAUUACAAGGCUACUUCUCUUUAACUUUUUAGUCCAUGUUAGUAACACAAGAAGGAUAGAUGAUCAUAAUCAUAAGAUAUCUCAAGAGACAAUUAUCACUUCAAGAUAGAUUAGAAAAACAUCAACAUGUGAAAUCAAAUUACAACCCCCCUUAAAAUGAGAUUGACUAGAGGACACUAGGGACUAGUUUCUAUAACCUUUUUAGGCACUACACAUCAUAUUGUCUUUUAAAUUGACUCUACUGAGUCUCUUGAUCCAAGGUCAGUUUCAUCACCAAGUUCCAACUAUUAGUACCUUUAUCACAGUUAAGUUUCUUCACUCUCACAUCCUAUAUAUAAAUUUAUAAACUUUGGUGUCAUCUGAUCCUCAUAAGCAUAACUCCCAAUCUAUGAGUAUCAGCCAUGACAUAUACCUCCAUUAAUAUUCUCCAAGUGGGACAAUAUCUUGAAACAAAACCAAACUUACCAAACACUUGAGAUCCUUACACACGAUCCAACUUUUACGAGUCCUUCCCGUAACUCCUUAAACUAGGCUACCACCUUAAGAAAAGGUCAACUAGGGGACACAAGAAGGGUAGCUUGCACUUUUUUCACACAAGUUUACUAGCAUUCACUAGUACAUUGGCACACUAUACAGGCGGUUGGUAACAUAUUUCUACAGGCGUUUUUCGGAUCCGCCUGCGCUGGAGGUCAGUAGAAAUCGUCCAUUUCCACAGGCGGUCGCUUGAGAGCCGCCAGUAGAAAUAUUUUACAUAGGCGGCUCUCUUAGGGAACCGCCUGUGUAAAUGUUCAUUUACAUAGGCGGUUCCCUAAGAGAGCCGCAUGUGUAAACCUAUUAAAAUAUGUAUUAUUUAUUUAUUUAUUUUUAUUUAUUAUUUUAUUGUUAUUAUUUAAAUAUAUUGAUAUUGGUUGGUCUUCUAACAUAGCAACAUGUAAUUUAAAUACUUCAUCUCAUACAUACAUUUGUAUACAUCAAAGUUUGGUGCUCAAAGACAUAAAGUUAAUUACAAGAGUAUAUCCAUCAUCACACAUCAUAUAUAUAUAUAUACAUCAAAGUUUGUUUCUGUCCUCUAAUAACCCUCUUUAGUAAGUUUGAGCUUACUAAUCUCUGUUAGCACUCGGAACUGUGGCCUGGAUAAUUGGCUUUCAUCAUCAUGAUAUUUGCCUUCACAUGGAAUGACAUGCUUCAUGAUGAACGAGCAGAUGUCCUCAACUAUGUUGUCUAAAGCACGUUCGUCCAUACGCUCCGCCAUCCCUUGCUUAUAUACCUGCAAAGAUGUUGAGAGGCAAACAUGUUAAGAGGCAUUAUCCAACCAUAUUAAACAACCCCAUCUAACCAUAUCAACAAAUCAAGACAAAAAAGCUAGCUAUUCUUCUCUCUCACUUGGUGAAACCCUAGAUCCAAAAAGUGGCUCAAACUGAGCUAGAAUGAGCAAAUUGAGGCAAUAGGGACAUAAACUAACCUGUUUUAGCAACCUCCUUCCUAGAAAUAAAGAUCAAAACCUCCCCCCUUGUAUUUUGAGAAAUCUGGAACUCCAAAAUGGAAGGUGGGUGCGAGAUACUGUGUUCUGGUCAGGGAGGAAGAAGGGGUAUUUAUACAGAGAUAACACAGGCGGUUGCUUAAGUCAACCGCCUGUGGAAAUAGUUUAUCACAAGCGGUUGACUUAAGCCAACCGCCAGUGUAAAUGUACACUGGCGGUUGGCUUAAGUCAACCGCCUGUGAUAAUCGUUUCCACAGGCGGCCGAAAAUCUCUGACACCGCCCGAUUUAUACCACAGGCGCAUCGUAACUGGAACCGCCUGUGGUAUAAAAAGGGGGCGCCAGCUAUGAGUCUCUUUCUACUAGUGAUGGAGACCUUCUGACAUCCAAAGAACUUAUGUGUAAGGGAAGAAAUAAAUAUCCUGUCACACCCAUAUUUGAAGAACAAAAUAGGAUGCAUAAAAGACUGAUAUGUGCCCCAGAAACAGUCGCACACAUAAGUAGACAAAUCUCAAAUAUACCAUUGCAGUGUUUAUUACAUAGCGGAACGAUAAUAAAUCACAUAAUCUUAUACAAUAAUGAUAAUAAACAACACCCUCGACGAAAGCACAACACAGGGACACUGUUGACUGGUUGACUCCAAGCCUAGUACUCAUAACGAUAGUCCUCAUUCCAAUCAUCAUCAUUAGCGUAACCUGGGGUGUUGGAAAAUUGCAAGAGUGAGCAAAUAUCAUACUCAACAAGUAUAACCAGGGGUUCAUGAGGCUCAAAUAGCUGACACUAGUUUGACUGCAUUUAGCUUUUAAUAGUGGAUAGCAUGUUCAUAAUUAGAUAGCAAAUGUCAAGGUAGCAUAAAUAAUCCAAUAAUCACAUGAACAAGUGUAAGCAUAAUUAAUUAAUAGCAUAAACAAUAAUUAAAUGAUCAUAAUAACAUAAUAAGCUCAUCAUCUUAAUGUAGAUGUCCCCAAGGCCACUCCUAACCAUGAGCUCGGCUAGUAUACUAGUUUUUAACACUCUGCAGAGGUUGUACAUCUUUACCCAUGAGUCAUAAUUUAUCCUUUCGCCCGAGGCUCGUCGACCUCUUAACCCACUACCAAGGAAGGUCGGCAGGGAUCACUAUGAAGCGUUUCAAAAGUCUGUCUAACAUGUUAGGGCCACAAGGUUUCCUCGGUGAGCAGAUAUAGAUGCCCCCCUUCCAAAUGGCACAAUGACGCGUAGACUAUACACAUAAGGACAGAGGCUCGCACUAUACCUGUGUCGGCAAGCCCCUCUAGCACCCUUACGGAUAACCUCUAACAAGAUAGAAAAGGUCUUCAUAAUGAGCUAAAACCAGAGCCAUUAUAGCCCUCAUGGUUGCACUGUUGUCCCGGGUGAUCACGUACAGACAAGAUCUCAUAAAGUUAUUUGUCAUCCUUUUAUGUCCAUUGCAUAGCUAUUAAUCAUCUUACAAGAUCAUGGAUUAUAUCAAGCACUAGCAAAAUUACACCAAAUGCAUAUCAAGUAGGUAACAUGGAAUCCAGGUAACAAAUAUCUAUGAUUUUGCUAAGGUCGACAAGGUGGAAACAUGCAUAUGAUAUAUAUGUGUAUUUAUAAGUGUAUAGGUAACAAGGAUGAUCCCAAGUUAUACUUGCCUUGAUCAAAGCUCUCCUAAGCCUGUUGCUGGUCUUCAAAAGAUUGACCUUGAUCACCAACGUAUCGCUCACCGUCUAUACCCGAUCAUCAAUCAACAACACGCAAUCCAAUGUAGACAAUCAUACAUGAAGCAAAUAAGAUAUAAUUAGAACAAUACACCAAACAAUAGUAAAACAAAUAUAAAAGAUUAUCAAAAUAUUCUAUGCAGUGCUACGAUCACACAAACGUAAAGUUCACGAAAAUCAGAAUUAAAACGUAGAAGUUAUGAAUUUUCUGAGAUUUCCUAUAGAUAAAUAAUUAAUUAAAUUCUACUGCGAAAAUAGAAAGUUUCAAACAGAGAAUUAAUACUUCUAACGUGUAAAGCUCGUAAAUACGAAUCUAACGAAAUUUGAAUGGACAAAAAUGGAGUUAAAACGAAUAUUUUAUGAGCUAUUUAAAUUUAGUGGCAAUUUUGUAAUUACUGGAAAGCGUAUUUUGCUCAAACCGGCCAGGUUUACGCUUUCGGAAUUGGAAAGCGAAUUCUUGCUCAGGGCGCCAAGGACCGCGGGUUGAAUUUCCAGACUCCACAAGGACUCUUUAGCAAAUUAGCCGGACGAAAGGGUAACUUCUUUUCUCAGCCGUUGAUCUUCCAUCCGGCGGUUGAGACCACUCCUGGGCGCUACCGGGGCCGACGGCCGGCCGGGCGCGAGCGCCGGCGCGGUGGCGCCAUUGCCACCGCCGCAGAGCCCACCGGAGCUCUCCGUUUCCGUGUUUCCGAGCACCAAAAAUGAAACCAAGAGCAUGGAGAGGUAGAGGAGAACGUGGCGAGCUCACCUAGGAUCUCGGGCCGAGGACAAGGAGAGAGAGAUCGGGUCGUGGUGGAGGUUUUUGGCGAGAUCCAAAACCCGAUGAACGUGAUGGCUACGGCUCCCGGGAUGCGGGAAACGACAAAGGGAGGUCGCAGGGAGAUUCCUUGAGCCUUUAUAUGGGCUUGGUGCACAAGAUAGCAAGGAGAUCCCGGGGUUUUCAGGAUCGAAAUGGCCGGCAGGGAGGAGUUUGUCUCGGUUACGAACCGAGGAAGGAGAGGGAGACGCUGCGCUGACAAGUGGGGCCCGAGCGCCAGAGAGAGACGGCGCCCGGCUGCCAGUCAAAGAAGGAGAGAGGGAGGGAGUGCGCGCGCACGGCCUGGGCUGAUUGGGCCGCUACGAGCGGGCUGGGGGCGGGGGAAAAAGAAAGCCAGGCUGGGGGAGGGGGAGUGGGCCGAGCGAGUGGGGGAAGAGAAGGGGGAGAGGGGAGCUGGGCUGGCUGGGGUUUUUUUUUCUUUUUUUUCUUUCUUUUAUUUUCCAAAGCAUUUUCACAAGUGAAUUUGAAUCCUUUUAAAAGAAUUAGACCAAAACACACAACACAAAAAUAAUUAUGCUCCGGCAUGAAUGCACAAUCAAGGUUAUUAAACCUAUGAUAAAUUUUAUUUUUCAACAAAAAAUAUUUAUUCACUAAAUUAAAUGCUCACAAAAAUACUUAAUUAAAUCAAAUUAAUUUCUAUUAAUUAAAAUAAAAUUUUUGGGUGUUACAUAUCCUGAAAUGUCCUUGCGAUAUGAAAACACCAGCGUAGUAAAACAGGUAUAACUCUUAUUUUGUCAAUCCAAUAGAGUUGUAGCUAAUACCGUUAGAAAACUUAUGAAAGUCCCUACAACUUUCAUAUAGAAGACAUCCUUAGGUUAUGUCUUUAAGCUUAGGUAAAACAUCCAACCAUAAUAUCCAUCCCGACAAUGUCUUAGCACAGAUGCAGUAACUUGCAGAAGUCAUAUCUCAAGAUACUUAAAACAUAUGGUGACGAUCCUUACGUUGCUGAAAAUCUUAUGAAAUCCUCUACAACUUUCGUAUACAACCUUUUCAUAGAUUCCGAAGCUAAGUUGACUGAAUAUAGGAAAUAUCAUAUGUGUCCAGACUUUUAAACAAAGCAGAAACAUCCAAUUGUAAGUGUAAUAUCUCAGGCUCCACUUAUCCGAUAAAAUUCCAGCUUACACCGUUGGAAAGCUUAGACAAUUUUCUACAACUUUGCUAUAGAGCACUUUUCCAAAUUCUGUAGUUACAAUGGUCUAAAAUAGUAAGACACUGAAACUGGUCCAGGUCCUUGACAGACAACGGUAUCAUCUUGUGAUUUUCAUAACUCCAAUUCCAAAAUAGCUAUGGUGGUGAUUCUUGCGGUGGUAGAAAGAUCUUGAAGUCUACUAUCAUCCAGAAUGUUCUCAUGAUUUUUGGUCAUCCAAGAACAGGGAUAUAACCCAAUCAAGACAGUACUCUAGAAAGAUUGGAUUAAUAUAACAGGAGAAACCAAAACCCGACUACUUAUUUCAUUAAUCCUUAUACCUUAGACCUAUAAACUAAAUGAAAUUGUGGAGAAAACCUACAAAAUCAUUGCACAUAUUUCAAAGAUCCAAAUCAAGCAUAAGCAUAAUGAUAAACCAUCUAAGCACAAAAGGCUCACACUUCAAACAUUGACUCAACUUGCGAUACUAUCGUUCUCUUCAUACUAAGGGUAAAGAUACUUAAGCUCCUCUUUCAAAGAUGCAAGGAGGUGAUAAAAAAAGAUUCUAAAAGCAUUUCGAAGCAAGAAGUGAAGAUGAGAACAAGGAUUUUUAAAAUAAGCAACAAGAUAGAGAGGAAUAGCAAGGGUGGAGAUAUAGUAUAGAGGAAAAUACCAAGGUUUAUAGAGCAAGGGUGUUAUAAUAAUUUCAAAACCUUAAGACAGACAAUUUCAAACUAGGCUUGCGUCCUACAGUCAACAUUGCUUUGAUACUACUUUGUAAUACCAAAUUUUAAGGUCAAAAUCAGAUAUGCACCAUAUGUGAGCUUUAGAAGUCAAAUCUCACAUAUAGCUACAAGUAAGGGGUAAUAUCAAAAGAUAAUGCAUAAAAUAUAUAACAUACUUAGUACAUCAGAGAUAACCUUAUGUAGCAAACAACAAAAAAUACUCCAAACUUUGGGUAUCAACUCCACUCUACAGGAUCUAAACUGACUGGUUGAUCACAAGCCUAAACUCCUACUGAAGUAUGGAGGAAAUAGCAAGAGUGAGUCCAUGUCGAACUCGACAAGUAUAGCAAUAAGAUUAUAUAGAUUCCACAAUCUUAUGAUCAAUGUGACAUAAAUAAUGUAGAGCAUUAAAUAAUAAACAAUGAGUAUCUUAACACAAUAAGAAUCAUCACCCUUAAUGUACAUGUCCCCAAGGCCGCUCGUGACCAUGAGCACAACUAGUAUACUAGUUUUAAACACUCUGCAGAGGUUGAACAUCUUUACCCAUGAGUCAUGAUUUACCCUUUCGCCCGAGGUCGCGAGUCUCUUAACCCCUUCCAAGGGAGGUCGGCAGGGAUCACUAUGAAGUCUUUCAAAGGUUUCGUCUAACAUGUUAGGGCCAUUAGAUUCACUCAGCAGGCAGAUAUAGAGCCCUCCUUCCAUGCCACAUAACACGCAGCCUAUACAUAGGGACAGAGGCCGCACUAUACCCAAUGUGUCUAGCCAUUAUUACACCAUUUAAGGUAACUGCUAACAAGCUAGAAAAUAGAUCCUCAUACUGAGCUAAAGCCAGAGCCAUUAUAGCCCUCAUGGUUGUAGGAAUCCUCAAGUUGCUAAAAAGUCAAUUUUAUCGUUUGUUGCUUAAACAUUAAUCAAGUCACAAAAUCAUAGCCAUAGAAAUAAAAGUCAAAUGCUAUACUUGCCUUAAUCCAAGUUUUCCCGCUGCUCUUGCUGAUCCUGCUGGUUGCCAAGGUACUAAUCUUGAUCACUAAAAUACUGCUCACUGUUUAUACCCGAUCAUCAAUCAUCAACACACAAACAAUCGAAGCCAAACAUACCCAAUGUAAACAAAGCUACAAUUAGAACAGUAUACCAAUCAAUAAAAGGAUUUAGAAACUAAUCUACGCAUUGCUAUGAAUAAACAGACGCGAAAAGCACUCUAAUCAGAGAUAUAGUGAAAAAGAAAUAACUACCAAAAGAUUUACAAGAGUAAAUGCUAUGUGCUUGUUAUUUUAAUUACAAAAUCAUGCGAAGGUUAUUUAGUCAUUUUACAUUUUAAUUGAAAAGCCGAGUUACUAGUCAAAUUUGCAAACAUGUCUCAUAUUAUUUAAGUAAUUUGAACCUUACUUUAAAAUAGAAAUAAUCUAGUGAGAGCAUCGAUCUGCAGGUUCAAACUAAGCACAUUGUAUUUACGUAAUGAAAACAUAGUUAAGUUAGUAUUAAUAAAAUUAACAUUUAUUAUAAAAGAGUUGUGUAGAACCUAUAUUAAUUUUUAAUUAGAACCUAGUUUCAUAAACAUUAACCAUGUAUUAACUUUUAUUUUUUAUAAAAUUCACAAACAUGUUACGUGGUAAAUAUCAUAGCUGGCACGUAUAUUGUAUAAAAUUAAGACUAACACAAAAAGAAAAGACUUGAAUCGGUAGUAGAUUGAAGGUUUAAGGUUCUACUCGAAAGAAUGCAUUGACUUAAAGUUCCGUCCAUACAGGUAGUUCAAAGGCUCAUCUGAAUUAUCUAAAUUCAAAACAAAAGGAUGGAUUACUAUGCAAGGGUGGGGUAAGCAUGAUUAUAUAUAUAUAUAUAUAUAUAUAUAUAUAUAUAUAUAUAUAUAUAUAUAUAUAUAUAUAUAUAUAUAUAUAUAUAUAUAUAUAUAUAUAUAUUCAGUAUUGUUCAGUAUUUCGUGGUCCUGAGUGUAUAUUAGAUGAUACUGAACGCGUUUCAGUACUGCUCAGUAUUUUUUCUACUCAGAUUUGGCUUGCGGUAAACCUAGGGUGUAGAAUAGCGCUGCCGUAUAUAUAUAUAUAAUACUGAACGAUACUGAAUUUUGCUCCGUAUAAGAGUUCGGUGUAGAAGUAUUCUACACCUAGGGUGUACAAUAGCACUUAUAUAUAUAUAUAUAUAUAUAUAUAUAUAUAUAUUGUGGCAAGAAAGUUCUGCUCUUGCCUAGUAAGACUAAGCAUGCAUAACAAGGGGGUGCAGGGGCAGCAGGGGGCAUGGCCAAUGCCCCUAGUCGCUCGGCUCCGGGGGGUGGUCGUGGGGCUGGCCGCAGGGGGCAUGGCCAAUGCCCCUAGUCGCUCGGCUCCGGGGGGUGGUCGUGGGGCUGGCCGCAGCACCAGCAACGACACCAAAGACGACUCUCUUGGCCAUGGCUUGGAGGAUCAACAGGGUAAUCAGAAGAGGAAGCGCAAAGAUCCAUCUGUCAAGCGUGAAUGUACCAUCUGUACGGAGGAGCACUUCACAAACCAGUGUCCUCUACUACGUGGUCCGAAGCCUACCGUGGCCUAUUGCGGUGCCGCUGAAGACGGGUUAGGUUUCUUUCAGAUUCAAGCUGCAAGGAAUAGUCAAAUCGUCAUGGCCGCUCAGUCAUUGGCGGCAGCCCUUAUUACUGUUGAGGCAGGGGAGGUCUCUGCUAACCUGCUUCGCUUCGAACUGGCCAGGAUUUUUCCAGUGCGUUGGGACUGGGAGGUACAGGAUCAUGGUGCCAAUUCUUAUGUUGUUCCUUUCCCUAGCACGGCAGAACUAGAACGGAUGGUCGCGAUCCGGACUAUCACUACAAAGAACAAGGAAGGCACAAUUAUUAUAGAGGAAUUUAUUGAUGAUGUCCAACCCAUCAAGAUCCUGGAACAAAUUUGGGUGACAGUUACUAGAGUACCUCGGGUGCUUCGCUCCUUUCUCCCUCUGUGGGCAGUGGGUUCUAUAGUCGGGGCAACACAAAAGGUUGACAUGGCUCAUCUCCGGGCGACUGGUCAAGUCCGCAUCCUAGUGGCAGUACUUGAUUCUAAGAAGAUCCCUAAGAAGGCUGACGUUUGUGCUAAUAGCAGUGUCUAUAGGCUUUACUUUAAGUGGUACAGAUGGAGGCCAAUGAUACAGAGGAUGACGAUCUGUUAAAUGAUGGUGACAAGAAUGCUGAUGGGAGCGACAAGGAGAUGGAAGAUGCGGAGCAAACUAAUCCUAAUGCUGAAAAUAAGAAUGAUGCCAAAUCUGACAAGGCACCUGCAGCUUCCCAGCAGAUGCCCCCUCAGAAGCAAGCGGCAUUGCUGGAUAAGGCACUGGACAGGGCUUGUGAACAGCUCAUUAAUGAGAUUUCCAUCAAAGUUAUGUUGGAAUCAGAUGACGGUACAGCAAGGAAGGAGCUCUCCCCUCUAUCAGUGGAAGAACUGACAACUUAUAAUAAUAUGGUCAAUAGUGUUAAUAACUCUUCUCCUGUUGUUUUGCCUUCAACUCCGAUAUUGGAUGACGUUACUCGUAGCUGCUGUUCGACAAACGACAAAGUUAUAUCCUUGUCUGGUUUGGGGGGCUCUACCUUGCCUCCUGCCUCCCAAACUGGUGCUCCUUCGGCUUCGACUUCGGCCGGAAUUACAACGGCCUCGGCUGGGGAGAAUGCCCCGGCUAUUUGCUCAAGGGCGGGCAUCAACUCACUGGCCACCGAUGAUGUAGGCGUGCUGCUGCUUGCACCCGGGACCGACAAAGGGGACGUGCUGCUCCCAACCGUCACGGCGGUGGGGGGCGGAUCUCAGGGGGACACCAACUCGUUGCCCUUCGAGGAUGGGGGCAUGCCGCUGCUUGCGCCCGAGCCUGAGGAAAGGGGCGUGUUGCUCCCCAUCACGUCACCAGGGGACAACACCUCGCCCGACGGCACGGAGGUGUGCGCUGCUGCACCAACUGAGGCAGCGAUCGGCUCGCCUACCGUGGAGGCCACGGUGGACUCCUAGCCGAAGGAGGACGACGGCGGGCCGCUUACUGCUGCAGUAGUGGUUCCCACAUCUCCACCGGCUACUGCUCUUUCACCAACUUCGUCCCCGACCUCCACAACCUUUGCGGCGCCCUCUGCAAUACCCGCUGCACCGAGCAAAGAGCUACGCCGAAGCAGCAGGAUUGCGGCGAUAGCUGAUGUUCGCACUCUACACAAGGCCGAGAAGCUGGCGGCAAAGAAAAACCUCGAAUUCUCAGGUAAAUCUUUUACUAGCUUUUCAGAUUCAAAAGUUGUAUCAAACCUUGGUAGGGUAGGCAUCAACCUAGGACCCUCGGAUGUUCUUGUUUUAAAAAACAUAGAGGUAGAUAGGUUAGUCCUUUGUGCAAAUCAAAAAAAGAAAAUCCCUAAAUCUAUAUUUUCUAGCUUGCACAGUGUUGCUGAACUUGAUGACCAACUGGAGGCGGUUCUCAGCCACGCUUGUGGAGAUCCAAAUGGGAACUUGCUUGACACGGAGAACGAUCAAAUCAUAGAUCUCUCUCCUCUCCAUCGACAGAAAAAAUAUAAUAUUGCCAAAAAUAGUGGCAAGAGCAGACUUCCCAAAAAGCCAAAGGCUCCCUCUAAAAUUAUCAUAAAAUGAAGGGAGUUUUCUGGAAUAGCAGAGGUCUUGCAGACUUGACUAAACAUAGAUAUUUGGCGGAUUUAGUUAAAGAGGAGCAAAUUAAUUUUAUUGCCCUCUCUGAGACUGGGCGAGAUCUUUUCCCAGAUCAUGUCCUCAAAAAUCUUUGCGGAGGAAAUGAUUUUCUUUGGCACACCAUGGCACCACACGGCAAAUCAGGGGGUAUUCUGCUUUGUGUGGACUUGAAUAUAUUAGAUAUUGGAGCCAUUGAUGAGGGAGAUUUUUAUGUAAAAUUCACCCUACGACUAAAAUCGAAUGACUUCAAAUUUGUGCUAUAUGCGGUUUAUGGACCAGCACAACUCCAAAAUAAAAGUGCUUUCUUGGUAGAACUCGCCAACACAUGCUCCAAAGAAACCCUGCCAUAUAUAAUAGGAGGGGAUUUCAACAUAAUGCGAGGACCAGAAGAUAAGAGUUCUGGGAACUUUGACCCUAAAUGGCCUAAUCUCUUUAAUGUUGUCAUAGAAUCUUUGGAUCUAAAGGAGAUUGCUAUGAUGGGUCGACAAUUCACUUGGGCAGGGCCAGGAGAUAAUCCAAUUCUUGAGAAGUUAGAUAGAGUUCUGGUUAGCACUGAAUGGGAAAUCAUGUACCCAUUGACAACAGUACAAACUAGGGAUGGGAAUAUUUCAGAACACACUCCCCUAGUUUUAAACACUGGUGCUUCGACCCACCAAACCCAAAACCGCCCUUUCAAAUUUGAGAGGGGAUGGUUGAUAAGAGAUGGAUUCUAUGAUAUAAUUACAAACAUCUGGCAAUCUCCAUGCUCUGGAUCCACCCCUCUAGAACGUUGGCAGUCUAAAAUCCGCAGACUACGACAAUAUCUAAGGGGUUGGGCGAAACACACUGCAGGGUCAUAUCAAAAAGAAAAAAAGACUCUGCUAGCCCUUUUAGAUAAUCUUGACAAAAAGGCAGCGAACUCUCCCUUAUCUGAUCAAGAGAUUAAUCUGAAACACUAUCUAAAGGAACGCUUAGUUAACCUUCUCAGGGAAGAAGAGUUAAAAUGGUAUGAGAGAGCUAAGGUUAAAACCCUUUUAGAAGGGGAUGCUAACACUAGGUUCUUUCAUCUAGUUGCCAAUGGGAAACAUCACAAGCAACAUUAUCUACAGACUUGAAAAUGAUUAAGGUGUUGUGAUCGGUGUUGACCAACUUUAAAAGCCACAUUACGAGUUAUUAUAAAGACCUAUUUGGCCAGCUAGAAAAUUGUGAUAUCACCCUUAGGGAAGAUCAAAACUUGGAUAUCCCACAGGUAUCACUAGAAGAAAACGAUAUCCUUGUUAGCCCUUUCUCAGAAUCCGAAGUGAGAGAGGCAGUCUUCCAAAUGGAGCAUAAUAAAGCUCCAGGCCCUGAUGGUUUUCCUGCGGAAUUCUACCAGGUGUUUUGGGAAGUCAUCAAGGAGGACCUUCUAUCACUAUUUGCUGAGCUGCAUAGGGAAACACUGGAUCUCUACAGCCUGAAUUUUAGUAUUAUUACCUUAAUCCCAAAAGUGAGUAAUGCCAUGAAAAUUCAGCAGUAUAGACCAAUUUGUGUCCUUAAUGUGAGUUUCAAAAUAUUCACUAAAGUGGGAACAAAUAGGCUUAAUAUGGUAGCUAAAACUGUGGUCAGGCCAACACAGACUGCUUUUAUACCGGGUAGGAACAUUAUGGAAGGAGUCGUUAUCUUACACGAAACCAUCCAUGAGCUCCACACCAAAAAUAGAGACGGUGUCAUUAUCAAAAUUGACUUUGAAAAGGCAUACGACAAAGUGAGGUGGUCCUUCCUACAACAAACGUUGCGAAUGAAAGGUUUCUCCCCAAAUGGUGUCGGUGGAUUGAGACUAUAGUUUCUGGCGGAAGUGUGGGAAUCAAAGUCAAUGAUGACGUAGGACCUUACUUCCAAACCAAACGGGGAAUUAGAUAGGGGGAUCCCAUGUCACCAAUCUUAUUCAAUAUCAUGGCUGAUAUGCUAGCCCUGCUCAUUAAUAGAGCAAAAGACGAUGGUCAGAUAAGAGGUGUCGUUCCCCACCUUGUAGAUGAUGGUCUAUCCAUAUUACAAUAUGCUGAUGACACCAUUAUCUUUAUUGAUCAUGACCCAGAACAAGCACAGAAUCUGAAACUGUUGUUGUGCGCUUUCGAACAGCUAUUUGGGCUAAAGAUCAACUUCCACAAGAGCGAAAUCUUCUGUUAUGGUGCAGCUAAAGAGAUGGAAUCAUAUUAUACUAGUCUCUUUGGAUGCAACGCAGGGGAAUAUCCCUUCAGAUACUUAGGGAUACCAAUGCACCAUAGACAACUCCUAAAUUCUGAAUGGAGAAAGGUGGAGGAUCGCUUUAAACAGAAACUAUCUUGUUGGAAAGCAAAAUACCUAUCAUAUGGGGGAAGACUAGUUCUGCUAAAUUCGGUCUUAACCAGCCUACCCAUGUUCAUGAUGUCCUUCUUUGAGAUCCCCAAAGGGGUCAUUAAAAACUUGGAUAAUUACAGAUCAAGUUUCUUCUGGCAAGGCUCGUCAGACAAAUAUAGAUAUCGACUUGCCAAAUGGGACAUACUUUGUUGUCCUAAGGACCAAGGGGGAUUAGGUAUCCUAAAUUUACAAUUGCAAAAUAAAUGCCUUCUAGCCAAAUGGUUGGUUAACUUACUCAACACAGAAGGUAUUUGUCAAUCUCUUUUAAGGAAUAAAUAUCUAAGAUCCAAAACCCUAACUCAAGCGGCGGCCAAACCAAACGACUCUCAUUUUUGGAGGGGCCUCAUGCAUAUCAAAGAUGAGGUGCUGGCUAAUGGUUCUUUCCAUAUUAAGGAUGGAACUAACACUAGGUUUUGGGAUGAUACAUGGGUAGGAGAUAAGCCACUCAAAGUGAUUUAUCCUUCCUUAUAUAAUAUAGUGAGGGAUCCUCACGCAACUGUAUCAAAAGUGUUGACUACUAACCCCCUAAACAUCUCUUUUAGGAGGGCUUUGGUGGGUAAUAAACUCACAGAGUGGCUUAGCUUAGUAGCACGGAUCUCAAAUGUCGAAUUGGUCGAAGGUUUGGAUUAUUUCAGAUGCAGGCUAACCAAAUCUGGUUUAUUCUCUGUCCGCUCUUUGUAUCUUUAUGAUAUGGAUACACAAACACCUUUUUACCAUAAGAAGAUCUGGAAGAUGAAAAUUCCUCUAAAAAUUAAGAUCUUUCUCUGGUUUUUACAAAGAGGUGUUGUUUUGACCAAAGAUAACCUCGCCAGUCAGAAGUGCAUUAGCUGUAAUAGGAAUGAAACUAUCCUACACCUAUACCUAGACUGUCCCCUUACCAAGACAAUUUGGAGGAUUAUCUUUUUUGCUACUAAUUUAACCCAACCCAGAUCAAUCAGCCACAUGUUUGGUGGUUGGCUUUCUAAUCAAAAUAAAAGGAUGAGAAAUCUGAUCUGGGUGGGGGUGGCUGCCAUGUACUGGGCAAUCUGGAGAUGUCGUAAUGAUGUUAUUUUUAAUCAAAUGAAAUCUAACUCCAUUAUGCAGGUAAUUUCCAGAGGAGCGUACUGGUUACGAACUUGGGCCCCGUUGCAGCAUGAUGAGUAGCUGCGAACGCACUAUCAAUGUUGAGCAAGAAUUUAGAAGUAAUUGCUUUAGAGUUAUCCAAUAAAGGAUGGAAACACAUUUAUUAUUUGUACUAGCGUUCUGGUCGAUCUAUAAGACUAAGGCUUCUCUUUUUCCUUAAACUUUGUAUUAUUUGGCUGUGUACAUCCCAGGAUGUAGAGGCCAGAUUCUUCUAUCCAUUAUCUAAAAAAAUGAUGAUGAUUCCGACUUGGCAUGGAAAUCUGGACGCAGGAGCAAACAACAUAAGGUUUCCUCAGCAUGCUCAUCCGUUCUAGCAAGAGGAACUGCAUACUAGUGUAGGUAUACAUAUAUGGAGACGGUUAGCAAACAAACAUAUAUGGAUACUGAUGUUAGAGCAUCACUGAUGGUUUGCCAUUUACAGUUGCUAUCCUUGUUUAUUUGGCAAAAACUACAAAUUUGAUUCUCCAAUGGUUUGCUAAAGGACUUGCCAAAUUUUGAGAUGUUGCUAUCCAGGGGUGCUCCACACACAAAUUUGCGCGCACUCCGCGACUUGCCAUCGCGCGAGGAAGCCCGCACCGUCCCUUCUCCCGCGUUGUCUCGAAAUUUUUCGGACUCCUUUCCCAUGCUUCUCCAAGUCUCCUUGCUCAUCAUAUAAAUCGCGGCGCUGUUCGGUCUCCCUCGUCGAUGAGAUUGAGUCCCUCGUGUCGCUGAACAGAUCGAGUUCGUCGUGGCGCCGGUCGGUCCCUCGCGCCACGGUGGUCAUCAUCAGUGGCGGAUCCAGAAACGAACCAAGAGGGGGGCUAAAUAACAAAGGGCAGAAAUUUUUUUUCUCGCUCAACCCAGUAUACUAAAAAAUAUAGCUAAGAUUGAUAAUUCAAUAUUGAUUCAAAGUGCUCAAAGGCAAAGAUACAUGAAAUUAUGAUAAUAAGCACAGAAAAAUACCAAAUAUAUGGAGUCUUGCAUCUUCAAGAAUUCACACCAUUUGAACCAUCACGCCCAAUGCUACAUAAUUUUUAAAUGUUAUACACUUCUUCAAUGAUCAAGAUAACAAGCAAGAAGAAAAGUAUUAAAAUAAUACGCACCUUGGGACCUUACAUGGCAUGGUGCCAAGCAAAGAAACUUGUUUUGGGCUAGACAUUAGCUAAAAAGAAAAGUUACUAAAAUUUUUUUGCUGCCCGAGGGGGGGGGGGGGCUGCAGCCACGCCAGCCCCCCGUGCGUCCGCCACUGGUCAUCGUACGCGUGGCCGUCGUCCGUCAUCGUCCGCGCGGCCGUCGUCCGUCAUUGUCCACGCGGCUGUCCUCUGUCCCUCGUCCGCGCGGCCUCCAUCCGUCGUCGUACGCGCGGCCAUCAUCCGCCGUUGUCCGCGCGGCCUCCAUCCCUCGCGUCCGUGAAGAUAUGUUCCUGGAACUGGCCAACUGGGUAGCAGUAGUGAUGAAGGCCGGUUGUUGUAGAGUUGCAGAUGGAUUGAUGAAGGUAUAUGUUAAUCAUCUUGUGCAUGUAUGUGCUAGAUCGAUCAGCUCCUUUUUAUUUGUCCUAUUGUGUAUGUAUCUCUGUUGUCUAUCUGCUAUCGUAAUCAGAGACUAGUGUUCUUCUGUGCAUGUACUUGUCCAUCUAAUUCUUUUUAAUUGCAGCAAGCUGUUGUUCAGGCUACUGUCCAUCACUAUGUUCAGGCUGCUAGUGUAGGUACAUAUAUGGAGACGGUUGGCAAACAAACAUAUAUGGAUACUGAUGUUACUCAAGGAACAUAUAAAACCAGACUAGAGAGAGAAGGGUCUCACGGUGAGAGGCAACAGCUACGGCAGUCAGUGCUUUGGUCCAUUAAUUAUUUUCACAUCUGAUGGUGCUUCAAUAGGCCUCCAGGUUUGGCUUCAAUGGCGCUCGGCCCGGCAUGCAGCUGGGUGGACGUACACACGUGCAUGAAAUAGAUCAUGAGAGACAUAGAUGACAUGCAGAACGGAUCGGAACAUUGGACAGAUGCCAAACGUGAUGGUAUAUUCACUCCCAACAAAUAAAACAAUGAUGACGCUGCUGCGAGAGCUAGAAAUAACAAAUCAGGAACGAAGGUGUUGGUUAUGUGCAGCUUGUCACGGCAAAUUCGAAGUUCCAGUGCCUUUCAUACCGACGACGAGCACACUAAGCUUCAACAGAUCGUUAGUGUCGUCGAUGACAUAGAAAGGAGUCAAAAUCUUAGUUUACUAUCUUAGGGAUUUCCGAACUAGGAGCUCUCUUUAAGAUAAUUCUGGUGAACUUUACCCAAGGGGUUGGUACAUAUAUAUAUAUAGGAAGAAAAACUCUCUACAUCUAAAUUAACUAGCGAUAUAGUACUAAUUGAUGUUGCACCUUCUACCUCCACUAAUAGGCCUAAAUAAAUAUUAAAGCCUAUUAAAAGCAUCUCCAAAGGCUUUGGCAAUUGACUUAGCAUUUGUUGUUUGCAAACUCUCAUAACAAAAUGUAAAGGAUAAAAAUAUGUCAUCUCCAAGGGAAUUGACAUUUGGACUUGCCAAAGGAUAAAAAUAGGAAGUCUCUAGGCGCGCGCGCUUUCCCCACGCGUGACUUUGCUCACGCGAUCGGGUUUGCAAAGCCGUCCACAACUUGACAUUUUUGCCAAGUUUGCUCCCUUAUUUGCCAAGUUGCCCAAAUUGCAAACUCCAAAUGCAAAACUGUUGGAUACCUCUUUCGAAGCUUUUUGGCAAAUUACUCAAAUGCAAAACUCAAGCUGAGAAACAAGAAAUUUGAUUAUAGAUAAAGAUAAAGACGUACUGGUCAAGGAAGAUCGAUCUACUAAACUUAUUUUAAAAACUUCGCUCACUCUCAACACACAAAGGAGCAACAAGCAAAUAUUACAUCAAAUCUUAUGUACCAGCAUGUAUGCACAACAAUAUUGCUAAGCCUUAUGAUAAAUUUGUAAUGUAUGGAAAAAUAUUAUUUUUUCUAUAUUUUCAUGAACACAAAAAUACAAAAUUAAAUCAAUUUACAUCUAUUUCGAAACGAGCAGAUUUUAAGGUUUUACAUUCAUCUUCCUGGGCACUAAGGCUUAGAUUCUUAAGCGACAGCUCAUUAGGUCCUCAAGAUCAGACAGAAAUGCUCCUUUCCUAGUCAGUGGUCAAUGGUCAUAGGGACAACUUUUCACCAAAAGAAGCCAUGCCCCUGUUAGCUGCCCCUGGUAGGACACUAUCAGGUUCAAGGGUGCAACACUGAUUGUCUGGUAACCGCAAAUUACAUGCCAUCUUAACUUCAGUUGCUUGCCAUCUUAAAAUAGGCACUCUCUCUUGUUCCAUCAAUCCAUGGGAAUGAAAUGGGCAAUAGACAAAAUAAACAAUAAAUUGCUCCUGUAUCCAUUUUCAGCAGAAAAUUCUUAUUGCAGAACUUGUUAAAAUCAAUAAGCAAAGGAAGACUGAACAAAACUUGGUUCUGUUAAAUGGAAUAAGACAUUAAGAAUAAUGUUUUGUGUUUUGGGCUGCUGAAUUAUGCAUAGACAUAAAUGGAGAAAAAACUCAGGUUCAUGAAACUGUUCUCUAAAAGGUUUAAGUUUGCACAUAUUACAUAUGGCUGAUGACAUCAAUUUUGAUAUAUCUCAAAUAGAAAAAUAGGUAGAAAACUGAAAAAAAAUAUCAAAAAUAAGAACUCAACGUCUCUUUGGUAAUAUUUUCAAUCUAUAUAAAAACCAAGGCAUGGAAGUCAACUCAUGUCCUUAGCUGAUGGCAAGAUUAGAAAAAAAAACACGAAGUGUUUGUAGUUUGGGAAAUUAAAUACUAUUGGUUCUAUUUUAGAUGAAAGUUCAUUUAGAAAGUUUCAGUUUUGAUAAAUAAUACAAUGUGUUUACCCUAUUAAGAGGUGGCUCAUUGUCCAGAAACACUGCAUCAUUAUCUUUCCAUAGGCAGAAUCAAUUGCAUCAAUGCUUGACUUGGCCUGCAUACUUGCUUAUCAAAAAGUUCCCAGCAGCUCAAAAUUCAUCUUCAGAUGCUUCCUUGCUGAUUCUGAGACGCUUAUAUGGAUCCAUCACAUGGAUUUUGGGAAAGAUAACUGAAAUAAAAUCAAGCAGUCAAAACCGAUGCUCAAGGAUUAUUAUAACUGUUACAAACAACAAAAUCAAAGGUCAAGCAUAGGUACAUGCAAGCCUCCAGCCCCGCGCCUUCAGCACCACGAUGUGGACGCGUUCUUUGACAGCCUUCUCCAACAACCACUGCAGCUCGGCAGAGUUGUUGCCACAGGACGCCGUGGCGUCCAGCGAGCCAAGAUCCCACCGUGCAAGACACUCCAACGGAACGGAACGUGGGCACAACGCUUGCCAUGCGGCCAGACAUGGGUCCGUCAGCAGGGAGAAGACCAGACAUGAGUGUGUCAUCGAGGGGAGAAGGAUGAAUCCCUAUUUAUGAGCCCAGAGAGGAACCCAUUCCCUAGCAAGUGGCGCAGAUGGUCUCUGAUGGAAAGCUCAUACCUGUUGCAGUAGCAGCACGGUGAACGACAUCGAGCUCUCAAACGCGAACGAGGCAACCUCGGCCGCCGAGGCUACAGAUUAGUCCGGUCAGCAGGUGGAGAAUGGAAUGAGCACAAUGGCUGGGUACGAUGCAGCAGCAGUGGGAUGCGUGGUGGAGGAGGGCAGCAGCUGGACACGGUGGGCAGCAGCGAUGGGGGAGAGGUGGGGAAGCAGCGGGGUUAGGGAGAAGCAGCGGCAGGGUGGUGGCAUGGUAGGGGAAGGGAGGCGGCAACUUUGGUGAGGUCGAGGUAGGGUGCGUGAGGUCGGGGAGGCAGGGAAGUCGGAGGCACGUUUUGAUUUACUGUGGGAGGGGGCGGUUGUUUCGCUUGCCCAGUGGACGAUUGGGAACCGUAAUUUUUAGUUAUAUAAUAUAUAUAUAUAUAUAUAUAUAUAUAAGAAAUACGUAUAUGUAAAUUCUAGAUGAGCCUGAGCUGGUCUUGCCAUUGAUUCAUUGUUCCUUUUGAAGUAUUUGUUGUACCUAGAAUUGGUGUAAAGUAGCUAAAUUGUCUCAUGAUUUCCCUUGGUCUUUGGUUUUCUUGGAUUUCGGUUGUUGUUUGUAUGUGCUUCUUCAAAAUCCCAUCUACAUUCUAUAAUAAUGAUGUUCUAAUAUGUUGUUAGUCAGUCAAAAAAUUUAGUUACAUAUGGUUUAAUCUAUUUGUCUUAGUGAUUCAUAAGUUGUAAGUGUAUAUGAUUAGUUGUUGUAUGAACUGAUAAUAAAACUUGGAAAACUCUAGAGCAUCAAGUUUUAUUAUUUACUGAUAAUAAGUCUUGGAAUAAAGUCUUACUAAUCUAUCUGCUUUCUAAUCUUUUUGCUAAAAUAGUAUCUACUUUUUGCUAAUUGGCUAAUAUUUGUUUAUUGCAUAUUGAUUUGAAUAUGUAGUAUGGGUAGAUAAACUUUGUUACUUGUUGUUUUCCUCCAUCUUUUUCUGUUGGAAGCUGCCCGGAUGGAUCUGGAGGUUCCAUCUUUCUUUUCUUUUCUUGGAUCCUCUUAUCACAUCUGCAGAUGUUGUCGCCAUCCUCCCCUGUUGGGGACUCUUGAUAGGUUGGAGGAUUCAAGGUAAAUACCUUUGCUUCUUUUUCCUUUCCCAGAUCAGAUUUGUUUUGGAGCUUCUUGUAUUGCAAGUAUGUCUUUUUUGUGUUUAUACCCUUUCGUUUGUUGUUUUUUCUGCUGGAUUAGUAUUUGUCACUUGUGUAUUCCUUUUUAGGCCUAUCAGGUGUGUCUUGCUUGUAUUGUGGAUAAUGUGUCUUAUGGGCCUUUUUAUUGGGCCUUUUUAAGUCACCCGUUUUUGGGCCCUUUUCAUUUUACUUGUGUUAUUUUUGGACCUUUGUUGGGCCUUUUUUAUUUUACUUUUUUGGCCCAAUUGAGUCCAACUCGAUGGGAAGUCAUCUUUUCACGGUUUUUUCUCAAUUCCUUCAUCCUACAUUUACUCCCCACUGUCUGGACUUAUUGCCUUCUUUGACUGUUUCUUUCUAGUCGACCAUUUCUCCGCCCUACUCUCUCUAUAUUGUUGUAGAUCUCCUUUCUCUCCUCUGUGUCAUUCAUUUUCACUAUUUUGUGUUUGUCUCGUAGGGUUCUCCCCUUCUCCCUUCUCUUCUAUCAUUCAGGUUAUAGUUCUCCCUUUCCCUUUCAUUCUUUUUAUUUUUUCAUAUAUAGUCUUGUAUAUCAUAUCAUUUUGUCCUAUCACUUCUCUUUUUUCCUAUGUAUCUGUUCGAGCAGCUUAUUAUGUUUUGUUUCUAUGACUAAUUAGAUCUAACUUAAAAUCACUAUAGUAUUCAAGUAUUUGUUAUGGUUUCUGAAAAUUCUUCGUAAGAUUUUGACAUUUCAUUAUAUAUGCAGUUUUAUUCUCUCUAGUCUCAGCCUGGUUUUGAUACCAUCUAAAGGUUGUGGAAGGUAUGCUAUAAUUUUUGUUUUUCUAUUGUGUCAUGUCAUAAUUGAUAGUUUAAUUAUUUGUAUGUUCUAUCUUUUUCAAUUGUGCAUAGUAGUCUUUACUUUUUUCCAAUUGAGUUGAAGCUCAAUAGUUGAUCAUUCUCCUAUUUUUAAAUUUGUUGUAUGUAUUUUUUGGAUUGUAACACUAUUAUAUUGUUCCAUUAGGUAUUGUAUAUGUGAUUCAUGUGUGUUCAUUGACAUUGUCAAAUCUUCUUAUUUAUGUUGCUCCCAAUUAAUGAAUACAUAUUAGAGCACAAUCUUUGUCUAGUUUUUCAUAUAUAUAUAUAUAUAUUUUUCUAUAUAAUUUGUUUUAUAUUGUCCACAUUAUUUUUGUUAUUGAUAUUCUAUUUUUUUGUUUUUUUAUUUAGUGUAACACCCAAAAAUUUGCUUUUCAAUAAAUAGGGUUAAAUCGGUUUUAUUUAAGCAUUUUUAUGAGCAUUUCAAACAUAGAGAGAUAAUAACCAUUGAUAAUUUAACAUCAACUAUAGGGUGUAGCAACAUUUUUGUGCAUUCAUGAUAGUGUAUGUGAUUUAUUGUAUUGUGUGGAUUUGACCAAAGUACAAACACAUUUCAAACUAUUUUAAAAAUGGAUUUGAAAAUGGCUUUUGAAUAAAAGAAAAGGAAAAGAGAAAAAAAUAAAAGAGAAAACUCUCUCUGUCUCAAUUCUGGCCCGCAGGCGAGAAUUCUCCUCCCCUCUUUGCUCUUCGGCCGGCUAGAGCCCGUUCUUCCCCACGCGCAUAGGCCGACCCAGCGCGUGUAACACCCAAAUAUUUGCUUUCCAAUUAACAGGAUUUAAUUUAAAUUAUUUAAGUAUUUUUGUGAGCAUUUAAAGUAGUAAAUAAAUAAAUUUUGUUGAAAUUAAAAAUUUAUCAUAAGAUUAGAAACCGUAUAUGCAUUCAUGCUGGAGCAUAUUUAAUUUUGGGCUGUUGACUUUUGAUUAGAAUUCAAUUGCUUUCAAAAUUCCUUUUUAGAAAAGGCUUUGGAAAAUAAAAUAGAAAGGAAAGACAAAAAGAAAAAAAAGGAAAAAACCCAGCCAGCCCAGCCCCCUGGCCUUCCCCGGUCCAACUCCCCUCUCUCCCUUCUCUUCCCCCACUCGCUCGGGCCACUCCCCCUCCCCCGGCCUGGCUUCCUUUUCCCCCGCCCCUAGCCCGCUCGCAGGCGGCCCAAUCGGCCCAGGCCGUGGGCGCGCACUCCCUCCCCUCCCUCCUUUCUGCAGCUGACGGCCGGGCCCCACCCCUUCUCUCACUGCCACGCGGGACCCACCGAGCGGCGCCUUCUUCUUCCCUAAUUGGAACCGGGCCACACUCCCGAACCCGCAUCGAAUCCAAUCCCGGGAAAGCCGUGGUUUCUUGCCAAACGCGCAAACCGACCCCCUAUAAAACCCCUAGCAUCGCCCCCGCGCGUGUUUUCCAUCUUCGCCGCAAGAAAAACGUGCCCUAGCUGCUGCUGCCACCCAAUCGGGAUCUCACCGUGAGCUUGGCAAGCCGACGCGCGUAGCGAGCCCUCUCCUUUGCUCCUCGGUCCGAGAAAAGUCGCUAGGUGAGUCCGCGGUGAGCUCCUCGUUCUAUCGGAGUUUUGCUUUCGCAAUUUGGUGCACAAAACAGCGAGAACGGGCAACGCCGGCGAGCUUCGCGGCUCCAGCCAUGGCGCCGCCGCGUCGGACGGCACUCCGGCGGCCGGCCGCCGCCCGUCACUCCCCUGGCGCGCCUGGGCCGUCCAUUUGGAGAUCUAGGGCGCAGAUUAGGGCGCAGAUUAGAAGGUACCCCUUCGGGGUGUAUUUUCGUAAAGAGCCCCUGGCUUUUUCCAAAUUAAACACGCGAUCGAACGCGCCAUCUCAGGUUUACGCUUUCUGAAUUCAAAAACGUAUUUUCCGAUCGGUUAGUCCAUAGUACGCUUUCUCGAAAUUAUAAUUUUGCCACUGAAAGUAUUUUGCUCAUAAAAUGCUCAUUUUAAAUCCGAUUUGGUCCAUUCAAAUUGCGUUAGGUUCGUAUUUACGAGCUCUACAUGUUAGAGGUACUGUAUCGCCAGUUUGAAACUUUUUAAUUUCAUGGUAUUAUUUAAUUAAUUAUCUAUCUAUAGAAAAUCUUAGAAAAUUAAUAACUUCUACGUUUUAAAUCCAAUUUUCAUGAUCUUUACGGUUAUGUGAUCGUAGCGCUGCGUAGAAUGUUUUUAUAAACUUUUAUCUUUGUUUUAUCACUGUUUGGUGUAUUGUUCUAAUUAUAGCUUGUUUGCUUCUUAUAUGAUUAUCUACAUUGGACUGUGUGUUGUUGAUUGAUGAUCGGGUAUAGAUGGUGAGCGAUACAUUGGUGAUCAAGGACACUCUUUUGAAGACCAGCAGCAGGCUCAGGAGAGCUUUGAUCAAGGCAAGUAUAACUUGGGAUCAUCCUUGUUACCUAUACACUUAUAAAUACACAUAUGUCUCAUAUGCAUGUUUCCACCUUGUCGACCUUAGCAAAAUCAUAGAUGAUUGUUACUUGGAUUCCUUGCUAUCUACUUGAUAUGCAUUUGGUGUAGUAUUGCUAGUGCUUGAAGUAAAUCCAUGAUCUUGUAAGAUGAUUAAUAGCUAUGCAAUGAAAGUAAAAAGAUGACUAAUGACCAUAUGAGAUCUUGUGUGUAAGUGAUCACUGGGAUAACAGUGCAACCAUGAGGGCUAUAAUGGCUUUGGCUUUAGCUCAGUAUGAAGACCUUUUCUAGCUUGUUAGAGGUUACCCGAAAGGGCUCUAGAGGGGCUUGCCGACACGGGUAUAGUGCAAGCCUCGGUCCUUAUGUGUAUAGGUUGCGUGUCAUUGUGCCAUUUGGAAGGGGGGCAUCUAUAUCUGCUCACCCAGGAAACCUUGUGGCCCUAACAUGUUAGACGAACUUUUAAAAGGCUUCAUAGUGAUCCCUGCCGACCUUCCUUGGUAGUGGGUUAAGAGAUCGACAAGCCUUGGGCAAAAGGGUAAAUCAUGACUCAUGGGUAAAGAUGUACAACCUCUGCAGAGUGUUAAAACUGGUAUACUAGCCGUGUUCACGGUUAAGAGCGGCCUUGGGGGUUCUUAUACUAAAGAUGAUGAGCUUGUUAAGUUAUUAUGUUCAUUUGAUUAUCAUUAAUGCUAUGAGUUAAUUAUGCUUACAUUUAAUCAUGUGAUUAUUGGAAUAUUUAUGUUACCUUGACAAUUAUUAUUUAAUUAUGAACAUGCUAUCCACUAUUAAAAGCUAAAUGCAGUCAAACUAGUGUCAGCUAAUUGAGCCUCAUGAACCCCUGGUUAUACUUGUUGAGUACGAUAUGUGCUCACCCUUGCAAUUUCCCAACACACCAGGUUAUGCAAAUGAUGAUGAAUGGAAUGAGGACUAUCGCUAUGAGUAUUAGGUUUGAAGUCAACUAGUGUCGAGGAUAUCAGUAAGGGGUACCUUAACUGACACGCAUAUCGAGAACAUUCGUACACAAGUCGAGGCCUCCAACUCGACACCCUACCCAGUCAUACGCACGGUCCUCAAUGACCAUAGCCUCGAAUACGGAAAGAGCAUCCUGCGAAUCAACCAGGGCUCGAGCGCCAGCUGCCGUCGAAUACGGAAGCAGGCUCGUACGAAUCGGGAGACCUCGAGCGCAAGGACGCCGCCCGCCACCUGACGCGGGCACGGGAACCAGGCAUUUAAUGUGCCUGGCGUGUUCUCACCUAAACCGCCAGUCACGGGAAGCGUGAUAGGGAACAGGCAACCGUCCCGUCGUUUCUUUUUGCAGCCUUCGCCACCAAAUAAGCCAGAACAUGGCAGGGCGCGCGGAAUGGGUCGGGACAUCAAAUCAAGACCCCCCUCGAGUCGCCCAAGGUCAGCGCUCUAGCUAGCAAGGCAUUAUGCGGCACCUGACCCUCGAGUAGGCAUGUUUCCUUCCUGGGGAAGGGUCAGGCGUCGAAUGACAGUACUUCAACCACUCUGACAUAGCUGCUACCGCGACGUACAAGCAUGCAACACAUAAGUCAAUCUAGGACGGGCACAGGAGCAGGAUUCAUGGGCACGCGUAAUCAUCGUCAUGGCACCAAUAUGGGACGGCUCGAGGCCACGCCGGUAUCGAGGCCUCGAGUAGGUCAACGCGCCAUACCUCUGUCGAUCCCUACUCUGUCGCCUAUACAUGUACCCUAGACCUCUCCUUGGAACUAUAAAAGGGGAGGUCCGGGAGCGACAACAGAGAGGCGACACAACACGAGUCAUACGUAGUAGAGCAACCUCACUCCGCCUCAGUUCUUACCACUCUUGUAUUCACCCCUGUACAAGCACUUAGGUGCAGAAUAAUACAAACACUCCCCCCCCCCGCUGGACGUAGGGCCUUCUCUUGCUCGAACCAGGAUAAAUCCUGUGUCUUUCUACAUCACCAUCUAGAAAAGGGAGCACGCAUACAGGUUUUACUCGUUGGUGUGACCCCCCAGGGGGAAAACACCGAUAGUUGGGGCGCCAGGUAGGGGUCCUGCGUGUUUUUCACCGAUUUCCCAUUCCUUUCUAGAUGGCCACUCUCGUUUCGCCGAUUCCGUGCUCCACGGUGAUUUGGUUCGGGAGCCUCGAGUUCAUGUCUACCGGUUUUGGCUAUGACAUGAUCCUACUCUCGGUCAAAGGAUAGGGAGGAGCUCGCGUUGCGACGGCAUGAUUGAGGGCUCCGAGAUGUCCUCACCACCACGCCUCCCCGCCUAAGAAGAGGCGUGGACAGCACCGCCAUCACCCCUUGGCCUCAUCACGAUCGCCAGUUCGCGCCAGGCGGGAGGUGAUCCAGGAGCCGACAGCCCCGCGCAUCGAAACCACGGGCACGACGGCCUGACGCCACGAAGACCGCACAACGACGACGAGAGACAGCGCACCUUGCGCACCCUCCACGACGCUGCUUCCGCAUGGGUUGUUCGCCACAAGAAGUGCGCUGCCGUUCGGGCUGGACAACGCCGCAGCAUCGCUCGGCAGGACAAUAUGUCCAAACGCCCAGACGUACGUGGAGAGACCAAUAGUCCUCCCACGCGACAAUGAAGCACGACCACAAACGUCUGAGCUGCCGGACUUCUCGUAGGUAUGAGGUCUCCGCCGCCUAGGACCUGGGCGAUACACGAUCACCUCCCUCAGACAGCGGCUGCUGGGGGAAGGACGUGGAUGCUUCUACGCUGCCGAGCCGGACUCUGACUCUGAGUCCGACAGCUACGACCCUACUAGGGAAUGCUUCAACAUCGACGGGGCGAUGGAAACCACCGACGAGACAAAGGACACCAUUGCGGGCGGUCGAGUCCCUGUAGCAAGGGAGGACCCCAGAACGCCUGGGAAUGACGGUCAGGUCGACCCCCCUCCACAAGAAGACAGAACUGCGCAACUUGCACAGGUACGGGAGCUCAAAGCAAAGCUUGACGAAGACUGCGAGUGCCUUGUCCUGCUUGAACAGAUCCUCGAGUAGGACCAGCCAUGCUUGCAUGGCGGAAGUGUUCGCAGACGGGCUCAAGAGGUACACCGGCAGAUCGUCAGAGACGGGGAACCUGAGCAACCUGUCAGCCGCUUCCCCCGAGCGGGCUAGAACGUCGUGGCGGCGACGAUGUUGUUGCGAAACAUGCCCGAGCCCUUGAACUCCCAAGCACGGCGCAUUCGAGACGAGGUGCAAACUCUACUCCAGGUGGCGGCAGUUUAGCAAGCCGAGAGCUCGGCCUCUCGACGUCGAGGAGCGGCCACAGAAAAGCGUGAUGAGCCGGCCCAGAAUGAAAAAGAGGUGUUAGUCCAUCAGCAGCCACCCCCUUGAGGGAAAAAGACAGCGCUCGUCCUCCACCACCCCAUCGACAACCAACGACGACACGACGCACGACGCGACAUCGACGAGAAUCGACGACGUUGGUAUGGGGACGCAGAAGAGCGAGGUUACAGCGCCCACCGCAGUGGGAGAUACGACAGCGAUGAGGACCGGAUGGCCCCGAAACCACCGGGCCCUCGGGUGUUCAGCAGAGCAAUCCGCAGCACGCCGCUGCCCAGCCCGUUUCGACCCCCGACUAGAAUCGCUAAAUACAACGGCGAGACCAAGCCAGAGCUGUGGCUGGCAGACUUCAGGCUAGCCUGUCAGCUGGGAGGCGCUCGAGGAGACGAUUGAGCCAUCAUCCGACAGCUACCACUUUUUCUCUCUAACACCGCCCGUAGAUGGCUCGAGGAGCUCCCAGCCAACCAGAUCCACGAUUGGGUCGAUUUGGUUAGGGUGUUCGAGGGUAACUUCAAAGAAACCUACAUAAGGCCCGGCAACUCGUGGGAACUCAGCAAAUGCAAGCAGAAGUCAGGAGAAACUCUCCGAGAGUACACUCGACGCUUCUCGAAGCAGCGCACCGCGCUGCCGCACAUCCCCGACCACGACGUCAUCCUGGCCUUUGUCUCUGGCACCACCAGUCGAGACUUGGUGCGGGAAUUAGGCCGGAAUCGCCCUCAGACCGUCGACGAGCUGAUGGACGUAGUGGCAAACUUCGCUGCAGGAGAAGAAGCGGUCGGCGCCUUCUUCAGCUGCGAAGGAAGGAAAGGCAAGCCAUCCGCCGAUGAUGACGAGGGCCCCAGUCGAGGACCCAAGAAGAACAAAAAGAAGAAGAAAACACGGCCGUUCCAGUGGGAGGACCUCGACGACGAUCUCGUCACCACCAUUGAGCGCAAAAGGCCUCGAGGACCCCAGAAGGAGCUAUCUUCGACAAGAUGCUGAAGGAGCCAUGCCCUUACCAUAAGGGAGGGGCAAAUCACAAGCUCGAGGACUGUCGUAUGCUGAAGAAGCAUUUCGACGGCUUGGGGUUCAAGAAGGACGCCCGUGACGACCUGAAGAAAGAGAAGAACGGCGACAAGGGGGACGACAAAAACAACGAAGGUUUCCCAGCCGUCCACGACUGCUACAUGAUCUACGGUGGACCCUCGACGCAACUGACCAUAAGGCAACGAAAGAGGGAACGCCGCGAGGUCAUUGUGGCAAGGAUGGCGGUGCCCCAGUACCUCAGCUGGUCGAGCAACCCCAUCACCUUCGAUCGAGACGACCACCCCGACAAGGUAGUCGCCCCUGGCGUCUACCCGCUCGUCAUCGACCCCAUCAUCGUCAACACUAGGCUCUCAAAGGUGUUGAUGGAUGGCGGCAGCAGCCUAAACAUCAUCUACCUCGAGACCCUCGACCUUCUCGGCAUCAACAGGGCACAGCUCCAACCAAGCGCCGGUGGCUUCCACGAUGUCGUACCUAGAAAGAAGGCGUUACCGGUAGGUCGAAUCGACCUACCGGUCUGCUUUGGCACGGCGACCAACUUCAGACAGGAGACCCUCACCUUUGAGGUGGUGGGAUUCCGAGGCACGUACCAUGCCAUCAUCGGGCGCCCGAGUUACGCCAGAUUCAUGGCUAUCCCCAACUACACCUACUUGAAGCUGAAGAUGCCCGGACCCAAGGGCGUCAUCACCGUCAGCUCCUCCUACGAGCACGCGUACGAGUGCGACGUCGAAUGCGUCGAGUAUGGGGAAGCUGUCGAGAGUUCCACCGAGCUCGCCUCAAAGCUCGAAGCCCUAGCCGCAGAGGCUUCAGAGCCCAUACGUCACGCGAGAAGCUUCGAACCUGUGGAAGGAACGAAGAAGAUCCCGCUCGACCCCGACAACUCCAACGACAAGGUGCUGACGAUCAGCGCUGACCUCGACCCCAAAUAGGAAGCCGUGCUCGUCGACUUUCUCCGUGCAAACGCCGACAUGUUUGCAUGGAGUCCCUUGGACAUGCCAGGCAUACCGAGGGAAGUCGCCGAGCACUCCUUGGAAAUUCGAGCUGGUUCCAAGCCAGUGAAACAACGGUUGCAUCGCUUCGACGAGGAGAAACGCAAGAUCAUUGGCAAGGAGAUCCACAAGCUUUUGACGGCCGGAUUCAUCAAGGAGGUUCAUCAUCCCGACUGGUUAGCUAACCCUGUGCUAGUUAAGAAAAAGAAUGGGAAAAUGAGGAUGUGUGUCGAUUAUACGAGUUUAAAUAAAGCUUGUCCCAAAGUACCUUUUCCAUUGCCAUGUAUCGAUCAAAUUGUUGAUUCAACUGCGGGAUGUGAAACGCUUUCUUUCCUUGAUGCGUAUUCUGGUUACCAUCAAAUAAAAAUGAAAGAGUCCGACCAGCUCGCGACAUCUUUUAUCACGCCUUUUGGGAUGUAUUGUUAUGUAACCAUGCCGUUCGGGCUUCGAAACGCGGGAGCCACAUAUCAGCGCUGCAUGCUCCACGUGUUUGGCAAACAUAUAGGGUCAACAGUCGAGGCAUACGUCGACGACACCGUCGUCAAGUCAAAGCAACGGGGAGACCUGAUUCAGGACCUCGAGAUCGCUUUUAGUUGCUUACGCGCCAACAAGAUCAAGCUCAAUCCCGAGAAGUGCGUUUUUGGUGUCCCCCGAGGCAUGCUCGUGGGAUACAUAGUCUCCCAACGCGGCAUCGAGGCCAAUCCCGAGAAAGUCUCGGCCAUCACGAGAAUGGGGCCGAUCCGAGACGUCAAAGGAGUGCAAAAGGUCACGGGAUGUUUGGCGGCGCUAAGUCGUUUCAUCUCGAGGUUGGGAGAAAAGGCUUUGCCACUAUAUUGGCUCUUGAAAAAAGCUGAACAUUUCUCUUGGACCCCCGAGGCUGAGGAAGCCCUCGACAACUUGAAGAAAACGUUGACCUCUGUGCCAGUCUUAGUCCCACCUCAACCUGCAGAACCUCUGCUUCUGUACAUCGCCUCGACGACCCAGGUCGUCAGUGCGGCUGUGGUAGUCGAGAGGCAGGAGGAGGGGCAUGCGCUACAAGUCCAGAGGCCGGUCUGUUUCAUCAGCGAGGUACUCUCGGAGACCAAGGCACGAUACCCGCAAAUCCAGAAGCUAAUCUACGCCGUGAUCCUCGCCCGACGCAAGCUGCAACAUUACUUCCUCGGCCACCCUAUCACGGUGGUCUCAUCCUUCCCCUUGGGUGAGAUCAUCCAAAGUCGGGAGGCCAUGGGAAGAAUCGCCAAGUGGUCGAUCGAGCUCAUGAGUGAGACCCUCACUUAUGCGCCUCGAAAAGCCAUCAAGUCUCAAGCUCUGGUGGAUUUCGUCGCGGAAUGGACGGACUCCCAGCUCCCCCUGGCUCAAGUUCAUGCAGAGCUGUGGACGAUGUAUUUCGACGGGUCUCUCAUGAAGAUGGGAGCUGGGGCGGGCCUACUAUUCAUCUCGCCCCUAGGCGUUCAUAUGAGGUAUGUCAUCAGGAUACAUUUUGCCGCAUCCAACAACGUCGCGGAGUAUGAGUCCCUUGUCAACGGUCUGAAGAUCGCCAUCGAGCUAGGAGUCCGACGCCUCGACGUCCGAGGCGACUCCCAACUCAUCAUCGACCAAGUGAUGAAGGCCUCCAACUGUCACGACCCGAAAAUGGAAGCAUACAGCAAGGAGGUACGUCGGCUCGAGGAUAAAUUCCACGGCCUUGAGCUCGUCCACAUCGCCCGACGCUACAACGAGGCAGCCGACGAACUCGCUAAGAUCGCGUCGACUCGAGGCACGGUCCCGCCCGACGCAUUCUCGAGAGAUCUACACGAGCCAUCUGUCGACUUGGGCUCGGGGGCUGGCGUCGAGGCCGCCCCCACCCAGCAAACCGAUACCGUCGAAGCGCUGCUAGCGGCAGCCGAGGUAAUGGAGGCAGAGCAGCGACCCGGUCGACUGUUCGACUGGCGCACGCCUUUCCUCGACUGCCUGAUUCGUUGCGAGCUACCAGAAGAUCGAUCUGAGGCCCACCGUAUCGCUCGACGGGCCAAGUCAUACGUAAUCUACGGCGAAGGCAAUGAGCUAUACCGACGAAGCCCGACAGGAAUCUUGCAGCGCUGCAUCACGAUAGAGGAAGGCCGAAAGCUCCUCGAGGAUCUACACUCGGGGGCAUGUGGCCACCAUGCUGCUCCACGGACUCUAGUAAGGAACGCUUUCCAAAAAGGCUUCUACUGGCCAACGGCCAUAGCUGACGCUAUCGAACUCGUACGCUCGUGCCAUGGGUGUCAAUUCUACGCCAAACAGACGAAUCUGCCCGCCCACGCUCUCCAGAUGAUCCCCAUCACGUGGCCAUUUGCGGUGUGGGGGCUCGACUUAGUAGGGCCUCUACAGAAGGCAACAGGAGGGUACACCCAUUUGCUGGUGGCCAUCGACAAAUUCUCCAAAUGGAUCGAGGCUCGACCCAUCACAAACAUCCGCUCCGAGCAAGCCAUCCUUUUCUUCACCGACAUCAUCCACCGGUUUGGGAUCCCCAACGUCAUCAUCACCGACAACGGCACUCAGUUCACCGGCAAAAAGUUCUUGGACUUCUGUGACCGGCAUCACAUCCAUGUGAACUGGUCCGUAGUGGCCCACCCUAGAACUAACGGCCAGGUCGAGCAUGCCAACGGCAUGAUUUUGCAGGGGCUCAAGCCAAGGAUCUACAACCUCUUGAAGAAAUUCGACAAAAAAUGGGUCGAAGAACUCUCUUCGGUCCUAUGGAGCUUAAGGACGACACCAAACUGGGCCACGAAAAAUACCCCGUUCUUUAUGGUCUACGACUCCGAAGCCGUGCUCCCAACGGACCUCGAGUAUGGAUCCCCUCGACUCAAAGCAUACAACGAGCAAUCAAACAAGGAGACUAGAGAGAAUGCGGUCAACCAACUCGAGGAAGCUCGAGACAUGGCCCUCCUCAACUCCGCCAGAUACCAGCAGAAGCUUCGACGCUACCAUGACAAACACGUGCGCAAGAGAGAUCUGAACGUGGGCGACCUUGUCCUACGGCGGCGGCAAAGCAACCAAGGAUGCCACAAGCUGACUCCACCUUGGGAAGGCCCAUACGUGGUGGCCGAGGUCCUGAAGCCGGGGACAAACAAGCUUGCGGACAAAAAUGGGGCAAUCUUCACCAACGCGUGGAACAUCGAACAGCUACGUCGAUUCUACCCCUAGAAUUUCAAAGCUUUAUGCUCCCAUGUACGUUUUGUACCAAGGUUUUGCGAAUGAAUACAUGAUUGAAUAAGAUCUUUCCCUCGAGUAAUUUACUUUUUCAUGAGUCAAAAUCUCGACGUUAGAAGGGAGUACCAACUAUGACCCAACAUACACCAUAGUCGAUACCCCCUCGGGGGCUAGCAGGGGGGCGCCCCCCCAAGUGUCGAAAAAACCAAGUGAUUUUUUCUUUCCUAUUAAGUAAACCUCGCACGAUCGAGUAGUAGAUGUACCCCGAGCCCCUUAAGGGCCGAGAGACAACGAGCCUGAGAAAUCCUAUGCCCCCAGGCUACGGUAACUCUACUCUCUUUCUCACCCUCAAGGCAAUCGAGGUCGCCUUAACCAAAGAUCAAACAGGGAAUACAGAUGUAGGCAGAAAAGAAAAUGAAGAAACCUCGAGCGGAAAGACAAACAUUUGCAAAUCUUAUAACCCACUUAAAACACAGUAUCACUUAAGACAGAGUAAUAAAGUACUGUACAAGGGGCCUCAGCACCCAGAGUAGGCUCGCAGGCCUCAGUCUACGUCUCGACCCUCACCACCAUCGUCCGUGCCCGAACUAGUCUCGGGAGGAAGUACUUCUGGCUCAAACAGCCUCGCCAGCCUUUCCCUAAGAGCCUCCGCGUCGUCGAUCAAGGCGUGGAGCCUCUCCUCGUUCUCUGCGUCGGUCUUGGAAAUAUCGGUGACGAAGCCGUGGGACACCACCUCCAUAUCGUAGGAAAAGCCUGAGCAGACAACUGCCAUUGCCCGCUUUACCCCGGUAUGAAGGGCGUCCCGCACCCGGUCCCUCAGCGUAGCACCUAGAUAGCAUAGCUGGUCGACCAGGGCGUCGCCUCGAGCCUCCUCCCUCGACUCGUCCAUGGGUUUGAGCUCCCAAGAGGCUGAGAGAUCACUUAUCGCCGUCCGCAGCCGAUGGUUCAAAGCGACCUCCCCCUCGGGCUGAGCUUUGGUGGAGUGGGCCUCGACUUGAGCGGCAAGCAGCUCAUCUUUAAGCCCUACAAGGACCAACACAGAGAAAUUAGAUAACACAAAGCACACCUUGGAAAGGAAAUUCGAUAAUGGAAACAUACCACGAAUCCUCUCCUCCAAAGCCGUAUUCUCGCCGACCAAGUUGGUGUUGGCCCUCUCAAUCUCCUUGUUGGAGCGCACCAGCUCGGUGUUGGUGACGCGAAGGUCCUCGAUCACCUUGCCGGCCUGCGCGAUGGCUCCAUCUUUUUCUAGCAGCGCUCUCUUCAGACGGUCGACGUCGUCACAGAGGCUGCGAGAUCACGUCCGCUCCACCUCGAGAUCCUCAAGAGCUUUCUUUUUGGCCUCCUCCGCGGCACUCCGGGCAAUCUCGCCAUUUACGCACUCCACCUUCAUCCUUUGGAAGGAUUCUCGGGCGGAGGCAAGUUCAGUCCUAAGGAGGCCCUUCUCCUUGUCCGGUCAGCAACCGCAUUCUUUUAAGACAAGGCCUCGUCCCGGGCCUUGGACGCAGCCUCCUUGACCAUCAUGGACCGUUCCCUCAACAGCACGGCCUCUUCUACCGCCUUCCUCGAGGCCUCUCGAGCCUCAGCCAGAGCAGCCUCCCUCUCCUUCUUCUCCUCCUCAAGCGCUAAAAGCUCCUUGUAGGCCUUGAGGAGCUUCUCCUGCGACUCCAGGAGUUUGUCCUUGAGAAUGGGGAGUUGCUCCUAGCCGCCUCUUGUGGUGUGGAUGAAGCUCGACUUGAUACGAGAGGACUCUUUCAGGUCCUGCGAGCCAGCAGUUGGAUAGUUAGAAUACAAAACCAAACAUCCAGCAAGAGUUAAGGCCUAGAGAUACAAAGUAGGCUGGACCAAGCCCAUUGUGGACGACGUCAGACAGGAGCCCCACCACAUGCUUCAUCCAGAGGCAAAGCUCCUCGAGAUGCUCCCACUUUUCGGCCUCCUUCCGAUCAUCCAAAAAGAUAUUAGGUUCGGACGGGUCGGUGGAGGCACGAAUGCGGAUCCGGUCGGGGCACCAGUUCUCCAUCUCCUAGUCGGCACGCACCUUGACGCCCCGGAUGAGCUCCUCGACGGUCUCGAGUGAGCCCCCGUGGCGCAGGAAUAGGUCGAUGAGGGAGGGGAACCGCCCGUCGUCAUCCACCGUCUUCCAGGUCCCGGUCUCGCUGGCACCUCCGCCGCCCGACGUCCCGGCUUCAUCUUCCUCAGCGGGAAUGCGGUCCUCCCACGACCGACGCUCUCGAAGAAAUCCCGGAGCAAUCCCGUCCAUGCCGUAGAUCGUACCCUUGAUCUCGGACUGAGGGUUGAUCGGGGUGCACAUCAUACAAGCGAGCGCCACCACGCUAUCCGCCCGCCCCGACUCAGCUGGGAUCGAGGCAGGCGCUCCCGGACAGAGCCACGCCAGGGUCGGAGGACCAUAAACCGGCAGACUCUCCUCCCUGUUUCCACGCUCUUGCGGCGCUGGUGGCACUGGCUGGGGUGGACUGUGAGGUGGUGGCUCGAGCAGUUCCUCCAACUGAUGGCUCCUCUGCUGCUGCUGCUCCUGGAGUUCUCGCAGCUCCUGCUGCCGGUCCUGCUCCAGCAGCUCCUCGAGCUGGGGACCUUUUGGCUGCCGCCCCUCCUCUCUUUCCUCCUGCUGCGGCUGCUGCUGCCCCUCCUGCAGCUGUUGCCGCAUCUCUCGCUCGCGCUCCUCCUCUUCCCUCUUCCUUUGCUCCUCGACAGAGUGGACCCCGACGGGCCAAGGCGUCCGCUCCGUGAUGCGAGAAGCCUCGACCUCCUCGUCCAUAGGGCGAGCGUCCUUCGAAGGCCCGUCGCCGCCAGACCCAUCGCUUAUUGUGAUAGGAUCCCCCUCGACCCCAGAUCGGGGAUGCUCGGGGGCUUCCACCUGCUCUUGGGGGCGAGGCGCCUCGACCCGCUUCGGCGACGGUGGGGUGGACUCACCCACCAGGGGACGGGGCAGGGCACUCUCGGCACCAGUCGGCGGUCGUGGGUCGGAGGAGCCUAUAAAACACUCAAAAGCAAAGGUCAGUCGUCAUGAUGAUUGACAUAAGAACAACACAACUCCCACAACGACCGGAAUGAGCCACUAACCUGAAUCUUUGGAGACCGCUCCCACUUUAAGCCUUUUGGCCAUCGAGGGAUGGGCCUGCUCGAGCGUCCGCUUCAACCUGGGGAGAGAGGAACGGGCAUGAGAGAGGCCAUUACACGAGAAGACGCAAAGACACAGGAAGAUGAGAAUCACAAUGCCAAAGAUCUUACCGCACAGGGAGAACGGCUCGCCUGCCGAUACCUAAACUGGUGGGCCUCGAGCCACCCCGCGUCAAGGCUCCAGGCCCCUCACGAACGGGCGCAGGCCUCGGCUCGGCAUCUCCCGCCUGGCGAGCGCCAGGGCUAGCGCUUCUGCGGCUUUCUUCCCCCUUACUCGAAGCCACGGCGCGGCCACGGGUCAACGGCCCCGUCGCCAGGGACUUAGCCCGCUCGCCCGCCUUCGACGCAGGGGGAGGUUGGGGGCGCGGGAUGGUUCGACCUUGCGCAGGCGCGGGAGGGGUAUUAGCACAGGAGCGGCGUGGGGAUGACUCCCUCUGUUGCCUCUCGAGAGAUCCGCUUGGCCCCCCCUUUGGGGCUCCAGUCCGCGGGGCGUCGACGUCGGUCCGAGGCGGACCCUCGAGGAUCCUGUCAAGACGGGACACCAUCCCCUCAGAGUCGUCACUGUCGUCGUCAUCAGUGCCACCAUCGUCCUCAUCAGGGGACUCUUCCUCAGGCUCCGCCCUCUGUCUGGACUUCGAUCGGCGUGUCUCCAGUGCUUGGCGCUCGAGAUUAUUCUUCUUCUCCUUCUUCUUUUUUAAGUCCAAUGCAGAUUUCUGCUUUUCUGCGGACUCUCGCCGCUUGUCACGAUCGACCUCAUCCUCCUUUACCGGGGGCUUGGAAGAUCGAACAUCGAUCGAUCCCUGUACGAGCAAAAGUAAGUCUUAAAAGAAGAUCGAAGGGAAUCGACGAUCAGAACCGUAAACAGGAAAAGGAACUUACCAGGUCAAUCGACCCCUGAUCGGGCCUCAUAGGGAAGCCGUUGACGUGCUUAGGCUGGAAAUCACCUGCAACAGCCACCCUAACACUGGCAGCGACCUCAUCGUCCGCGGGUGCCUCGUUAGACAUCUGGGAUGCCUCGAGACCCCGGGACGAAACGCUGGGACCCAUCUCGUCCAUCCUCAGUGGCCGAGACAUCAACGGGAGAACCCUUCGAUGAUGGACGGCUGAGAGGACGAGAGCGGCUGUCUGGCCUUCUUCACGUAGCUUCUUCAAGGCGCCGAGGAGGGGGUCGAGCCGCGACUGGUGAGCCUGGACGACGUCAUACGUCCAGUUGGCCGGGCGCUCCGAGAUCAAACGGCCGGUGUAGGCAGGAAGGAGGUCGUCGUCAUUUCGUAAGUAGAACCACUAGGAGUCCCAUCUGGCAUGGUUCGAUGUCAAUCCCACCGGGAUAUACUCGCGCGACCUCUCCGUUUUGCCAGUCUUCAGCACCAGGUUGAGGCACCCGGCCCGUACAGGGUUCCUCACGCCUGUGGUUCCAGUGGGGCGUUGAAGAGCUCGCCCCGGUACAAAUGGAGCCACAGGUCCCAGUGGGGCAUCAUCCCCAGAUAGCCUUCACACACCGCGGCAAAGACCGUCGUGGCGGUGACGGCGUUCGGCGAGAAGUGCUGGAGCUCCACCCCGUAGUGGUGGCAGAGCGCCCGCAUGAAACGGCUCAGAGGAGAACCCAAGCCGUGGCGGUGGAACUUGGCGAAGGAGACCACGUAGCCCUUAGGCGGCCUAGGCUCCCGGUGGUCCGCCACCGGCGCGAUCCACUCCGGCCGCGACGAUGAAGUGCGGGGGUGCAGGAGCCCCUCCCUCUCGAGCUCCAGCAGCCGGCGCUCCGUCAUCGACGACGGGCGCCAGUCAUCGGCAGCGAUAAGUCUCACAGGCAUUUUUCAGGUGGGAGAAAGGCGACCUCACUACCGCUUGAGGGUGCGCGCGUAAGAGAUGGCGAGGAAGCUGAGGCAAGGAAAAAGGCAGAAGGCGGAAGGAGCGACGGCAACAAGAUCGCGGGGCAUUUAUAGGCGGCAGCCCACCAACGGACAUAUCCGAUAAGCACGGUAACUCCUCCCAUAAAUGCGCCGUCUAAUGGUCCUCACCUCUCUCACAGAUGGGACGCUACGAAUUCCGCGCCGAUACAGUGCCGCAACAGCCCCCGCCUGAAAAGGCGCGCCCAACGGGCGAAAAGGUGAACCGCCACGGCCCCUUCCUUCCCUCGCAAGCCAAGGUACGCAUACGUUAUAACUAAAAUCUCGAGAGGUCGCAGGCUGACCCGCCGAACGGGUUCGACAGCUGAUCUCGAGUAACAAAGUCAGGGAUGCCCGGCGAGUGGUAAAAAAUCGAGGCCUGCCUCGAGAACUCGCCAGGGAUAUCCAAGGUAGGGUUGGGACGGUCGAAAGGAAUCCCCCCAAAGGGAGGCAUCGAGCCGCUGGACUCUGUCGAACGAGACCAGUAACCCCGACCACGUCGACCCUGCUUUAUGAGGACGCCUCCGGGCUACAGCCGACCCCCUCGAACGGGGCACGGGUUCUCACUAGGACUACCAGCUAGGAACUCAGUCUGUGGGGGACGACGCUCGCUCCACCGGGAGUACGUCGCGACCCCAGCACAAAACAAACCAAUCCCGGUUUUCAGCCCAUCCUCACGGUGGAAAUCGAGAGCGUUUGCACAGACCAGGUAACAAAACCCUCGAAGGAGUCCAAAACUCCUCCAAGGGCUCGGGGGCUACCCCCGCAGGGUCGCUCGCGCGCCCCCAUGGAAACCCAACCAUAAAAUAUAGCCUCCACUCAAGCGCAAGUGCUCAAAUGGAGGCUCGGGGGCUACUGUCGAGGAUAUCAGUAAGGGGUACCUUAACUGACGCGCAUAUCGAGAACAUCCGUACGCAAGUCGAGGCCUCCAACUCGACACCCUACCCGGUCAUGCGCACGGUCCUCGACGACCAUAGCCUCGAACACGGAAAGAGCAUCCUGCGAAUCAACCAGGGCUCAAGCGCCAGCUGCCGUCGAAUACGAAAGCAGGCUCGUACGAAUCGGGAGACCUCGAGCGCAAGGACGCCACCCGCCGCCUAACGCGGGCACGGGAACCAGGGCAUUUAAUUCGCCUGGCGUGUUCUCACCUAACCCGCCAGUCAUGGGAAGCGUGAUAGGGAACUGUUGAUGCAAAAGCUGAUCUGCAAACACAAAGGGCUAAUACCCGAUUUAAACGUUAAGGCGUGCCAGCCGAUUUGACCUUACUAUCGGCAAAGGUGGUAACUCGAAUACUUUGGUCCCGACAACAGCGAUGCGCCCGGAUGUCACGGCCAAGAGGUAUUGUUGACGGUGGAUAUACCAUAGAAAUCCACAUACAAAACACCGUCAACAUGCCUCGGUUGCAAGAGGAAACGACAUGACAUGAACAUAUUUUAUCCAUAACUAGUUCCACUUGUACUCUUAGCUUGUUUAUGCAGGAACAACAAAUUCAAGACAUUAUUUGACAAAGCCAACAUCAGAAUCAUCAAGAGGAGAUCGAGGGGACAACAUGUGACACCCUGGGCCCACAGGGAGGGGGUCGCCCGACCCCUCUUUUGUGGGACCCAGGUGUGCCACCUAGUCCACCGACAUAAGGGACCCCUGUGGACACUGCUGGUGGGCCCAGAGGCCCAGAAGUGGGGUCGCCCGACCCCACAUCAAAGGCGGUUCCAAGGUCGGUGGCCUCCCACCGACCUUCCCCACAUGUCCCACAUGUUGAUUUGCCCCUGCCGUUGAUCAAAUGGCGGUUGUGAGGUCGGUUUGAUCCAAGGGUGGAGAGAAGAUGUCACGCGGAUCGAUGACGUGGCGAUGGAGUAACCCCUACUCCAUCUCCCUCUAUAAAAGGCAGCCUCCAUCCUUCAUUUCAAGUGUGCAAUUCCAAGGCCAAGUGCAUUACAAGUUCCAAGCAUACAAGUAGAGUAGUAGUUAGUCUAGAGUGGGAGUUAGAGUCGAGUCGAGCGAAGCUCGGGGUCUCCGGAGUCGUCUUCUGGAGAGUCUGGUAUAGCUCUUGUACCUUUAUACUUUUGUAAGACUUUCCUUUUAUUAAUAUAUUAUUCUUACUUUACUUUACUGAGUUCUUACUUAGUGCAAGUCUUUUAGUCUUGUUGUGCAUUUACUUUAGUAAUAUAGUUGUCUUAGUGAAGUUAGUGACCUGUAACCACUCCUGUGUGUGCAUCAUCGUCCUAUCUUGUAUAGGAGCUCUAGCUAGCUGCAACUAGUUAGCGCUGUAGGAUUAAGUGUGAGCGUGGUGCUCAUACUUAAGAUUACCUUUGAUUACCGCUGGCUUGAACGGAAAGUAGGAGCGCACUCCCUAGUAGCUGACAGAUCGUGGGCGGCAUUAGGUUCUCCUCACGUACAGGCUAGUUCUUAAAAGGUAAGGCAUCCAUAAGCCCAAUAGUCGCUUUCGGUAAGGGGUUAGGUGAAAAACCUUCUAAGCGUCUUACCAGCUCGGCUGUCCCUCGCACACAGUUAGUAAGGCUCUAGCGUAGUUAAGACAAUUAUCUAUUAAAGUAAGUCACAGAAGUCAAGUUAGAUACAUAGGAGUCCUUUACUCACUCGUUGUCCUCCCACCUAGCUAACUCUACCAUUUACCUUUAGCAUAGGACCUUGGAUUCACCACUACCCUUCCUAUUCGUUAUUUACCACCCUUAUUCACUAGUUGAUACUAGAUAACUCAAGGAAUCUCAUUCCCCUUUUUGUUAAACACACUUAGCCGCUUUCCCUUGGGAAAAUAUAAAUUACGAUACCUUGGAAUACUCCUUGGUGAAGUGCUACAGCGGUACAUUCUGUGCGCUUGCGGAAUUAUCCAAUAGUAAAUAGAGUUACCCUACCAGGGCACUUCUGGCGCCGUCGCCGAUAUCCGGUGGUUGCGUUAAGAAGUGUCAACAAGCAUUUCUGGCGCCGUUGCCGGGGAGAGCGUCUGUCUAAGAGUUUUAACAAAAAGAGAAUCCAGAGUUUGCUAGUUAUCAAGUAGUGAUAGGGAUAACCCAUCACUUGUCUUGUCUUCCUUUAUUGUGAAGCCUGACAGUGUAUGAGCGGUUUCCAAUUGCCGUCAAAACUUCGUUGAAGAUCCUGGGCAACUGUUGAGGAGAACUAGACGUCGUCAAGUUCCACCUCAAAGGUUCAUCUCGAACCUGAAUCCGUUAGAGGAAGGAGUAUCUGCACCGGUUAUCAAAGAAGCUAUGGCCCAGAAGACCAUCUCUGAGUACUCUGCGCCGUCGGCUGACAAUGUCGCCACGGGUCCGCAGCUUAACUUGGGGGAUGCGACUUUUGAGUUGAAGCCUGCGCUUAUCAAUAUGGUGCAAGCUAAUCCCUUCUGUGGAAAGCCACACGAGGAUGCCAAUGCCCAUCUCCAACACUUCUUGGAGGUGUGCGGCACCUUCACCAUCAAGAAUGUCGCCGCAGACGCCAUCCGUCUUCGCCUCUUCCCAUUCUCGUUAUUGGGGAAGGCGAAGCAAUGGUUCUACGCCAACAAGGGUGAAGUGACCACGUGGGAGAGGUGCGCCAAUGCAUUUCUCAAGAAGUUCUUUCCGAUGGGCAAGACCAGCGCCCUUCGUGGAAAGAUUUCCAGCUUCCAACAGCAAGCAGAUGAGACGAUUCCCGAAGCAUGGGAACGUCUGCAGGAGUACAUUCGCGCCUGUCCUCAUCAUGGGAUAGAGGAGUGGCUCCUAAUCCAAGGUUUCUACCAUGGCCUGACCGGUUUGGCCCGUAGUCACCUUGAUGCUGCCGCUGGAGGAGCAUUCUUGCAACACAAUGUCAAGGAUGCCAAGGACCUCAUUGAAAAGAUGGUUAUAAACCAAGGAUGGAAUGAGGAACGCCUCCAACCCAAGAGAAGAGGUGUCCAUGCCUUGAAUGAGGUGGACAUGCUCUCUGCUAAGAUGGACCUCUUAAUGAAGAAGAUGGAAGAAAGUUCCAAGCAAGAGACCAUUCAACCUUACGCCACUGCACGGGCCAUUGAAUCUGAUUCAUGGUGCGAAGUGUGCGGAGGAGAUGAUCAUUCGGGAAACAAUUGUCCCGAAACAAAGGAGGAAGUGAGCUUCAUCAACAACAACAACAAUGGGUACCGGCCCCAACAACAGCAAUGGAACUCGCGCCCCUUCUACCAAGGUAAUCAAGGUAAUGGUUACAAUCAAAAUUUCAAUAAUUCUUUUGGUAACCAACCUUCUCUUAGAGAUCUUGUCUUAGGCCAAUCUAAAAUCAAUGAUAGCAUUAACAAGAAAAUGAUGGCUAAUGAUAAGAUCCUUGAAAACUUAAGUGAAAAGUUGGAUAGCUUUAACUCUGCUAUGAAAAAUCAGUUGAGCUUUAACAAAAUGCUAGAAACACAAUUAGCUCAAUUAGCAGCAGCUGUCCCAUCCUUCGAGCAAGGUAAGAUCCCAGGGAAACCUGAGGACCCAAUUGAAGGAGUUAAACUAGUUACUACGAGGUUCGGUAAGCCUCCGGUACAAUCCAACUGGAGCUAUCUUCUGGAUUCGCCCUUCAUCACCAAGAAGGACGACCCAGGCCUGCCGACCAUCACCUGUGAGAUCGGACCGCAAAUCUUCCACAACGCCUUCUGCGACCUUGGAUCGGGUGUCAACAUCAUGGCCAAGGUAACUUAUGAUAAUUUGCUAGGGGGGCCUUUGCACCCCACAUUUGUUCGUUUGCAGAUGGCAGAUCAGACGAUCAGGUUCCCUGAGGGGUUGGCAAGGGACAUACUGGUAAAGGUCCAAGACGACUACGUCCCUGCCGACUUCAUCAUUUUGGAUAUGGGAUCCAAUAAUGAUGUCUCGAUCAUCUUGGGAAGGCCAUUCCUCAACACGGUCAAUGCAGUCAUCUAUGUGGGGUCCGGCCAGAUUCACCUCCAAUUCCCAGGAUGGAUGGUAAAAUGUCCAUUCAAUGGUUAUAAAGCUAACAUGCAGGUGAAGGACAAAGAACCUCCGACUAAGCCUCGCCACAUCCGACGCCGAAGGGACAAGAGAGGUAAGUCGGCCAAAAGGGCCGAAAAGAAAGAAGAGGAACCCGCUGAACCAAAAAUCAAUACCAAGCAAGUAUGGCGGGAGAAAGAGGUGCAAUCAAGGUCCACGUCUCCGGGACCAUCUGAUGCACCCGAAGGAUGAACAAGAUGGAGAGGUCCUGCUCUACGGACCUAAAACAUGGAGCCCUUGCUGAUAAGGUAAAUCAGUAGUUAUCCCAUAUUUAUUUUCUGCAUUUCAAUUUCUACUAUUCACUUUUCAAUUGCAUUCCUACUUUGAAUUUUGCAUAUCUUAUUUCGACAAAAUGUUUAGCCAUAAUAAAUAAAAUCUUGAGAAUAACUUGUCAUAAAAAUUUGAGCUGCUGGAGCUCCCAAAGGGGGGUCGCCCGACCCCACCUUGGGGCCCACUUCACCGCAUUUCAACCUUGCUAGUCAUAGAGGUUCCAACCCAGCACUUGGAUGCUCUGGGAGCUCCAAUGUGGGGGUCGACCGACCCCCAUAUUGGCCCCACUUGCCUCCUGCUGGCCACCAUUUGAAUCACAAUGGAGUCCUAUGCUUGUAACACUAGCUAAAGUUUGAAAAAGAGUGGUCCCUUGAUCCUUUACUUUAGUCAUAAGAUGCUCCUUUCAUCUUUGAUUCUUUUGGGACCACUCCACUAGCUUAAAUUCUGCAAAGUGGUCACCUAGGCAUGCUUGAGUGCUCCCAUGGUCCAUAGGAAUCACUUUAGACAUGUCUCCACUUUUGCCAUUCAUCUUUUACCUUUCACAAAGCACUAAAACAGGGAAUCUCAGAAACAAUUUGAAAACUUUUGGUCCACACCUAGCCUUUACUUUUCCAGACAAUCAAUGACACAAUGUUUAAAGUGGAGGAGGGGCUAGGAUGGGGGUCGGCCGACCCCCAUUUUGGACCAUCUCUGCAAAAUCUUGAAAGCAUGCAGAAUGGUUCCCUGUAUAAAGCUAAACUCAAAUUCAAAGUGCUUCUAGGGGGGGUCGGCCGACCCCUAUAUUGUGGGUCCACUACUUGCCCUUCUCCCCCUAUAAAUACCACAGCAUUGUGAGCUCAACUCCACACCCAAAACCACCAGAACCAUUUCGAGCUCACAAUCCUUUCUCUUCUCUCUUUGUUACAAGCCAUUUCUCAAGUUUAGUUUAGAAAUAGUCAUCAAAACAAAAACCCAAAAAGAUUCCCCUUGCAUAGUAGUAGUAGUAGUAGGAGCUUGGUUUGCCUCACUUAUGUAGGAGGAUGAAGAAGCAUAUCUUCGGCAAGUUCAAGAAAGCAAAGGGUGAGAGCUCUUCUCAAGGCUCUCACCAUGCUCAUGGAAGGGAGGAAGAAGAAGGUUACCAUGGGAUGGUACCCUACGAGCCUCCAUCAAGGAUGAGAGAGCCCGAGAGCGGCCUCAUGUUAAGCCAAGAAGAGUUGCAAAGGUACUACAUCAUCCGAGAGGGUCUCUUCCUACACACUAGCAUCAUCGAUCCGGACCUUUUGGCCCGCACAGGUAUGGAUGUUGAAUUCGAUAAGGUGUUUAGAGCAAUUGGUUGGAGUAGUUUUUGGCAAGUGCCUGAAUUUGGAAAAGAAUUGCUUGCUAAGGAAUUUCUAUGCACCCUAAAACUCACAAAUAAUGGAAUAUCUUUUCGCAUGUGUGAGCAAGAACAUCAAUUAAAUUGGAGUUUGCUAAACACUGCUUUAGGGUGUGAACAUGAAUGUGAACUUGAUCUAGAUCAUGCCACUAGAAUGUUCGAUAAAUUUAGAUUCUGGAAAGCAAUUUCUGGCUCUAAUGAUUGUUCAAAUCCUACUCCCAUUGAAAUCCAUAAUCCAACCUUGCGCUUUCUUCACUUCUGGAUCAUGUGCACUCUAUAUCCUGGCAUGGGAACUGAUACUUUAAUUGAUGAUGAACUUAAAAUUCUCUAUGCCAUGGUUAGUAAAAUCAAGGUCUCCCCUGUGAAACUGCUAGUGAACUAUUGGCUUAACUCUAUUGAGUAUGGGAAGCCCAUCUAUUUCACAUCCUUUAUUACUCGAAUAGCCGAUACUUUUGGAUUACUUGAAUCACAUUAUUUUGAAGACAUUGGCUAUGUUAGAGGAGUGGUAGAUGAGAACUUCUUUAUCAAUGCUAACAUGCUCAUAAGAGAUCCAAAUGGUGAACUUAAAAUGAUUUAUCCGGGCUAUACAACCGAAAUUCCUCUCCCAUGUGCGAGGCGCCGGUUGUAUGGGGUCCGCACACUUACCAUUAGACUAGCCCGAGUGGCAAGUCCAGAUGUUGCAGGGACACGCAGGGUGACAAGAAGGAUGAUGCAAGCCGCCCAGAUGGAGCAAGGAGGAUCCUCGCACCAUGACGUUGAAGAGGGCGAUGAAGCGAUGUCAGUGGAUGCUUCAGACUCCAUGGGUCUACCUCCACAACGCACUCCACGCCCAAGGGACAGGGCUAGGCGUCACCAGCCCACAGGUAUGGACAGUCUCAUGAAUGACAUGGGCGAAUUGCAGAUUGGGCAAGAAGCAACAUUGCAACUGGCGUUACAAAACGGCCAACAUAUCCGACGUGUGCGAGAGGAAGACGCACAACGCUGGGCUGGAUGGUACCAGAAUUUCCCGCCACCACAGUGAGCGAAGAUCUAGCUUGGGGGAGAUCCUCUCCCCCACUAAGGUAAGUAUUCUAUCCUAUUUAUUUUCAUGCAUUUUAUCAUUCUUACUUAAAAAAAAUAUAAUAAAUAAAUAUUUAUUAGCAUUUCCCUUUAGCAUAUAUGCUUCAUGUAUGUUUAUAUCCCUCAUGGAAAUUAUGACUAGCUGCUUGUUAAUGUUUCUCUAGUGCCUAGUAUACAACUUAGUAUUUCUCUAAGUAUGGAUCACUUAGCUCACUUAAACAUCCAUGAACCUAAAAACUUUGUGGGUUGCAAGUGCUAGAACUAAGUCUAAGUUGUUGUGGGACAUGAGAUAGUAAGACAAGAGCUACUAUAAUAUUUUUCUAAGCAUGCAUGAUUAUCAGAGAUUUAUUCUUAAAAUGAUCAAAACCUUAAUUGUUCCUCAAUGGUGAUGAAUUCCUACCACAGCCAUAUCUACUUUACAUAAUUGCAACCUUUCCACAUAAGCUAUUUGCUUUGUGUUGAGUGUCGUCAAGUCUUGUUGACCCUUGUUAAGAGACUUUUCAUGCUCCUAAGAUCAAGAUCACGUACACACCACAUAUAUAUAUGCUGCUUCUACACUGGAAGUACGCAACCACAUGUAUUUCGCAUCCACUAAAUAGGUUGCUCCAUACUCUAAAUGUUAGAACAUCUCUCUAAGCAUUAUUUGGUAAAUGAGACAUCAAAAGGCUAGGCAAAAUGAAAUAAAAAGAUGGACAUGUGCAAGUCCACAGAAAAAGAAAAUUGAGCACAUGAAAGCUCAUAUAUAUAAAAAAAAGAAGAAAAAAAUGCUAGCCAUGUCUCAAUACAUAGAGAGUCUAUCAAAUAAAGGAGCAACCUAGUCCACCAUAUAUCACACUUGCACAUCUUGAUCUGGGAGUAUGACACUUCUCUUCAAGGAUCCGAGCUUUGACUUCGCAAUACAUGCAAAGUAAGUAUGCUAUCUCCUUUCAUCCCUACCUUGAACUCCACAUAAGCCUUUUAGAAAUAGGAUGAAAUAGAGAAGGCAACUCUUACCAUAUGCCUUGGUGAGGAAUCAUACACCAUUUGAGUGACAUGAGAGAACCAUAAGAGGAACAUUUAAGCUUUCUUUUGAAAAUAUCACAAAACCUCUGAUAUGAAACUUGCUAAGAAUGAGAAAGUUAGUGCUCAAGUCAAACUGUUCUGUCUCUCAACCACCUAAGACAAAGGAAAAGCCAUAAGCCCCAUAAGGGACUAAGGUAAUAGGGGUAAGUUUACAUAGCUAAAUUUUUCAUGCAAAGAGAAGAACUUUGUUGUACACAUGGUACUCUUGAAAUGUGAACAUAGUAACAAUACCUGAUCCACCGAGGCUAAGUUUGAUUGUUUGCUCGGGACGAGCAAAGGUUAAGCUUGGGGGAUCUUGUUGACGGUGGAUAUACCAUAGAAAUCCACAUACAAAACACCGUCAACAUGCCUCGGUUGCAAGAGGAAACGACAUGACAUGAACAUAUUUUAUCCAUAACUAGUUCCACUUGUACUCUUAGCUUGUUUAUGCAGGAACAACAAAUUCAAGACAUUAUUUGACAAAGCCAACAUCAGAAUCAUCAAGAGGAGAUCGAGGGGACAACAGGUGACACCCUGGGCCCACAGGGAGGGGGUCGCCCGACCCCUCUUUUGUGGGACCCAGGUGUGCCACCUAGUCCACCGACAUAAGGGACCCCUGUGGACACUGCUGGUGGGCCCAGAGGCCCAGAAGUGGGGUCGCCCGACCCCACAUCAAAGGCGGUUCCAGGGUCGGUGGCCUCCCACCGACCUUCCCCACAUGUCCCACAUGUUGAUUUGCCCCUGCCGUUGAUCAAAUGGCGGUUGUGAGGUCGGUUUGAUCCAAGGGUGGAGAGAAGAUGUCACGCGGAUCGAUGACGUGGCGAUGGAGUAACCCCUACUCCAUCUCCCUCUAUAAAAGGCAGCCUCCAUCCUUCAUUUCAAGUGUGCAAUUCCAAGGCCAAGUGCAUUACAAGUUCCAAGCAUACAAGUAGAGUAGUAGUUAGUCUAGAGUGGGAGUUAGAGUCAAGUCGAGCGAAGCUCGGGGUCUCCGGAGUCGUCUUCUGGAGAGUCUGGUAUAGCUCUUGUACCUUUCUACUUUUGUAAGACUUUCCUUUUAUUAAUAUAUUAUUCUUACUUUACUUUACUGAGUUCUUACUUAGUGCAAGUCUUUUAGUCUUGUUGUGCAUUUACUUUAGUAAUAUAGUUGUCUUAGUGAAGUUAGUGACCUGUAACCACUCCUGUGUGUGCAUCAUCGUCCUAUCUUGUAUAGGAGCUCUAGCUAGCUGCAACUAGUUAGCGUUGUAGGAUUAAGUGUGAGCGUGGUGCUCAUACUUAAGAUUACCUUUGAUUACCGCUGGCUUGAACGGAAAGUAGGAGCGCACUCCCUAGUAGGUGACAGAUCGUGGGCGGCAUUAGGUUCUCCUCACGUACAGGCUAGUUCUUAAAAGGUAAGGCGUCCAUAAGCCCAAUAGUCGCUUUCGGUAAGGGGUUAGGUGAAAAACCUUCUAAGCGUCUUACCAGCUCGGCUAUCCCUCGCACACAGUUAGUAAGGCUCUAGCGUAGUUAAGACAAUUAUCUAUUAAAGUAAGUCACAGAAGUCAAGUUAGAUACAUAGGAGUCCUUUACUCACUCGUUGUCCUCCCACCUAGCUAACUCUACCAUUUACCUUUAGCAUAGGACCUUGGAUUCACCACUACCCUUCCUAUUCGUUAUUUACCACCCUUAUUCACUAGUUGAUACUAGAUAACUCAAGGAAUCUCAUUCCCCUUUUUGUUAAACACACUUAGCCGCUUUCCCUUGGGAAAAUAUAAAUUACGAUACCUUGGAAUACUCCUUGGUGAAGUGCUACAGCGGUACAUUCUGUGCGCUUGCGGAAUUAUCCAAUAGUAAAUAGAGUUACCCUACCAGGGCACUUCUGGCGCCGUCGCCGAUAUCCGGUGGUUGCGUUAAGAAGUGUCAACAGGUAUUCACGCAGAACUUGAGAACACGCCGAGCUUAAGUCGACGAAUUCCUAAGAACUCGUAAUAAAAAGGAAAAUGUAUGACGAAGUCAUCGAAAAAGUAGAUGCUUGGAAUAUGAGUAAAACAUGUGUUUGAUUGAUUGAUAGAUGUCUGAUUACAAAGCUCUAGGGUCUAUAUUUAUACCCUGCUCAAAGAACUACAACUAGACACGACUAGAACUCGAAGUCCAAAUUAAACAAAAUCCGUAUACAAAACGAUUUAAAUAACUAAGGAAAACAUAAAACUAUCCCCCCUGACAAACUGGAACACCUCCGCAAGCCGAUCGGCAACUUCCAAACUCUUGCCCCGCAUCAUCGGCAGACUGCCUUGUUGUAGCCAUCGGCAUAAACACAUCAUCACCUAUGGACUUGGUCACGUUCAGCCAUCCUUCCAUCGGCAACUCAUCCUGUAGAUCAAGUACUGCCGUCCUGUUCUGCCGACCUACACUUUACCAAUCAUGGACACGUGCCCAAAAACGGUGUCAACACAUGCCCCCCAAUUUCGGAGUAUGAAAUCAUUAAUGCUCCGAAAUUCUCCACAGUAAUGAUGCCUUUCCGCAAUUAAUGCUCCCAAUCUGGUAACCGACAGCCUUAAUCUGAACAACUCUGAUUUGAUUCUUCCGCACAUUCCUCGAAAUCCUCAACUUCCCAAACGGACAUUUCCAUUUUAGUCGCGCAUCGGCAAUAUUACCGUUACAGGGACUUGCUGAUGGACUGACAAGGACGCCCAUAUCUUAUCCCUCCAAACGGCUAUCUCCACUUUAUUCGCCCAUCGGCAAUAUGACUGUUACAAGGCGCUGCCGAUGGACCGACUAGGAGAUCCCGCACAGUAAAAUAUCUAUGGAUAAUGACCGCUUCCUAUCAAAUCACCUGCACAAUCCCUUGAUUACCGUGCGAACAGUUACCAUAUCUACCUGAGUACCCUCGGGUUUCACGGAUACGGCGAAAAGAUAAGUCAGAUUUGCCCUUGCCUGUUUUGUCCUAUAAAUAGUUCCUUCUCGGGUACCCCUUCUCCAUCACAUCAUUCCACAGCCCCAACUUCACUUUCCCAGCGGCGGUGCUGUUCGAGAGCUUCAAGAUCUCCAAUGAAGCCCCUUCUUCACCAACUCCGAAGCCUUCAAUCUUCUUCCUCGCGAGGAAAAAUGACCAUCAACUUCAUCGUCCCUGAGGUUAGUUCAUCACUCCAUCUCUUGUACUUUUCCUCGCACCCCUGUUCAUCCGCAAUCCAUUUUACUGAACAUUUUCUUUUUCUUUCUUUGUUUUUCUUUUACCUUCAAAACCAUUAGGAUUUGUCCAACAAAAUUGUCAUCCCCACCGAUCAACCACACCUCCAAUUCCUUGGCCCGUUAGGGGAUCCAGAUCCAACCGACCUCAUUAACGCAGAAACCAACAGAAUCCAUUUUAGAGCUGAGAACUUUUCUUUGGAUCUGUGGAAAGAUACUUUCCGUUCUUGGCCCAGUCCUACCGUGGGAUGGACGGAUUGGUUUUUGAGGGUCAGCAACUCAAAUGAAGUCCAGUGGGGCGAGAGAAAACUAGACCAAUGCAUCAGAUUGUCUAUUGCCGAUAUGCAUAGAAAUGAAUCAUUGCUGAUAGCUGCAUCAUACUUUUGGUCAGACACGCUCAACGCCUUUGUCUUUGGCCACGGCCCUGCUUCCCCUACUCUUGCCGAUGUAGCUAUGAUCACUGGCCUAGAUGUAUCUUCUGCUGAUAGCACCCAUUUUUUCGACACCAAGCCUAGUGCCAAGGUAGAAACUCGCUCCAUCGGCGGUUGGUCAGGGUAUAUUCAGAAAUAUAAAUGAACUGGCCCUGUCAACAUAAAGGAGCAGACCAGCUUUCUGAACAUGUGGCUGGACAAAUUCGUGUUUUGCGGCCGAUCGGCAGGACCAACCUCCGUCUAUCUAGCAGCAGCAGAGAACUUAGCUAAUGGUGGCUGAUUUCCCCUCGGCCGAUACCUGCUUGGUGCAGCCUACCACCUCCUUCACCAAGUGACUAGGAAACUCUUACUCGGCCGGUCUAUCGGCAACUUGGGAGGUCCCUGGUGGUUUAUCAACAUGUGGCUCGGUCUCCACAUGCACAAGCGUCUUGAGUUUGACCUUUUUGCACAGCGUUUCCCAAGGGACAUAGCCGAGAACUAUGAACUGGAUGAAGAAGAAUCGGCAACACGCCCUCCCCUAAACUUCGGUGAGGCUGUCAUAGUUUUACCUGGUACAGGGGGUAAUGCAGACCAGGUCAGCCGAUUCUUCCAAACCUUGUAUGAAGGCUUGACCAGAGAGGAGCUAGCAUGGUUAGCUUAUGACGAUCCAGCCACCAUGUUUCCUCUAGUUUUCAACCCAUUCAAUGAUGCUCUUGACACGGAUCACGAAGUGAAGAUGGCACUGGUCACUCCUAGAGCUAUACCAGUGAAUUUCUUUGGUAGUGGGAAAACCUCCAUCCAGACCUAUGAGUUUUAUAACCCAUCGGCAUUAGCUCGUCAAUUAGCUUUCGGCCAGCUACCGAUUGCACUCUGUUAUGCCGAUGUGAUAAAACCUAGGGAAGCCAUCACUAGCCUUCUUGAAUGGAUUCGAGUGGCCCAACUGCCAUCAAGUGCCGAUACAGAUGUAGACCUGUCAGAGUGGGUUCCAGGUGCCUUCAUCACUCAGGCAUACAAGCAAUGGUGGGCAGAAUGGAAGGAACAUCUGUUCUGCAGAUCGGCUCUAACGUAUCGCGGCAUGAUCGACCCCGAGUACAAAGUCCCUGAUGACACUGUAAGUAUCUUCGAACCGAUGUUUCAAUUUUCUCAUUUUUAUUUCCAUCGGCGAUUUACCCUUGUAUCAUCUUGCAGGUUGACAACACCCCUCCAUCGGUCAGCAGGAGUGGCAAGCCGAUUGACUUGUUUCCAUCAGGCCCAAUCUCCUCAAUCGGCAACAACGCUCCUACCCUGGCCGCCAUCAUGCAUCGAGGUGUACGCCUCAAGAAAGUCACCACUAGGAGGACUCAGAUAUCUCCAUCGGUAGCUGCUUCCACCUUGGCACAGGUGUUCAAGGUAAUUGUUAAACCUUUUCAUUCAUACCGAUUUUUAUUUUAUAUCUGCCACACUUGUACUCAUAAAUCUUUCCCAUAUCAGCAGACCGGCGCAUCGGCAAAGACCAGAAGCAAAGGUGUCGAUGCCCCCCAGUCUAGCCAGCAGAAGAGAAAAGGUGCCAAGAGUACCAGAGCACAAACAAAGUGCCAGAAAGUGGCAACUCCUCCUCCUCCUCCGGUAUCUCCAAUUCCGGUGGAAUCCUCUCCUUCUUCUCCAGAAACACAGACACAGCAAGUACCAUCUCCCCCUCAACCGCAAGAAGCACCACAAGCAGAAGAACCCCGACCAGAAGAGCUCCAACCAGAAGUACAUCAGCCAGAAAGCAUAUCGGCUGAUAUAGGUGAGCAGACUACCGAUCCGGUAGGAUCAAUCAUAUCGUCAGUAGUUUCCUCUAUCCAGACGAGCACUGUACCUCCCCAAGGUAACACAUUUUCUUAUGAAAUUAGCACCGAUGAACUUAUUUCCUCUGUCCUUACAAUCAUUUCUGUUAUUUUUCAGCUGAUAUAGUUCCAUCGGUAACCCCAGCCGAUCAACCCGUAAUACCAUCGGCAUCCUCCAGUCAGAGGCGAGAGAUUGCCCUGAAGCAAGUAAGCCACCCAAUCUCUAUCAGUACUAUUUGCUGAUGCUUGACCAUGGAAUGACUCACUUUGUUUUCUUUUUCAGGAACAGGACUCUCCCGACAGCCUGUUCUCCUUCGCCAUUGAUAUCUCUGAAGAUGAAGGCGAGGAAGCAAGCUCCUCCCGGGCAGUUGGGAUCGCAUCAGCAGAGAUUAGGGCAAAGCUAGAAGAACUGUCGGCUCUCCUCCAUCAAGACACAGCCCAAUUGGUCGAUGACUCUGACCCGGCCAAGGCUUUGUUCAAGACCCUCAGAGGCCAGAUUCCUACCGAUACUGAAGAAAUCCUCUUCCAGGCCGCACAUCUGGAGAGCCGUCAGCUGUAGUACCAGAAAGCUGCCCAACGCCUUGCCGACAGAGUGGCUCAUGCCCAACUCUCUGAGGAGAUGAUGAAGGUGAAACUCCUUGCCGAUGAGAAGCAAAAGAACAUCGGCAUUUUACAGUCCUCAAGAGAUGUAUUGAAGCAGAAGAUUUCUGAUCUAUUGGCGAGAAGAGAAGCCCUGCUGGCAGAACUCAAGCAAGUAGAGGAUGCCCUGUCCCAAGCCCGACAAGAAGAAAGCCAACUGCCAGAGACAAUUAAACUCCUCGAGCAAGAACGAAACAACCAUGGCCGCAAGGUGCUGCAGAUGAAAAAGAAGCUGAAGCCUGUGGAAGGUUCUGCCGAUGACGACGUGAAGGAGAUAGAGGAAGCCAACCAGAUUCGUCUGCGCGCCAUAUCGGCGAUCCAGGCGCUGUAGAACACAUGAACCCUUCAUCGGCAACACAUCCUUGCCCCUCUGCACUUUCCAGCUCUCUUAUUGUUUAGUCUAGCCGAUAGGACUGUUAUCGGCAUCUUUUGAAACAUUAAGUCCGGCCCUAGAUACAUUUCAAUCUAGCCGAUAGGAGUGUUAUCGGCAUCUAAACUUUUUAUGCAUCGACCCAUAUACUUGGGUAGUACUUUUUUAGAUAUUUACCAUUUAAUGCUCUAGGAAAUUCGACUCCUUCGAGAGUUUCUAGAAUAUAGGCAUUACCAGGAGCCGACCGACUUAUCCGAUAGGGACCCUCCCAAUUGGGAGACCAUUUCCCAAAUUUUGAACUUUUAGUUCCAAUCGGCAAGACCAACUUCCAUACCAAGUCUCCAUCGGCAAAUUCUUUAGCCUUUACUUUCUUAUCAUACCAUCUAGCAACUCUCUUCUUAUUUUCUUCUAUACUCAUUAAAGCCUUUAACCGAUGUCCUGCUAGAUCAUCUAACUCAUCGGUCAUCAAAGUAGCAUAAUCAUCAGCAGCCAAUUGAUUCUGAAAAGAUAGUCGCCUAGAUCCAGCCUUAAUUUCCCAAGGCAACACUGCAUCAUGUCCAUACACCAACUGAUAAGGUGAAACCUUGGUUGAUCCAUGACAAGCCAUUCGAUAGGACCAUAAAGCUUCAUUUAACAAUGUGUGCCACCGCUUAGGAUUUUCUUCAAUUUUUUGUUUGAUAAGCUUGAUAAUUCCCUUGUUAGAUGCCUCGGCCUGCCCAUUAGCUUGAGCAUAAUAAGGAGAAGAGUUUAACACCUUAAUUCCCAUACCGAUUGCGAAUUCAUCAAAUUCUCCUGAUGUGAACAUAGUACCCUGGUCUGUAGUAAUUGUCUGAGGAAUCCCAAAUCGGUAAAUAAUGUGCUUCUUCACAAAAUCAAUCAUAUUGGCCGAGGUAACUUUCUUCAAAGGAAUAGCCUCAACCCAUUUGGUGACAUAAUUAGUGGCAACCAAGAUAAACUUAUGCCCUUUGCUAGAUGGCGGAUAAAUCUGACCGAUUAAGUCAAUAGCCAAUCCCCGGAACGGCCAAGGUUUGAUAAUGGGUUCAUGGCUGAUGCGGGUGCUCUUUGAAUGUUACCAAAUUUCUGACAUCCUUGACAUCCCUUGAAAUAUUUAAAGCAAUCUUCAAGUAUGGUCGGCCAAUAAUACCCGUUCCUCCUAAUCAUCCACUUCAUUUUGAAAGCCGACUGAUGUGCUCCACAUACCCCUUCAUGGAUUUCUCCCAUCAAACUCCUAGCUUCAUCAUCACCUAAGCAUCGGAGAAGAAUCCCAUCAAUAGUUCGAUAAUACAAUUCAUCUUCGAGGAGCACAUACUUGGUGGCUUGAAACCGAACCCGCCUUUCAACUUUCUUAGAUGGAUCCUUCAAAUAAUCAAUGAUUUCCUUUCUCCAAUCAUCGGCACCGAUUGCCGAUAUUGUAUUAAUCAUAGGCUGAUAUCCCGAGGCAUGCUGAGCCAAUCGAUUAGCUUCUUCAUUAUGCAAUCGAGGAAUAUCCUCUAAUUAGAAAUCUUUGAAUUCCUUUAACAGUCGCAUACUCCUUUCGUAAUAAGUUAUGAGAACUUCACUUCGGCAUUCAUAGCUUCCAGCCAAUUGAUUUAUAACCAACAUAGAAUCCCCGAAGACCUCAACAGCAUCAGCAUGAACUUCCCUUAACAACUCCAAUCCUUUUAUUAAAGCUUGAUACUCAGCCUGAUUAUUCUUCGACGUGGCAACAAUCGGCAAGGAAAACUCAUACUUCCUGCCCCGAGGGGAAAUCAAUACUACGCCGAUUCCUGCCCCCUGGCCACAUGUGGAUCCAUCAAAGAAGAGCGUCCAAGGUACAAUUUCCAAAGCCUCCACUACACCGCAAUGUUGAGUUACAAAAUCGGCCAUAAUCUGUCCCUUAACUGCCUUAGCCGAUUCGUAACGCAGAUCAAAUUCCGACAGCGCCAAAAUCCAUUUACCGAUCCUGCCACUCAUAAUCGGCAUAGACAGCAUGUACCAGACCACAUGAUCCUUGCAAAUGACAGUGCAUUCGGCCGAUAGCAGGUAGUGCCUCCACUUGACACAAGAGAAAUACAGACACAAGCAUAGCUUCUCAAUAGCCGAAUACCUGGUCUCAGCAUCAAUCAACCUCCUACUUAAGUAAUAAAUCACGCGCUCCUUCCCUUCAAAUUCUUGAAUUAAAGCCGAACUGAUGACCACCCCAUCGGUAGACAAAUACAAUCUGAAGGGCUUCCCUUGCUGAGGUGGAAUUAGAACUGGAGGAUUCACUAAAUAAUUCUUGAUUUCAUCUAGAGCCAACUGCUGUUCUUUCCCCCAAAUAAAUUCUUGAUCGGCUUUUAGUUUAAGAAGAGGACGGAAAGCACGAAUUUUACCAGACAAAUUAGAUAUAAAUCUCCUGAUAAAAUUUACCUUGCCGAUCAAGGACUGGAGCUCAGUCUUGUUGGUAGGGGCAACUAUUUUGUUGAUAGCCUCAAUAGAUCUUCGACUAAUUUCAAUCCCCCUUUGAUGCACCAUGAAACCAAGAAACUGCCCUGCCGAUACACCAAAUGCACACUUAUUGGGAUUCAUUUUCAAACCGUGCUUCCUUGUGCACUCCAACACCUUUCGUAAAUCGGCAAGAUGCUUCAUGAAGUCUCCAGAUUUUACCACCACAUCAUCAAUAUAAAUCUCCACCAGCUUGCCGAUGAACUCAUGAAAUAUAAAAUUCAUGGCCCUUUGAUAAGUAGCACCAGCAUUCUUUAAGCAGAAGGUCAUGACUAUCCACUCAAACAAUCCAACAUGACCAGGGCACCUGAACGCGGUCUUUGGAAUAUCCUCUUCAGCCAUGAAUAUUUGGUUGUAUCCUGCAUUGCCAUCCAUAAAACUAAUAAUCCGAUGUCCAGCUGCAGCGUCAACUAGCAGAUCGGCAACUGGCAUUGGGUAUCCAUCCAUCGGUGUAGCUUUGUUGAGAUUCCUAAAAUCAAUGCAAACCCGAAGCUUCCCGUUCUUCUUGUAGACCGGAACAACAUUGAAAAUCCAUUCGGCAUACCGACACCGCCGAAUAAACUUGGCUUCAAUAAGUUUAGUUAUUUCGGCCUUGAUGUCAGGAAGAAUAUUAGGAUUACACCGGCGAGCUGGCCGCUGAUGUGGCCGAAAUCCAGACUUGAUAGGCAACCGAUGUUCAACAAUCGAUAGGUCAAAACCAGGCAUCUCAGUAUAAUCCCAAGCAAAGCAAUCUUUAUAUUCUUUUAACAAAUCAGUCAAUUGCUGCUUACACUCAGGACUUAACUUAGCACUAAUAAAAGUAGGUCUAGGUUUAUCACCACUACCUAUAUCUACUUCUACCAAAUCAUCGGCCGAUGUGAACCCCUGGCCUAAUUUUCCUUCAUCGGCGAACCUAUCCAUUAAAAACCAUCUUCAGAACCGACUGCUUGGAUCGGUGGAAUUUCAUAAUCGGCAACCUUGAGAAAAUCCUUUUCCCAAGCUUCUCCUGAAAUACACCUAGUCUUUCAUAGGUUUCUGCUUCCGCCGAUGCGAUGACAUAAGAAGAGUCUCCUGGGACAAUUUCAAUUUUAUCACCUACCCACUGGACCAAGCAUUGGUGCAUUGUAGAUGGGAUGCAACAAUUGGCAUGAAUCCAAUCUCUUUCCAACAGUAAGUUGUAAGCACCCUUUCCACUGAUCACGAAGAAGGUUGUCGGCAAGGUUUUACUGCCGAUGGUCAACUCUACGCAUAUAGCUCCUUUAACUGGGGAUACAUUGUCCUCGAAGUCCUUGAGCAUCAUAUCGGUCUUGGUCAGGUCCUGAUCUCCUUUUCCAAGCUUCCGAUACACUGCAUACGGCAUGAUGUUGAUAGCAGCCCCACCAUCAAUUAGAAUCUUGGUCAUCAGCUGCCCAUCAACCCUUCCUUUGACAAACAAAGCCUUAAGAUGUUGCCUUUCAUCAUCGGCAGGCUUCUCGAAGAUAGCUGUCAUCGGAUCCAGAGCCAGUUGAGCUAUUUGGUCGGAGAAUUCCACCUCAUCAUCACUGGAUGGCGCAAGGAACUCCAUCGGCAACAUAAAGACCAUGUUGACAUCUGCCGAUGGACCUUUCCCCUCAGGAUCUGACUGUUGCUGAUCCCCAGACUGUCUAGAAUUCUCUCCCUUGCUCAGUCCUUCUCGCCUUUCGUGCUCUAGCCUUCUCUUCUGAGUCCUGGUCAACCCCUCCAGACACCAUGGAGGAAGUUGCUUCUGCCUUACCGAUUGGCGACGAUUUUCUUGUAACACCCCAGUGUUAUGGUUGCAUCAAACAUGUGCAUAGCAUGAGCAUCAUCAUUUAUUCAAAGCAUCCAUGAUCAUCAUCUAUCUUGAGACAUGUCAUUCUUUGCAAAAAUGUGUUUUAAAUUGUUUAAAUAGGCUUCCUAUGCUUAUGUUUGAGUGAACAAUGCUUGUGUUUGUGCUUAAUGCCUUGGUAAAUAGCUUAUCUAUGCUUAACUUAAUCUUGGGAACAAUGUUCAUGUUGAUCACUUCUCCAAAAUAAUCACUUAAGUCAUACUUAUGCAAAUAGGCCCUAGAAACCUCUUUUGCUUAGGCUUUUUAAAAGUGUUUCAUAAAAUGUUUGCAUGUCAAAACUUCCUACAGAAAAGUUGUAGCAAAUUUUAUAAGGAACAAAAGUUGUUUUAUGGCCAUCUCAUGAAAAUGAUCACAAAUAGCUCAAAAGUGGCCCACAAGGCAGAUUUGGGGCUGUUUUCAACACUUAGAAAAUUUUCUAAGUCCUGGGUGCUUUGCAGUUUGCUUGAUCGAUUUUGGAAACUCUAUAUCUAUCGAUCCAGGCCGAUCUAGCCUUUGCUCUAGUUGACAAAGUUGUAGAUCUCGCCUAGUACUCCAAGUUUGUCAACUACACCAUCUCCUAAUUCGCUCUGGUUUGGGAGAUAAUCACCGGUGAAGUCGCUCUGUCAGUCGGCCGAUGCGCUGCCUGAAUCGUUUUGGACCUCGCCGACGUGGCCGACCGGCGGCAGCACAACGGCGACAAUUGGCGCCCGCACGCCGUUCCUGGCCCCGCCUGUCAGCCCUCGUCGCGUGCAUGACCUCCACGGCGUCGCCCGCGCAGAGUGGACGCGUCCACUUCGCUCCUCCUUGCCUCCACUCGCCAGAAAAGCUCCCGCAGCGAGCCCUCCGCCGCGAGCUCACUCCGGCGAGCUCGUGUGCGCUCCUCAUUGCGCCUCCGUCCACCAAACUCCACCCAAAGCUCCGCCGUGAGCCGCUCUCCAAGCUCCACCCUCUAACUCGCCGAGAAACCCACCGGUGAGCCGACAUUUCUUUCUUCCCCCAAAUCGGUCCGCCGUGACCUUCUUCUCCGGCGAACUCAAUGCCGAGCGCUGUGAGGCUUCUCAUCGUCUUUGGUUAGGUCCUAGAGGUAGCUUAGGUCCUUAGCGAGCUUUUGCGCCACCUGGUGGACGCUCUACCGGGUUCUCCGUCGCCGGACACGGUGCGCAGCGCCGCCGUGCUUCCGCCGGAGUUGGGUGCUCUCGUGGCCAGCGCUUUCCACGGGGAUCCAGGCCAAGCCGCGUACCUAGGAAGCUUCGCCCUAGUCUGCUGGUGCUAUAGAAGGCCUUAGGUCGCGCUCUACCGGCCUGAGGGCUCCGGCGUAACGCCGAGCACCUCCGCCGAGCCGCCAUUGCCGACGGUGAGCCCCUUCCGGUGGCUCCGCCGUGGCCAAAGUGGGGUCAAUCGAGUCGUUAGGGUUUGGGGAUCACGUUGAUGCCCUGGGUUUGGCCGGAGACCUCGCCGUCGCGGAGAAAUCGCCGGCGAAAGUCGCCUCGGCCGUGAGGAAGAAGAGCCUGACGGGUGGGACCCACUGUCAGCGACUCUCUCUUUCCCUCCUUUUCUUUUAUUCAAAAUCCUGAUUUUUGGCUUUCUUGCAAAAAUCAUAUCUCCUGUUUCUGAGAUCCAAAAAUUGUGAAACAAAUUUCGUGUUGUUUCUUGAGAUGGCUAGUAUUUAAUAAAAAUAUAAAAUGAAUCAUGUUUUCUGAGAAAUUAUUUAUUAAGGAUUUAAUCUUGUUAUUUAUGGAUAAAUGCAUAUCUCUGGUUUUACUGAUUAGUUUGCUCUGAAAAUUUUAUGGUGGUCUUUGCAUGGCAUUAGAGUGCUCUGAUAAUUAUUUCAUGAUUUUUGGAGCACUGCAGUUGUGAUAUGUAAUUUGUGUUUGAAAUAUGGCUUGUUUCUUUAAUUAAAUCACAUAAAAUAAUUGGUGCUUAUGCUGGUGCUCUAUUUUGGUGGUAAACUUGUUUAUGGUAUUCCUUAGAUAUAAAUAAUCUGAAAUCUGUUGUUUGACACUAUAUAAGUCAUGUCUAUGAAUUUAUGAAAUAAAUGCCUUGAUACAUGCUAAAUGCAUAUCUUUAAUUUGGCAUGUGCAUUGGUCCUGAAAUUUUUAUGGUGGUGAUCUGAUGUUAUACUUGUGCCUCUGUAAUUUUUGUAGAUUUUUUUUCUGAGCACUUUAACUAAUAUCUUGUAAAUAUGCCUUAUCUAAAAUUAAUUAAUAAAUGCCUUGUUAAGUAAUUGUUUUGGGGUUUUCAACUGAUGAUCUGGUGACCUUGUAAUAUGUUUGUGCUCAUGAGUCAUAUGGUUGGCAUGGUUUGUGUUUUGAUCAUGUCAUUAAAUAAUUAACUAUAGGGUUAAAUGCUGUCUGGACAGCAAGUGAGUAAUUUAACUUUGCUUAAUGAUAACUUGACUUUCUGUGAAACUUGUAUAAAACAAAGUUGUUCUAAACUUGUUGAACUAACUGUGGUUUAAAUUUGAGGUCAUUUGGCCAAGUAGUUUAAAAGUUAUAGCUGUUCCAAGUUGGGUUCCAGAAAUAGGUGUUCUCUGUUUUUCUGGGACAGAACCUGGAACUUUGUUAAAAUGACUAGUUUAAUGUUUGAAUCUUGCUAUCAUGUUUAAAGAUGAGUUGUAGACAAUUUCCUAAGCUUUCCAGAAUGUCCUUACUCAUGUUUGUUGGACCUGUCUAUCUAUAAUUAUGAUUUAUUUACUGAGCAUACUUGUUUUGUGUCGUUUGCUGCUUUGGUGCCAUGAUAGGUUUUGGGUUAUGUUAACUUGUUUAUUCAUGUGAGUUAGUAUAACUCUUGCUCCGUAAAUGAGUGUCCAGUGAGUUGCUUGUGUUAUUAAGCAUUCAUCUGUAGCAUGUGUACCUUCUCAUUCAUCGAGCAUGCAAUAGGUGCACCGGACGUGGCAGUUUCCUUCGAGCUCCAAGCGAACCCCGAAGGCCAGGAAGGCAGCCAGGAGGUGGAGGUCCAGCAAGCCGGACUCGAGGAGCCCGAAGAAGAAGUUGAGUGCCCGAAUCACGAGCCGGCAUCGUUCGUGAAAGGCAAGCCCCGGAGCAUUCUAAGCCUCCUCUAUUUUCGAAAGUUUACUUAAUACGUUAUAUCUAUUGAUGCAUUACGUAUAGGAGUUGUGAUGAAAAUGUUGCUGCAUUCUACUCUAUCCUUGUCCAGAUAACUCACCCUCCCUGGUUGUAGAGUUAGGUCCGAGUAGCAGCUUAGUUAUGCUUUAAUCGGCAGAAGUCGGGUGAUAUUCUGUCAUCCGCGCGAUAUAGGGUUGUGUCGGGUCACGAUGGUCUAUAUGUGCUAUCGUGGAUGGAACCUGGUUAAAUUGACUUAAGCCGGGCGGAGUUUUGCAAGUGUGUAGUAACUCCGUCUGUGGCAGCUAAGGACCGAUCGUUGUACGUCCUCUUGUCAUGUUGAACGCAUGCCUGACACUUAGUUGGCCGGAUAACUCGUUCCGACCGCGAAGCCGAGUAGUAUGACUCAGGCCGGAAGACCGGCAAGUAUAAAGUGCGCACUACCGGAGGAAGUGCGGUGUGCGGGGGACCAUUGGCGUAAGUCCAAAGGCAGGUGAGUUAAAAUUCCUGACCUCCCUGGCAGAGUGGUAGCCCUGGGAGUGCGGCGCUGAUCGGAGCCGCGAUUCCUGAGUUGUACCAAAGGUGACCCGUUGGCUCUCCGGCAGGGGAUGCUUGGGUGAGUGCUAGGAAUAAUCCUCCAGCUGGAUAGGAAUUCGAUUCGAAUCGCCGUCUCUCCCGGUUAGUGAGAACUUGACAGAGCAGCGGCAAACGUAGCAUUCACUAAUGAACUUGGUUCAUGAUAAUGAUGAUAGCAAGAAGAACAUAUGAUGAAUUUGGUAUGGUUAUUAUUGUUUGUAAUAAUCAAGUGAUGUGUUGUAGUACAGGUGCUAAUCUAGUGGUAGGCUGAUGAUAAAUAAAGAUGAUGCUCCCAAAAUAAUUUAGUUGCAACUUAAGCUUUUGGCAAAAGAGUGAGUCAACCAACUCCACUUGAUAUUUAGCCUGGCAUGAUCCUUGGUGUCUUUUGUGUUUUACUAGACGGGUAAGUCUAGCUGAGUACAUCCUCGUACUCAGGGUUUAUUCCCACCUGUUGCAGAUGAUAUCUUCUAUGACGGUUUCUGCAAGACCUGUCUCCAUCCCGCUGGGGAUGAGGACUAACCGUUGGGCACGGUUCUCUAAUCUUCUCGUCUAUGAUGCUUUUGGAAGGAUGGCAUAGACUCUGGCAGUAACAAACUUGGGAACUGAACUUUGAACAAGUGUGUGUAAUUAUUUUGCUUCCGCUACUUCGAACAAGUGUUGUAAUAACUUAAUACUCCGAUGUGGUGCCGCUUCGACGGCAAUGAAUGACUAUGUAACAUUCGUUGUGUUUAUGUUGAACUAUUACGAUCUUGGUUUGUUGCGAGUUGGUUUGAAGUCCUUCGUGAUUUCGAUUGACUACCGGGAUUAUAUGGGCUCAAGUUUAGAAACUUGAUUGUUUGACGAUCGUUUCUGCACUUGAACUCUUAUAAUUUGGUCGGUUCUGUGACAUUUCUCCUGACUCCAUUAGGUAAAUAUUGGCAUCUCGGCAGAAGAUGAACUCAUCGGGAACCCGUGCAUUAGCCAUCUCUUCGAGUUCUUCCUGGUUCCUGGGAAAAUAUUCAACCCGAUCCCCAAGUCUGUCAUGCACACUGAGCCUGCCCCCCAGCCGAUCAUGAACGGAUGCUCUCCCCCUAAUCGGCCCAUUAAAUCGCCGAUCAUUAUCACGAUAGUACCGAUCGGACCUGUCGUACCGGUCAUAACCGUUGCACUCAGGGCAAUCUCUGACAGUGGGGAGCUUGAUAUUUUCCUCCCAACAAUGAAUGAAGAACGGGCAAUUCCAGUGAUCCCUAUGCCGAUUCCACUCCUGUCGGCGUCUGUCCUCUUCUCGACGAUAAUCCUCUUGCUGGCGCCGAUACCGAUCUUCUCGUUGCUGCCAAUUCUCCAGAGGCCUCCUGUGAGUUAUCACAAUGCCGGAUCGGGGAGGCCUUCCUGAGUUAGCUCCUUCCUGGAUCAAGCCUUUCCCUUUCGCAUCGGCAGUAGUGAUUUGAUGCUGAGGAUCCACCGAUGCACUUCUUUCAGCUGCUUCUGAUGUCAAGACCUUGGCCUUUCCCUUAGCAUCCAGCAUAUUUGUCGGGAAAGGGUGUUGGUCAAUCUUCAUCAGCUUCUGGGUCUUGGAGCUGUCAAAUUUGAUCCUUCCAGAUUCUAUAGCCGAUUGCAGCUGCUGUCUGAAAACCUUGCACUCAUUUGUGUCGUGAGAAGUUGCAUUGUGCCACUUACAAUAUUUCAUCCUUUUCAAUUCUUCAGCCGAUGGGAUCACAUGAUUAGGUGACAGCUUGAUCUGACCUUCCUGAAGUAGAAAGUCAAAUAUCCUAUCGGCCUUAGUGGUAUCGAACGCGAACCUCUCUGGUUCUUUAUGUCCAAAAGGGUAAGACAUCGGCUUCUUAUUUUUUACCCAUUCUGCCAAGCCGAUGACUGGUUCCUCAUUAGAAUCUGAGCUCGUUGCCUCAUCAACGAACGACACCUUUUUGUUCCAUGCUCUCUUCAGCUCAAAAGGCUUGAUAUCCUGAUCAGAGAUUCUCUACACCAAAUGACUUAAGCUUUCAAACUCCUGAGACGCAUACUUGUCCCUGAUGUGUGGCAACAAACCCUAGAAAGCCAAAUCGGCUAGCUGCCGAUCAUCCAGAAUCAGGCUAUAGCAUUUGUUCUUGACCUCCCGUAUCCUCUGCACCAAACCUUCAAUCGAUUCAUCAUUGCGUUGCCUCAAUUUAACCAAAUCGGUGAUCUUCUUCUCAUGGACCCCAGAAAAGAAGUACUUGUGGAAUUGUUUCUCCAGAUUGGCCCAAGUAAUCACUAAGUUAGGAGGUAACGAUAUAAACCAGGUGAAAGCCGAUCCGAACAACGACGACGAGAAUAAGCGAACCCUUAACUCGUCCCUGUUACCAGCUUCCCCGCAUUGGAUGAUGAACCUGUUGACGUGCUCCAUGGUUGAUGUGUCAUCCUGCCCAGAAAACUUAGCAAAAUCCGGUACCUUGUACCGAUUUGGAAGUGGGAUCAAAUCAUAUGCGGGUGGAUACGGUGUCCGAUAAGAGUAAGUGUUGACUUUGGGUUUUAUCCCAAAUUGGUCCCUCAUCACUUCAGCAAUCUUAUCGGCCCAGUAAGCAUCGACAUCUUGCCGAUGAGGUGGUUGCGGAUCCGGCGCCUGCUGGUAAGCUUCCACGUGCCUGUGCGUCGCACGAUCUGCAUGAAACAUCAGGUUAAUCCUUUGGCCCCCAAUCUGUGGACCACCAAGCUGUUGCCCGCCAGUCUGCUGCCCGAAAUUCAUCGGCUGGUUGGGUGGUCCCUGAUUGUGGAACCCGCGGUAGAUCUGGCCUUGCUGGAACCCUGUAGCCUGAUGAUUCUAUUGGGGCGUUUGCAGAAAGACUUGCUGCCCAAGCCAUCCACUAUUUGCAUUCAUCGGCAUGGGUCCUGCCGAUGACUGGUAAUUGGGCAUUAUCAUUGAAUUGACAUGCCCUGGCUGAGUCAUAAACCUCUGUUGCAUCAGCAUCGAGUCCGCCGAUGCGUUAGGCAUCUGGAACAUCGGAGCUUGAGAACUCCCAGUAUAAGGUCUUGCAGUAGUAGUUGUAGUAUACUGGGGACUCUGGUUCAUUGGCAUAUUUGGAGGUGCCGAUGCCAUGGGAGCCUUGCCUCUCAUAUCGGUUGCCUGAGAUGUGCCAGGUGUCUUCAAGUAUUCCGGGGGCAUACCGUAACCCCACCAGUUGGGAGGAGAAACUGGUCCUGACAUUGCCGAUGCCAAUAGAUCUGUGGUGAGCUUGAUCUGCUCAUCUGAAGUCGGUGGAUUAGUUGUCAUCGGCGUAGAUUGUGCAUUAGUGACUCCCAAUGUACUUGGAGGAACGGUAGUUUGUGUUCCCGCAACGGCUGUAGCAGCCGAUGGGGCUGCGACCACCGGUGAUCCUGGUUGAUGAUGAGAGGGGCCCUCAUAAUCUAGUGGUAAUUGUCCUUCCUUGAAAGUUCUAGCCAUGGCGUUGAAAACUGUAUUGGACAGCACACCAGCUUGGUUGAUCAAAGCAAGGUUGAUAGCACUAUCAACCAUCUCUUGAAGUUUACCAGGAUUGGCUUCAAAAGUAACCUGCCGAGGAGCCGGCAGUGCAUCUUUCUAGAUCACUUCGCUACUCCUGUUCAUGCUGAAGGACCUCAGGCAUUGCUGCUUGUAAUCCUCCAUGGCUUUAGCAAUAGCUUGCUUCUGCUCAUCCUUGAGAUUGACCUCCGUCACGGGGAUGACGUUCUCCUGAUCAAACUCAGAAGUCGACAUGUUGAUCUUGAUCUUGAAUAGGUCCCAUCGAGCGUGCCAAAAGAUGUGUUGAUGCAAAAGCUGAUCUGCAAACACAAAGGCCUAAUACCCGAUUUAAACGUUAAGGCGUGCCAGCCGAUUUGACCUUACUAUCGGCAAAGGUGGUAACUCGAAUACUUUGGUCCCGACAAUAGCGAUGCGCCCGGAUGUCUCGGCCAAGAGGUAUUCACGCGGAACUUGAGAACACACUGAGCUUAAGUCGAUGAAUUCCUAAGAACUCAUAAUAAAAAGGAAAAAGUAUGACGAAGUCAUCGAAAAAGUAGAUGCUUGGAAUAUGAGUAAAACGUGUGUUUGAUUGAUUGAUAGAUGUCUGAUUACAAAGCACUAGGGUCUAUAUUUAUACCCUGCUCAAAGAACUACAACUAGACAUGACUAGAACUCAAAUUCCAAAUUAAACCAAAUCCGUAUACAAAACGAUUUAAAUAACUAAGGAAAACAUAAAACUAUCCCCCCCGUGACAAACUGGAACACCUCCACAAGCCGAUCAGCAACUUCCAAACUCUUCCCCCGCAUCAUCGGCAGACUGCCUUGUUGUAGCCAUCGACAUAAACACAUCAUCACCUAUGGACUUGGUCACGUUCAACCAUCCUUCCAUCGGCAACUCAUCCUGUAGAUCAAGUACUGUCGUCCUGUCCUGCCGACCUACACUUUACCAAUCAUGGACACGUGCCCAAAAACGGUGUCAAUAGGAACAGGCAACCGUCCUGUCGUUUCUUUUUGCAGCCUUCCCCACCAAAUAAGCCAGAACGUGGCAGGGCGCGCAGAAUGGGUCGGGACGUCAAAUCAAGACCUCCCUCGAGUCGCCCAAGGUCAGCGCUCUAGCUAGCAAGGCAUUAUGCGGCACCUGACGCUCGAGUAGGCAUGUUUCCUUCCUAGGGAAGGGUCGGGCGUCGAAUGACAGUACUUCAACCACUCUGACAUAGCUGCUACCGUGACGUACAAGCAUGCAACACAUAAGUCAGUCUAGGACGGCGCACAGGAUCAGGAUUCAUGGGCACGCGUAAUCAUCGUCAUGGCACCAAGAUGGGACGGCUCGAGGCCACGCCGGUACGGAGGCCUCGAGCAGGUCAACGCGCCAUACCUCUAUCGAUCCCUACUAUGUCGCCUAUACAUGUACCCUAGACCUAUCCUUGGAACUAUAAAAGGGGAGGUCCGGGAGCGACAACAGAGAGGCGACACAACACGAGUCAUACGUGUAGAGCAACCUCACUCCGCCUCAGUUCUUACCACUCUUGUAUUCACCCCUGUACAAGCACUUAGGUGCAGAAUAAUACAAACACUUCCCCCCCACUGGACGUAGGGCCUUCUCUUGCCCGAACCAGGAUAAAUCCUUGUGUCUUUCUGCAUCACCAUCUGGAAAAGGGAGCACGCAUACAAGUUUUACUCGUUGGUGUGACCCCCCGGGGGGAAAACACCGACAACUAGUAAACAUUUGUCCUUGUGUGGAACUUCCGUCGAGGGCGUUAUUUAUUCUUAUUAUCACUUUUGUAUAAGACUAUGUAAUUUAUUAUCAUUUUCGUUAUGUAACAAACACUGCAAUGGUAUAUUUGAGAUUUGUCUACUUAUGUGUCUAACUGUUUCGGGGGCACAUAUGUGUCUUUUAUGCAUCCUAUUUUGUUCUUAAAAUAUAGUUAUGAUAAAUUGGUAUCAAAGCUUUGUUGACUGUCGCACGCAAGCCUAGUUAGAAAUUGGUCGUCUUAAGGUUUUGAAAUUGCUAUAAAAUCCUUGUUCUAUAAACCUUGAUAUUUUCCUCUACACUAUAUUCUUACCAUCACUUAUUCCACAAUACCGGUUCUGCCUGUCCUAUCAACGGAGGGUGGACUAUAUAAGAAUCAACGAAGCUGUCACUAUCGCGAACUACCACACAACCCGGCCAAUAGGAUACAUUUGCAGAUAAAUAACAUCUAAGCACCACGCUCACAUGUGAUCUAUCACCUAACUCCCUCGCGUCAAGAGCUAAGCGCUUUGCAAACUUAUACAUAAACUCAUUAUCAAUCAGAACUAUAUCAAAUAUAGAACUAGAGCAAACUAAGAACAUAAUAAUUAGAGACAUAAUGCAAUUAGAACAAAGAAUUAGAGAAAGAUAUGAAUAAUACCAAUCUUUAUUACCGAAGAUCCGAAUCCAGAGCGUAGUGCUCUACUUCUCUAAUUGCUAUCUAAUCAAACCUCUAAACUUGAAGGAUUAGGGAGUAGCUAAUUCUAAUUCUCUGUGGGAGAGAAGCUCUAAACUCUAACUUUGAUGGCUACCUCUGAAUAAUGAUUUCUUCUCUUCUCCUCUCUCCCCAGGGGGCCAGGGGGUCUGGUUUUAUAGUCCCCUCAAGUGAACGCGAGCCGUCGGAUCAAACCGACAUUGAUUGUGUGGUUUAGAUUGAUCCUUUAGGUCGGUGGAGCAUAGCCCCAAAGCAGAGUCCUAAUCCAACUCCUGGCCAGGGCGGGCGCCCAAGGGGGUUGGGCGGGCGCCCUGCCCUCGAGCCCGAUCGUGCUCUCAUUCGUUCCCGUGGCUUCUGGACUCUUCUAGAUUGAAGAAAAUUGCGCGGCACGUAAUUAUCUCAUUGUAAACAUGACAUGUGGGCCUUCUCUCCAUAUUCUCUGAUAACCCCCUGCAGAAAUAGAUAAACACCAAAGCUCGUGGAAUUCUGUCAGAUAAAACCCUAAUUCUAGAUGUUUGUUUCAUAUUGAUCCUUUUUCAUGUUUAUUUGAUUAUUAAUUUUAGUACUUAAGGACCGUCAACAAACUCUCCCAAGAUUACCCUUUGCUCGUCCCUGAGCAAACAGCUAAACUCGGAUGAAUCAGAAGUUGCUUCGAUGUUUUCUUUCCUGACAGGCACACAUGCUUUUACAUAAAAUUCUUCCAGAUUAGAGUGAAGUGUUAUGGAGUUUAGUACCUGCACUUAAUUCUUAAGUAAUUGAAAGACAAAAUAAUUAAGUCAAGCACUAUUUCUCCUGUCUAUACUUCACCUUUGUUCCAGAGUUUUUCAUAAGUUUUCAAAAUAAAACUCAGAGUUCCCAGCAAUGAUUCUCUCAAGUCUCUCUAUAUGUGGUAUUUGUGGAUCCUUACCAUAAUGUCACUUACCUAUAGCUAAUGGAAUAUUUAAGUGGAGCUCAUAGGAGUGAAAACAGCUCAUACAUAUGUUGUCUAAUCGAGCUAUGGAUCCAAAGGAACUCAGCAUAUAAUUAAAUCAAGAUGUGCAUGUGUGGUGGAGUAAAUGAUAGUGAUGGUAAAAAUGUAUAAGUAAUAAUAAAACUUGGUUCUCAUUGCUCCUCAUAUUGCUAUCUCUCCUCCUCUUUGAUCUUAGCUUUGGGAGAACAUGGGCUAUCUUUUUCUCUUUUUCUUCUUUCUCUUUUUUUUCAGGUGGGUAGUGGAUACCCCUAAUUCUACUAUCGGACUCUUGUCCAUUUUUUUCCGCUCAAGUGGGCGUCUUUGUACCCCUAAUUCUACUUUGGACACUUGUCCAUUUUUACCUCUCGUCUCACUCUUUUUCUUUUCUUUUUCGAGGUUCCGGGCACUUGCCCCUUUUUAUUUCCUCGCAUAUUUUUGCAUAACCCAUGCCUCUUCUGCAUUAAAUCUUUUUAGAGAGAGAGAAUAACAAUAUUGGGACAGUGAGUGAUAAUAUUUUUAGCAAUUUUAAUGAAUGGUGAUGGAUGGUGUAGUGGAUGUGUGCAAGUGAAUAUCUUAAUUUAAUCACAUGAAAAGCUCCUAAGGGUCUACACAGCUCGAUCAAACUCAAUGUAAAUAUAGUAAAAGAUGUUAUAGCAAGUAUGGCUGUGGUAGGUAGUUUGUUAUGCUAGAAACUCAUCAUGUGAUUUGUAAGUUUCCAUAAUAAAUCUCCAGAACUUAGUGUAGUAGGAACAAGAUAAACAGUAGCUCAACUUUAUAUUAUGCCUUUCUCUUACCUAGACUUUAGUUUUAUGCUUCCCAUAGAUAGUAAAUUCAGUUUUAGUAAUUCCUGGAAGAACUCUAAUAUAAAAGCUAGGUACUUGAAAGUAAGGAAACAGAGCAACCAUUCAUCAUUUCCAUCAUGCAUCUUUUUGGUCUUUUAUUUAUUUUUUUUCAGAGAUUAAACUUAGUAGGAAAAUAAAGCACACUUAUCUACAUACUCUUUUUAUUUUGUUUUCAUGUUUAUAGAAUGUAGUAAAUUAAAGCAAGAAAAUAUUUAUUGGGUUUUCUAAGUUUUUUUCUCUCUAAGAUAAAUAAAACACUAAAAUAGAAAAGGAUAAAUAAGAAGAGCAAAUAAAAACUUACUUGAUAAAUUGGGGAGGAACUUCCCCAAACUGGAUGUUGAUGUCGGCCUUACCCGAGGUUCCAGAACCGCAUCAUGGUUGUGAUGUUGUUGUUCAUUGUUGUUGUAUCUUGUCUCAGUUCUUGUACUGCAGCGGCAUGGUCCUGGUUCCAUUUUUGUUGCUCUUCUAGGAGUCGUCCAUGUUCUGCUUGCAUGUUCUGGAUGUCGAGGAGAGUGUUCUCGGUACGAGUGAAGAAAGCACCGGCCUCUUGAUAGUAGUCAUUCGUGAAAGCGUAGGAGGCGUCGGAGUAUCGUCCUGCAUCAAAUUGGGGUGGAGGUCUGGAUCCUGAAGCUCCAUAUGGAUCAGUGGAGUACCUGCCCGUAUGGAAAGGCGGGUUUGUCCACUGGUGGUCUUGGCUCUCCGGCCAUGUCUCCUCUAUUGGCUCUUAUGGUUGCGCAUGUCGAACCCAUGGGUCUCGAAGGACUCAGGGGUUGUAAUCGCAAUAAUGCAGGUGCGCUGCUUCUUCUGGUCCAGGAUCAGCUCCAUACCAGGUGCGUUCUCGAUGUGUGGUCAUCCUUUCAGAUGCCACUCGCUGUGGAGCUCUCUGGUUCAAUGGUGUUGCUGCAAUCUCAAUCAAAAAGUUUUGAACAACGUUGAGGCCAAGGUUCGGGUUAGGUAACCGAAUCUUGCCUUUAUCAUCAUAUAGCAAAUAUAUUAUAUUCCCCUCUUUCUUUAACAUCCGAGUCUGUCUAAAUGUGUCAUAGCCAUGAUAAAUUCUUAACUCAUCUAUGAAGUCCAACGAUGAGUUUUCUAGUAAGUGAAGAUUAAAGGCUAGACUAGUGAUAAGUGAAGUACAUCCUACUGGUCCCUGAAGACUAGGUACACUAAGCCAAUGAGAAACUAAUAGUGUAACAGGUGAAGUGGGUACUUUACUAAUAGCAGCAUAUAAAAGUUGUAAAUCUCCUACUCUUACUUUCCUAAUAUCAUCGCGAUAGAAAAGAUUGUACCCAAGCCAUUUGUGGAACAUCCUAAGAGUGGGGUGUUCCAUGUCACUGGUUCGGGCUUGACUAUAAAAAUUAUCUCUAGAUAUUUCUCUCCAAAACUAGUGUCUCUCAAAGUUGGGUAAAUCGGAGUCAAUGUUCAAGAUGCAUCUUGAAGAGAAACCAAGAUGGUCGCUCACCUCUCUCCAAGACAACAUAAUCUCCUGUUUGAACAUCCGAAAAACAAUUCCCCCCUCAUAGUAUUGUAAAGUGCAAAGAAAUUCGAGGGUGAGAAGAUGAGAACCCAGCUCAGUUAUAUUCCAAAAAUUUGUCCAACCUAUCAUCUGAAAAAUUAAGUCAAAUUCAGUGUCCAUACCUGUUUCUUGUAGUAAGAUUGGAUCGAGAGUAGGGGUGUGAAUGAAAUCUUUGUCCUUCAGUUGCUGAUAGACUUCCUUCUCCCUUCGGGUCUUCAGUCCUAGGUCUCCUAUAUUGAGAAGGACCUUAACUUGCUGACCUGAUGAAGAUGAUGGAGCUUGUGUGGGUGUCGGGUCGACGCUCAUCUCUGAUGGGUGUGAGGAGUGUCGGGAUGAACUCCUUGUUCCAAUGUUCUUGAGAGCCUUCCUUGCAUUCUUCACCUUCUUAAACAUCCUGCAAACAAAAGUUGGCAAAAACACAACUAGUGGAAAAUGUGAGAGAAAAUGUUAGUGGUCAGCUGUCCGGAAUGUCAGUAGUCCAGGGGUUAAACGUUCAAGACAAAUUUCUAUUUUGGUAGAGCCUCUCCCCCUAAACAACUUUUACUUUCGUUUGGACAACUACUUACUAGGUGAUACUCACUCUCUCACUCAAAAGAACUACCAACCUUCUCACACUCAGAGCUAUUCUCUGGAAACUGAGCUUGCAAGGUUUUCUGAAAUGUGUGUGUGAAGAGAAGGGAAGCUGGAGGUGGCCUUUUAUAAGCUGAGCAGGGGACAGGGCGGGCGCCCUUGGUAGGUGGGCGGGCGCCCACUUGUGAUGCCCAUCCUGGGUGUGCCUCCUCCACUUGCUUCCUUGCUUUGAUCUCACGCAGAAUAAUGUUGUGUUGGUGGUGGUUGGACGGUGGAAAGAUGUCAGGUGAGUGGAAACAUAUUGGUGGAUGAAAUUAUGUGAUGGGAUGUAUGUGAGGUGAAGUGUAUGACAUGUGGGACCCAAGGAGUGUGGGUCAUGCUUCUAGAAGAUUAAUAUAAUUAAAUAUAAUGCAGGAAAAUCUAUGAGAAUUAAAACUUAUUUAAAACGAUUAUGGAAAAUAUUUUUGUGCCUCCACAAUAAUUAAUAAAUAUGGGUUGUUACACACCAUGAAUAUUAUUUAUAUGGGGUUUUUUAUUAUUAUAAUAAUGCUAUGAAUAUAUAUGACUAAUGCAAGAAUUAACUAUGCAAGAAUUUAAGUAUGAGAAAAUUAAUAAUGCACAUAAAUAACGAUUUACCUUCCGGUGAGGGUUUGGGAUUUUUUUUAGGUCCCCCAAGCUGGACCUCCAAAUCUUUUAAUCUUCUGAAUUACCUUCCUCCGGAGAUGGUGUCUCCAGUGGUUCUUCAUGAACUUCCUUUACUGUAGAGUCUCUCUCUGGUCUGGGUUUGAAUGUGAAGUGUUCUUCUUGUCCGUUUAUGUUGAACUUGAUUUCUCCUUUCCCGACAUCAAUGUGGGCAUUGGCAGUGCUCAGAAAUGGCCUUCCAAGGAUGAUGGACACUUUUGAGUCAGGGCUCAUGUCCAAUACUACGAAGUCUACUGGCACCAGGAAAUCUCUGAUCUUGACUGGAAUGUUCUCGGCGAUGCCCAACGGGUGUCGAACCGAUUGAUCCGCUAGUUGUAAGCACAUUGAUGUUGGUUCUAGGGUCGCAUGCUCAAGCUUCUUGUAGACUGAUGCUGGCAUCACACUGACACUUGCUCUGAGAUCACAAAGUGCAUUGUUAAAGUGUUGGUUUCCGAUCGAGCAGUCAAUAGUGGGACAUCCGGGAUCUUCCUUCUUCUUUGGUGGUUUGUUGAGGAUGGCCGCACUACGUUCUUCUGUCAGCUUGAUAACCUCAGUGGUGGGCAGUGGUCUCUUCUUGUUAAGAAUAUCUCUGAUGUACUUUGCAUAUGUAGGUACCUGUAUGGCAUCGAGCAGAGGUAUGUUGACAUAUAAUUUCUGAAUGACCUCUACAAACUUACCAAACUGCUCAUCCGACUGCAGUCCUCUGUUUCUUCUGGGAAAUGGCAAAUAGUUGGUGUCGUAAAAAUCUUUCCUCAUUUCUCCAGUUCUUGGUGGUUGUAGCAGAUCUUCUGCUUCAACUGGGCUUUCUUCUUCUAUCACUGCUGGUUGCACUGGUGCUGAUGUUCUUUGUUUCUCUUUUGGGUAUGGGGGAUCUCUGGUAGCUUUGCCUCCUCUAGUAGUUAUAUUCUUUACCUGCUCAAUGUUAGUAGCAACAGGCAGUGCCACAGCUAUCUUUAUUAAUUUAAGCUCUACCCUUUUAUUAAGAGUGUUUUGCUCAUCAAAGGCAGUUAGUAGAAAAUCCAUUUUAUUGUGUAUAUCUUUUAGAGAUGAUUCAUUUGUAUCUAGCCUUUGUUUAACUUCAUCAUUAAUUUUGGUUUGUUGAGCAAUUAUCUCUUUUAAUGAAAGUUGCUUGAAAGUAUUACCUGAAUUCAUACCUUUGCUAUUGGGUUGACUCGAAGUUGGUUGAUAUUUGUAUGCUGUCUCUAUGGCCCUUUUAUCUUCUUUGAACUUGGCCCUCUGGUCAAUCCAAUGGAGCCAAUUUUCCAUCUUAGUUGAUAAUGCAUUUACUUCUUCUGAUAUUUCUUCAGUUUGAUGACAUUGUUGAGCUUUAUCUUGGAACCAGCUUUGGUUUUCUGCUAUCUUAUCCAAAAGUAUCUCUGCUUUUCCAAUUGUAAGCUCCAAGAAUGAUCCUUUAGCAGAUGCAUCUAGGCACUCACGAGCCUUCUGGGUUAAUCCAUGGUAGAAGGUCUGCAUAAGUAACCAUGUGGCCAUUCCAUGGUGAGGUCAGUUUGAUAUGUAUCCUUGAAAACGCUCCCAUGCUUCUGAAAUGGCUUCUGUCUUCUGUUGUUGGAAACUGACAAUAUUUCCUCUUAAGGCAGUUGUUUUGCCUAUAGGGAAAAACUUUGAUAGAAAGGCAUCUGACAAGUUCGUCCAGUUGUUGAUGUUAUCUUGAUGAGUGUAGAACCACUUCCUCGCUUUUCCUUCUAGUGAGAAUGGAAAAAGGCGAAGCAGUAUGACGUCUUUGUCAACUCCGUUGAUGUGGAUUGUGCUUCCAAUCUCUAAGAAAUUCUGCAAGUGUGCACUAGCAUCUUCAUGUACCUUUCCACUGAAUUGUGUAGCUUGCACCAAAUUGAUGAGGCUUGACUUGAGCUCAAACUCGGGUACUCCUACUGCAAAUCUUGGACCAGUUGGAAUGUUCUCAAGGCUUGGAGCAGAGAAUUCUUGUAAGGUCUUCUGUGCCAUAGCUUCAGCAAUUGGUAGCUAGCUUCUUCCUUUCUUGAUUGCUUUGGUUCUGAUGAUGAAGAGUUGAAUGUACCCAAAGUCAAUCCUGAUAUACCCUAUAUAAAAUAUAAACAUAGAAAAACAACAGGGUGAACCUGCCAAAGCACAGGUGCCUUGUUAUGAUUUCUCACUUAGUAGCUGUUUUUAUGCAAUUAUUUCUCUAUAGUCUAGUCUAAUAUUUUAUAUGAAUAACCUUGAUUGAUUUUCUGGCUUUCCUAAGUAUUACCCUUCUGUUCCCCUUUAUGACUUAUUCAUGAGACUCCCCGGCAACGGCGCCAGAAACGCUUGUUGACACUAGCUAACACCACUUAGAUACUAGGUUGUCAUCCCCAGCAUGGUGCCAGAGUGUACAAAGGUAUUUAUAAAUGUAAAGGCUCUUUAGAAAAUAAUCUAUUCUAUCCGCAAGCGCACAGAUAAAACACCUCAUUGUAGCAUUUCACCAGGAUAAGUAUUCUAGGUAUCGUUAUUUUUAAUUUUGCUCAAGAGAUCUAAGGAGAUUAAAUUAAGGGCAAAAUCUGUCAAGGCAUAGACUAGAGAUAAACUUGCAAGAACAUGAUUACUAAUGAGAAACUCGUCACACAGUCACUUACUUUAGCAGGGGGUAAACCAUAAAGAUAAUGAUAAUGAAUUAUAAGUUCAUGGGAUAAAUAACACAGCGAUUAGAAAAUAGACUACUCCUCAUAUAUGUAGGUGAUGUCGGAUUAGCUAGAGAAUGGAUUCUAAGUUAUCUACUAACUACUAAGUCAUAAUCUACUCUAGUUAUCUACAAGAUCAUAUAUAGCAUAAAAGACUCUUCAUUCAUGUAUAAGGAACAUUGAUAAAGUAAAUCAGAGCAUCGCAUGACUUACUCCACAAUACCGAUUCUGCCUGUCCUAUCAACGGAGGGUGGACUAUAUAAGAAUCAACGAAGCUGUCACUAUCGCGAACUACCACACAACCCGGCCAAUAGGAUACAUUUGCAGAUAAAUAACAUCUAAGCACCACGCUCACAUGUGAUCUAUCACCUAACUCCCUCGCGUCAAGAGCUAAGCGCUUUGCAAACUUAUACAUAAACUCAUUAUCAAUUAGAACUAUAUCAAAUAUAGAACUAGAGCAAACUAAGAACAUAAUAAUUAGAGACAUAAUGCAAUUAGAACAAAGAAUUAGAGAAAGAUAUGAAUAAUACCAAUCUUUAUUACCGAAGAUCCGAAUCUAGAGCGUAGUGCUCUACUUCUCUAAUUGCUAUCUAAUCAAACCUCUAAACUUGAAGGAUUAGGGAGUAGCUAAUUCUAAUUCUCUGUGGCAGAGAAGCUCUAAACCCUAACUUUGAUGGCUACCUCUGAAUAAUGAUUUCUUCUCUUCUCCUCUCUCCCCAGGGGGCCAGGGGGUCUGGUUUUAUAAUCCCCUCAAGUGAACGUGAGCCGUCGGAUCAAACCAACAUUGAUUGUGUGGUUUAGAUUGAUCCUUUAGGUCGGUGGAGUUUAGCCCCGAAGCAGAGUCCUGAUCCAACUCCUGGCCAGGGCGGGCGCCCUGCCCCCCGAGCCCAAUCGUGCUCUCGUUCGUUCCCGUGGCUUCUGGACUCUUCUAGAUUGAAGAAAAUUGCGCGGCACGUAAUUAUCUCGUUGUAAACAUGACAUGUGGGCCUUCUCUCCAUAUUCUCUGAUAACCCCCUGCAGAAAUAGAUAAACACCAAAGCUCGUGGAAUUCUGUCAGAUAAAACCCUAAUUCUAGAUGUUUGUUUCAUAUUGAUCCUUUUUCAUGUUUAUUUGAUUAUUAAUUUUAGUACUUAAGGACCGUCAACAAAGGCAUAAGGAUUAAUGAACUAAAUAGUUGGGUUUGGUUAAAAUUUCUGUUUCUGCCUUUGCUGAUUUCUGGAGCAGUCUGCAAUAAAUCUGGUACGUCUCAAAAUCUGUUCGUGCAAAGUCCGUCAAAUUUUUUUGGGAACAAGUAGACUUUUAUAUCGUUCCAAUGCCGCAAGAAUGACAAUAUUAUCUGUUAUGAGCUGUGAGUUAUGGCUGCUCAAAUUUGAGGUUUCUGUGCAGUUUGGAAUUCUGGAACAGUUUCAGUUGUACCCAGUUUUUGAUUAAUUUAACUAUGGAAUCUGUUAAUGUGACCUAAAUAAAAGUUGUAGAUAAUUUCUUUAUAUUUUAACGGUGUGCAGAAUGUAUCCUUUUGGAUUCUUGAACUCGAGAUAUGACUAAUUUUCUGAACUGCUGAUGUUGGAUGUUAUCCAAAAAAAUUCCAGAUUUCAUUACCUCUUGAAAUUGCCAUGUGGGAUGUUACUAAGACAUGAUUCUAUACCUUGAAAUGCAGAUGGUAGCAAGGGGAAGAGGCAGAGGCAGAGGUCAUGGCAUGGGUGCCAAUGUUCCAAUUACUGUCGAAGAGCUCAUGCAAACUCAGAACGAGAUGAUGCACGUUUUCAUGUAGCACCUACAGCAGCAACCUCCACCACCACCACCACCACCUGUUCAUGUGAGAGAUAAGCGUGGCGAAUUUAUGAAGGGAAGACCUCUAGUAUUUACACACUCAGCUGAUCCUAUGGAGGCAGAUGAUUUGCUACGUGCUGUGGAGAGGCAAUUGAACAUAGCACAGUGCAAUGAUAUGUUAAAGGUGUUGUAUGCUUCUGGACAACUUCAGGGAGCAACUCAGACCUGGUGGGAGUCAUAUCAAACUGCUCGUCCCAACAGUGCUCCUCCUAUCACUUGGUUGGAAUUCACUUGGCUGGUAUUUUGCAGAGAUUUCAGAGCACGACAUAUCAAUGAGGGAAUGAUGGAGCUCAAGCAGGAAGAAUUCAGAUCUCUCAGAAUGGGUUCCAUGACUGUGGCUGAGUAUCAUGAUACAUUUGAGCAGUUGGCCUGCUAUGCCCCAAAUGAAGUCAGGGAAGAUGCUGAUAAGCAGCGUCUCUUCAUGAAAGGUCUUCACUAUGAACUCAGGUUGCAACUGGCUGGAAAUACCUAUCCUACCUUCAAGGCUCUGGUGAAUCGUGCUAUUAUGUUGGAUAACAUGCGCAAAGGCCAGGACAAGAAGAGAAGGAUGCUAGCACAAUGUCCUGGUAGCAAUAACCGCCAGCAUUUCAUUUCUCAGCAGAGCGAUCAACAGAGGUUCCAGGGAGGAGAUAAUGCAAACUCAGAACGAGAUGAUGCAAGCUUUCAUGCAGCACCUUCAGCAUCAACCUCCACCACCACCACCACCACCACCUGUUCAUGUGAGAGAUAAGCGUGGCGAAUUUAUGAAGCGAAGACCUCCAGUAUUUACACACUCAGCUGAUCCUAUGGAGGCAGAUGAUUGGCUUUGUACUAUAGAGACAACUGAACAUAGCACAGUGCAAUGACAUGGAGAAGGUGUUGUAUGCUUCUGGACAACUUCAGGGAGCAGCUCAGACCUAGUGGGAGUCAUAUCAAGCUGCUCGUCCCAACAAUGCUCCUCCUGUCACUUGGCUAGAAUUCUGCAGAGAUUUUUGAGCAUGACACAUCAAUGAGGGAAUGAUGGAGCUCAAGCAGGAAGAAUUCAGAUCUCGGGAUAGGCUCUAUGACUGUGGCAGAGUAUCAUGACACGUUUGAGCAGUUGGCCCGCUAUGCCCCUAAUGAUGUCACGGAAGAUGCUGAUAAGCAGCGUCUGUUCAUGAAAGGUCUAUACUAUGAACUCAGGUUGCAGUUGGCUGCAAAUACCUAUCCUACCUUCCAGGCUCUUGUGAAUCAUGCCAUUGUGCUUGAUAAUAUGCAUAAAGGUCAGGAUAAGAAGAGAAGGAUGCUAGCACAGGGUUCUGGCAGUAAUAACCACCAGCGUUUCAAUUCUCAGCAAAGCUUUCAACAGAGGUUCUAGGGACCGGUUAGUCAGUGGAACCGCAACCAGCAACCUCAGCGUUCCCAGAACCAAUCACAGUGUGGAAAUCAGCGUCCUCCAAUCCAUCAGCGUAAUCCUAAUCAAUAGCAGAAUGGUCAGCAGACACCCCGCUUAGGAAAUUGAAAUGCCACCCCCAUGAAGAAAAGUGCUCCUAAUACCCCUACGAGGUGUUUCCGCUGUGGGAAGGAAGGACAUAUGUCUUAUGAUUGCCCAGAGAAGUUCAACAAGCAGAACAGCAAUCAGAAGGCUACUUCUUAUGCGGCAACGAUGAACAAUGUGGCUGUAGAGACAGCUCAAGAGGGACCAUAGAUUAUGAUGGGUACGUUCAACAUCAACUCUAUCCCCGCUACAGUUUUAUUUGAUUCUGGAGCUUCACAUACAUUUAUUUCAUAUGCAUUUGUUAGAGUUCAUAGCAUUCCACUAGUUGCCAUGAAAACCCCUAUGCUAGUACAUUCACCAAGUGGGACUAUACCAGUUUUUUAUUGUUGCCCCUCAGCAAGUCUUUCUUUAAGGGGAGUAGAGUUUCCUAUCAGACCCAUGGUUAUGAGAACUUCAGGCAUAGAUGUGAUCUUGGGUUUGGAUUGGACGAAGAAGUAUACCACAAAAAUUAAGUGCAAAGAGAAAAUGGUAGUUCUGACAACACCAAAAAGGGAGCGGAUUAGUGUUGAUGUAGCAGUACAGGCAGCACCCACAGCUACAGUGAACCAACUAGAUGAUGAUGUUGAUCCUCAGGACGUGGUAGUGAAUGAGUUACCGGAUGUUUUUCCAGAUGAAUUGCCAGGUAUGCCACCUGACCGAGACAUUGAAUUUAUUAUUGAAUUACUACCUGGUACUGCACCUAUAGCUAAAAGACCAUAUAGAAUGGGGGUUAAUGAGUUAGAAGAAAUUAAGAAACAAAUAAAGGAAUUGCAAGAUAAAGGGUUCAUUCGUCCUAGUUCUUCACCAUGGGGUGCACUAGUUAUUUUUGUUGAUAAGAAGGAUGGUAGUCAAAGGAUGUGUGUUGAUUAUCUGUAACACUCCUAGUGUUAGCUUGCAUGUCAAUCAUGAGCAUUGCAUCAACAUAAGCAUCAUCAUGCUCAUUCAUAAGAAUCCAUCAUGAUCACAUGUCAUCUUAUGUAUACCAUGUAUGAUUGAAUUGCUUGUGUGACUUGAUAUGAGUGAUAGUAAUGGGUGACCAAUGCAAAUAAGUGUACAUUGUCUUCCAAAAUACUUUAAUGAUGUUUAGAAUAACAUUUUGAACAAAGUUUAUAUUGGAGGUUUUGCCCAAAAAUGCCCCCAAGUCAUGGUUAGCCCUAGGUUGACCUAGUUGACCCCCUAGACCUCUUUUCAAAGAUGUUUUAUGAAACUGGUGUUAGAGACCUUGCAUGUAAAGGACAUCUAAAACAAAGUUGUAGUAAAUUUCAUAAGCUACAAAAGUUAUGAUGAUUACUUCUUAUGAAAAUUCUUGGAACCAGACCAAAAGUGGCCCACAAGCCAGAAAAUCAGUGCUGUUUCCACACUUAGCCGAAUUUGGCUAAGUGUGGAAUUCGGCAGUUUCGACAUAGGGUUCUUGGGAGCCUUGUAGUUUGAAAUCCAGGCUGAGUUAGAAUUCAAUUAUGAAAACUGUAGAUCUCGUGUAGCUCUACCCAAUGGAGCAAAUCUGAGCCAAAACCAUCGAGGGAAUCGCGAGUAAAACGUUGGCAAAGAUCGAGCUUCAGUCACUGGCCAUGGUGACUGAAUCGCCCGAUUCAAUUGGGACAGAACUCGCCCGCCGCCACGUGUCCAGCCACCUGUUGUCCAUACGCCGUCGAUGGCCCCUCCUGUCAGCUCCAACGACGUCCACAAGUCGCCACACACCGAGUGGACGCCUCAGACGCGCCAUUCACCCCUCCAGUGCUCCACAUUGCGCCCACCUUCGUCCUCGACGAGCUCCACCGUGCUUCGGCGAGCUUUCCCGGCCGCUCCACCGCGUCUCCGGCCAAGCCAGCCCGCCCAGAGCUCCACCUUGAUGUCCUCUACCUCGACGUCCACUUCUUUCCCUUAGCCGAGCACUGGUGAGGCCGCAUUGCCAACUCCGUCGCGAGCUCCACCUCGCUGGAGUUCGCAGAGAUCACCGACGACGUGGCCAGACCUCUCUGGUUCACCUCUGGCCGUGAUUCUUCUUCCUAUAGCUUCGCCUUCCUUCACUCUUGCUUGUCUGCAACCUCUACCGCGUCGCCGUUGCCUAGGUUCGCCGGCGUAACGCCGCGCAGCACCGCCGCUCCGCCAUUCGCGACGGCGAGCACCUUAGAGGCCAGUAGAGCGCGAGUAAAGUAGGUCAACGAGUUCGCCAUGAGGAGAGGAACACGUAGAUGCCCUCGGUUUCUCCGGAGACCUCGCCGUCGUCGAGUUCCGCCGGCGACGAGCCCUCCCCUAUCUUUGUCCCUCUGUCACGUGGGUCCCGUCUGUCAGCAGACCCCACCUGUCAGCCUCUCUCUCUCACACCUCUAGUUCACUGUUUAGUAGAUCCUGUGUUGUUUUUGAAAAAUUCAUAACUCGAGUUAUACAGAUCCAAAUGAAGUGAUUUUAAUUUUGCUAGAUUCCUGUGUUAAUCUAGUUUUUAUUAAAAAUAUAAAAUAUGCCAUGUUUUUGCAAAAAUAAAUAGAUAUAAUUUAAUCUUGAUUAAAUAGGAGGUAAUUAUAUCUUGAGAUCUGUGAAUCUGAUGGCCAUGAAAAUUUAGGAUGUUGUUACUUAUGACAUGAGUAGGUCUGAUAAAAUUAUCAUGAUUUUUGAAUAACUGUUAGUGAAGUUAUAAAUGUUUCUUGUUUAAAUAGGGGUUUCUUGUGGCAUUUUUAGUAAAUAGAUUAUAACUCCUUUUAUGGUGAAACUUGCUGAGUGAUGUAAUCAUGUGUAAACAAAGCUAAGAAAAAUUUGAAAUCUAUUGUUCGACACUUUUGGAUAGGGUUUCACAUUUAUGCCUUUCAUGCUAUUGCUAGCUUGUUAUUUUUGUAUCUCACAAUCUGCAUGUGCAAGUGCCCUGAAAAUGUUACAGUGAACUGGUGGUAGUCUAAAUAGCUUGCUGUAAUGUUCUUAGAAUUUUUGGAGCACUUGUGAUAUAUGCUCAUUAAAUCAUCUUAAUAAUUAAAUAAAUAAAAAAAGGUGAUGAUAGAAAUGAGUUUAACCCUUACCAUGAUGUUUUCUGGUGUUUCUUAGACAUGUUCCAUCUACUAGUGCAUUUGGUUUGAACCAAUGUGACAUUCUAAGUAUGUGUUAAAUAUUAUUUUGCUAAUUAUGUCUUUCCUAGAGCAUUUCUGUGCAGCUGAUAGCAAUUGGUUAAGAACAACUUGGAGAUGAAGUUUUCUGGAAAACUUGUCUAUAACAAAUUUUUAGCUAACUUACUUAUCUACCUUGUGUCCAAAUUUCAUGAAAUUUGGCUGAGUAGUUUAAGAGUUGUGGCUGUUGCAAGUAGCUGCUACGAACUACUUGUUCUCUGGAUUUUCCAGGACAGCCAGCACACUUUGCCUGUUUCAACUUAUUUUCGUUAGGAAUCUUCCUAGGAUGUCUGAAAGUGAAUUGUAGACAAUUUGUUAGGCUUUCCAGAAAGUAUCUACUUGCUUAGUUUGGACAACGGAUGCUUAAGUUAUAGCUGAAUCUUGUGACUAGUUAAUCUGUCCAUGAAACCAGUGACUAAGUAGGAGUAGCUAAGGUUGAUUAGCUUGUCUAGUUAUCCUCUCUACCAGAGAAGAAGUAUGCACUUACUUGUUAAUCUGUGACUCACUUAAUUUUAGGAACUUGUACUCCUAUUUAUACCUUGCUAUGUGUUCCUUGGCUCAGCAUCUUGACAUGUUGCAUCCUAUGUGCAUUCCCUAUGUUUAUCGCCUUGUCAUGCAUACAUAGGUGUACCCAAAGGAGUGACGGUCUUGGAGUUCGAACUGCCCGAGCCGGAGGAACAGCAAGGGGAGCCACCUCAAGGAGCUGAGGAGGAGGAGGAGGAUCUACCGGAGUGUCCUGACCACCGUCCCUCUACUUACGUUGAAGGCAAGCCGCGGAGCAUUAUAAGCCUCCUACUAUUUUUGUUACCAUGUCCAGCUAUCAAUUGACUAUGGUUAUGUAUUGUUGCAUUAAGUGUUAGGCGUUGAUAUGACACCCUUGCUGCAUAAUGACUACCUUGUCCACCUUAUACCUUGCCGAAGUAGGUCCAGGAUCGAAAUGAUGCUUAGCCAUGCUUAGCUCAGUAGAAGCCGGGUGAUUUCCUGUCACCUGCGAGAGAUAGGUGGAUACUGAAUCACGGUUGCCUAUAUUGCUAUCGUGGAAAUAACAAUGUGCUAAUAAUGAAUUUGAGACCGGGCGGGAUGAUGAUAGUGCAGCAACAAGGCAUAGAGGUCUUAGGUGUGAACCUAUCCCCGUCUGUGUCGGUUAAAGACCGAUUCGCUGUACGUCCUCGUGUUAUGUUGAACGCAUGCCUAACACUUAGCUGGCCGGAUAAGUCGUUCUGACCGUGAAGCCUACGAGUGCAUCUCCGGCCGGAUACCCCGAUCUGGUUAAAGUGCGCACCCCGGUUGGUAGCAAGGAUGUGCGGGGAGUCAAUGGCGUAAGAACGAGGUGUCAGGUUAGAGUCCUGACCCUGGCAGAUUGGCGGUCCCUGGGGGUGCGGCGCCGUACGGACCCACGACUUGGUCCAGAGUUGUGCUAAAGGUGACUGUCACACCCAUAUUUUAAGAACAAAAUAGGAUGCAUAAAAGACUCAUAUGUGCCCCAGAAACAGUCGCACACAUAAGUAGACAAAUCUCAAAUGUACCAUUGCAGUGUUUAUUACAUAGCGGAACAUAAUAAAUCACAUAGUCUUACACAAAAAUAAUAGCAUAAAGUAAACAACGCUCUCGACAGAAGCUCCACACAGGGACACUGUUGACUGGUUGACUCCAAACCUAAUACUCAUAGCGAUAGUCCUCAUUCCAAUCAUCAUCAUUAGCAUAACCUGGGGUGUUGGGAAAUUACAAGAGUGAGCACAUAUCGUACUCAAUAAGUAUAACCAGAGGUUCAUGAGGCUCAAAAAGCUGACACUGGUUUGACUGCAAUUAGCUUUUAAUAGUGGAUAGCAUGUUCAUAAUUAAUAGCAAAUGUCAAGGUAGCAUAAAUAAUCCAUUAAUCUCAUGAUCAAGUGUAAGCAUAAUUAAUCUCAUAGCAUAAAUGAUAAUCAAAUAAACAUAAUAACAUAACAAUCUCAUCAUCUUAAUGUAGAUGUCCCCAAGGCCGCUCCUGACUGUGAGCUCGGCUAGUAUACUAGUUUUAACACCCUGCAGAGGUUGUACAUCUUUACCCAUGAGUCAUGAUUUACCCUUUCGCCCGAGGUAGCUAAUCUCUUAACCCCCUUCCUAGGGAGGUCAGCAGGGAUCACUAUGAAGCCUUUCAAAAGUUUGUCUAACAUGUUAGGGCCGCAAGGUUUCCUUUGGGGGCAGAUAUAGAUACCCCCUUCCGAAUGGCACAAUGACGCGCAGCCUAUACACAUAGGGACAGGGGCUCGCACUAUACCCGUGUCGGUUCAGCCCCUCCGCCCUUUCGGGUAACCUCUAACAAGCUAGAAAAGGUCUCCAUACUGAGCUAAAGCCAGAGCCAUUAUAGCCCUCAUGGUUGCACUGUUAUCCCGGGUGAUCACGUACAAACAAGAUCUCAUACAAUUAUUUGUCAUUCUUUUAUGUUCAUUGCAUAGCAAUUAAUCAUCUUACAAGAUCAUGGAUUAUAUCAAGCACUAGCACAUCUACACCAAAUGCAUAUCAAGUAGGUAGCAAGGAAUCCAGGUAACAAUCAUCUAUGAUUUUGCUAAGGUCAACAAGGUGAAAGCAUGCAUAUGAUAUAUAUGUGUAUUUAUAAGUGAAUAGGUAACAAGGAUGAUCCCAAGUUAUACUUGCCUUGAUCAAAGCUCUCCUGAGUGUGCUGGUCCUCAAAAGCUUGGUCUUGAUCACCAACGUACGGCUCACCGUCUAUUCCCAAACAUCAAUCAACAACACGCAAUCCAAUGGAGACAAUCACACACAAAGCAAACAAGAUAUAAUUAGAACAUUACACCAAACAGUGGUAAAACAAGUAUAAAAGUUUAUGAAAAUAUUUUAUGCAGCGCUACGAUCACACAAACGUAAAGUUCAAGAAAAUCGGAAUUAAAACGUAGAAGUUAUGAAUUUUCUAAGAUUUCCUAUAGAGAAAUAAUUAGUUAAAUGCUACUGCAGAAUUAUAAAGUUUCAAAACAGAGAAUAAAUACUUCUAACAUGUAGAUCUCGUAAAUACGAAUCUAACAAAAUUUGAAUGGACAAAAACGGAGUCAAAAUGAAUAUUUUAUGAGCAUUAUAAAAUCGAUGGCAAAACAAAUAUCUGAAAACGUAAACUGAGUUGAACCAGACAGGAAUACGCUUUUAAACUUAGAAAACGUAAUCUCUUCCAGGGCGCCAGGGACCGCGGGGUAAUUAGAGAAAGUUUCCAGGGACUCUUUAUGAAGUUUACAGCCGAAAGGGUAUCUUCUUUUAGAGAUCGUUGGAUCGCCAUCCGACGGCCCUGAACAAACCAGGGGGUCUCCAGGCGGCGGCCGGCCGCUGGCUGUGGGCUCCGGUGCGGUGGCGCCAUGGCUGGAGCCCUUGAAGCUCACUGGCGCCACUGAUCUCCCAAUUCCGGUCGCUAGGGAACAAAAGAAAAACGCCGGGCAGAAGAGAAGCUCACCCCGAGCUCACCUACGGGAUCGGCUCGGCCUGGGAAGCAGCAGAGAGGGUUGGCGAGCUCCGAGCUCUUGGCGAGAUCGCGACCUAGAAGAAAACAGCGGCUAGGGUUGCUAAAUCGCGCGGAGAUACAAAGGGGAAGCUGCAGGGUUGGGGAAGACGUUUUAUAGCGCUCGGUUGACAAAUUAGGCAAGGAAUAUCCCGCGGAUUUCGGGAUCGAGUCGGUCGGGGGAAAGAAAUUCCUCUCGGGCACGCGCGAGGAAGGAGAUGGCGGCGCUGCUUGGCGGGUCCCGCAUGUCAGCGGCAAGGGGGAGGGGGGGCCCGGCUGCCAGUGGCCAAGAGAAAGGGGGGAAGACGCGCGGCUGCUCAGCUUGGGCCGCGGCUUGCUGGGCUGCGGUGGAAAAGAAAGCCAGGGGGGUGCGGGAAGGGACUGGGCCGCGGGGAGCCAGUGGGCUGCAGGGGCGAUUUCCAGGGGCUUCUCCCCUUUUUCUUUCCUUUUUAUUUCCUUUUACCAAACUUUUCAAAAGAGAAAUUUUUGAGCAUAAACAAAUAAGAAAAAAAUAGAAACAAACAACACAAAAAUAAAUGCUAUUCUCAGCAUCAAUGCAAAAGCAUGUUUCUAGCUUUAUGAUGAAUUUUAUUCUCCACAAAAUAAUUUAUUUGCUAGGUUUAAAUGCUCACAAAAAUACUUAAAUAAAUCAAAUUAAUUCCUAUUAAUUGAAAUCAAAUUUUUGGGUGUUACAAACUCUACCCCCCUUAAAGAAUCUCGUCCUCGAGAUUGAAAGGUGCUUACUCAAACAAGUAUGAGUAUGAUUUCCUCAGAUCAUCCUCUCUUUCCCAUGUUGCCUCUGCUUCUGAAUAUUGAUUCCACUGCACUUUGCACAUUCUAAUAACCCGACUCCUGGUGACUCUCUCAGCUGUCUCCAGUAUUCUGACCGGAUACUCUUCAUAAGUGAGAUCACCUUUAAUAGAAAGCUCUUCCAAUGGUAUUUGCUCCUCAGGUACACGCAAACACUUCUUAAGUUGUGACACAUGGAACACAUCAUGCACCCCAGAUAAACUUUCAGGCAAUUCUAACUGAUAUGCUACUUCUCCACGCCUUUCUAAUACUUUAAACGGACCAACAUAUAUUGGAGCUAGCUUUCCCUUCAUAUUAAACCUCUUUACACUCCUCAUUGGUGAUACCUUCAGGUAGACAUAAUCACCCACUUCAAAAACUAGCUCUCUCCUACACGUAUCUGCAUAGCUUUUCUAACGAGACUGAGCAACUCUCAAGUAAUCCCGAAUAGUCCGCACUUGUUGUUCUGCAUGUCUAAGCACAUCUGUCCCAAACACCUGAGUUUCUCCUGUCUGAUUCCAAAACAAAGGUGUCCUACACUUACGACCAUACAGUGCCUCGAACGGUGCCAUCUUAAGACUCUGUUGAUAGCUGUUGUUGUAGGAGAAUUCUGCAUAUGGCAAACUCUUGUCCCAACUAGUCCCAUACUGCAAAGCACAAGCUCUCAACAUAUCCUCCAGUAUCUGAUUGAUCCUCUCAGUCUGUCCAUCUGUCUGUGGAUGAUACGCUGUACUAAAAUUCAACUUUGUUCCCAAGGAAUCAUGCACUGCUUUCCAAAAGUGAGAUGUGAAUUGAGUACCCCUAUCUGACACAAUCUUCUUAGGUACUCCAUGCAAACAAACAAUUCUCUCCAUAUACAGCUCAGCUAGGCGUUCUCCGGUGUACUUAGUCUUGACAGGUAUGAAAUGAGCAACCUUAGUCAAACGAUCUACUAUCACCCAUAUUGAGUCAUACCCUCUCUGUGUAUGUGGUAAACCCACAAUAAAAUCCAUACCCACUUCUUCCCACUUCCAUUCCGAAAUCUUCAUUGGUUGCAACAGUCCAGCUAGCCUCUGAUGUUCAGCUUUCACUCGCUGACAAGUAUCACAUAUAGCAACAUACUCAGCCACAUCUCUCUUUAAACCAUACCACCAAUACUUCUGUUUCAGAUCUAGAUACAUCUUAGUGCUACCAGGGUGAAUGGAAUACGCUGACUCAUGAGCCUCUCUCAGAAUCAUAUCACGAAUAGCCUUCACUUCAGGAACACAUAUCCUUUUUCCAAACCACAGUACACCAUUGUCAUCUAUUCUGAAUCCUGGUGCUUUGCCUAGUACCACAUUCUGUGCUAUCUCCUUUAGUUUCUCAUCUUCCAACUGUCCUUUCAAUAUCUCUUCUUCUAGAGUAGGAGUGACCUCAAUUUCCAUAGCAUUGACUACAAUUCCCAAGUUCAAAUAUGCAAAUUCAGCACACAACUCCUCAGAUUCAGGUGUCGCCUGAAGCUCAUUAGCAUAUUUCUUUCUGCUAAGUGCAUUAGCUACGACAUUCGCCUUUCCAGGAUGAUAAUGCACUUCCAAAUCAUAAUCCUUUAUCAAUUUCAACCAUCUUCGUUGCCUCAAGUUCAGAUCUGUCUGUGUGAAGAUAUACUUUAAACUCUUAUGAUCAGUAUAUAUGUCACUCAUAUGCCCAAUCAAAUAGUGUCUCCAAAUCUUCAAUGCAUGGACCAUGGCUGCUAACUCUAGAUCAUGAGUAGGAUAAUUCAGUUCAUGUUUCCUCAACUGUCUAGAUGCAUAAGCAACAACUCUACCUUCUUGCAUAAGAACACAACCCAAACCCAGAUGAGAAGCAUCACAGUAGAUAGAGAAACUCUUACUCAGAUCUGGCAAUACUAACACAGGUGCAGUAGUCAAUCUCUUCUUAAACUCCUCAAAACUAGCUUGACACUUAUCAGACCAUACAAACUUAGCAUUCUUCUCCAACAGAGCAGUCAUAGGCUUUGCAAGUUUUGAAAACCCUUCAAUGAAUCUACGAUAGUAACCAGCUAAACCAAGAAAACUGCGAAUUUCACUUACAUGUGUAGGUGGUUUCCAAUUCAGCACAUCUUUCACCUUACUAGGUUCCACUGCAAUACCACCAUUAGAGACAACAUGGCCAAGAAAAGAAACUUCUUCCAACCAAAACUCACAUUUACUAUGCUUGGCAUACAACUUAUGUUCUCUAAGUUUUUGUAAGACCAAUCUCAGAUGUUCAGCAUGUUCUUCCUUGGUUUUAGAGAAUACCAGAAUAUCAUCAAUAAAGACCACCACAAACUUAUCAAGAUACUCCAUAAAUACUUUAUUCAUCAUGUACAUAAAGUAAGCUGGUCCAUUGGUCAAACCAAAAGACAUAACUGUGUACUCAUACAACCCAUACCUUGUUGUGAAAGCUGUCUUUGGUAUAUCUGAAUUCUGAAUCUUCAAUUGAUGAUAACCAGAACGCAAAUCAUCUUAGAGAACACACAAGCACCUCUUAGCUGAUCAAAUAAGUCAUCAAUUCUAGGCAAUGGGUAUUUAUUCUUGAUAGUGACCUCAUUAAGUGACCAAUAAUCAACACACAUCCUCUGACUACCAUCCUUCUUAUCAACAAAGAUAACUGGUGCACCCCAUGGUGAUGAACUAGGACGAAUGAACCCUUUAUCUUGCAAUUCCUUAAUUUGUUUCUUAAGUUCUUCUAGUUCAUUAACCCCCAUUCUAUAUGGUCUUUUAGCUAUGGGUGCAGUACCAGGUAGUAAUUCAAUAAUAAAUUCAAUGUCUCGGUCAGGUGGCAUACCUGGCAAUUCAUCUGGAAAGACAUCCGGAAACUCAUCCACUACUAGAUUCUGAGGAUCAACAUCAUCAUUCAGUAGGUUCACUUUAGCUGUGAGUGGUGCUUGCACUGUUACAUUAACACUGAUUCGUUCUCCCUUUGGUGUUGUCAGAGCCACUACUCCCUCUUUGCAAUUAAUAUUUGUCUCAUGUAGCUUCAUCCAAUCCAAACCCAAGAUCACAUCUAUGCCUGAAGUUCUCAUAACCAUGGGACUGAUAGGAAAAUCUACCCCCCUUAAAGAAAGGCUUGUUGAGGGGCAACAAAAAGAAACUGGUAUAGUCCCACUGGUGAAUUUACUAGCAUAGGGGUUUUCAUUGCAACUAGUGGAAUGCUAUGAACUCUAACAAAUGCUUGUGAUAUGAAUGUAUGCGAAGCUCCAGAAUCAAAUAAAACUGUAGCAGGGAUAGAGUUGAUGCUGAACGUACCCAUCAUAAUUUCUGGUCCCUCCUGAACUGUUUCUGCAGCCACAUUGUUCACCUUUGCUGAAUAAGGAGCGGAUCUCCGGUCGCUGGUCUGCGGAUUAAACUUCUUUGGGCAAUCGUAGGACAUAUGUCCUUCCUUCCCACAACGAAAACACCUGGUAGGAGUGUUAGAAGCACUUCUUUUCAUGGAGGUAGCAUUUGAAUUCCCUAAGUGGGGUGUCUGCUGACCAUGCUGCUGUUGAUUAUGGUUACGUUGUUGGAAUGGAGGAUGUUGGUUCCCACUCUAUGAUUGAUUCUGGAAACACUGAGGUUGCUGGUUGUGGUUCCACUGACUAACUGGUCCUUGGAACCUCUGCUGAUAGCCUUGAUGAGAGCUGAAACGCUGACGGUUGUUGCUUCCAGAACCUUGUGCCAGCAUCCUUCUCUUCUUAUCGUGACCCUUACGCAUAUUAUCAAGCACAAUAUCACGAUUCACAAGAGCUUGAAAGGUAGGAUAGUUGUUUCCAGCUAACUGCAACCUGAGCUUGUAGUAAAGACCUUUCAUGAAUAGACGCUGCUUAUCAGCAUCUUCCCUCACAUCGUUCGGAGCAUAGCCACCAUUGCCACGGCCUCUGCUUCUGCCUCUUCCCCUUGCUGCCAUCUGCAUUCCAAGGUAUAUAAACACAUCUUAGUAAUGUCCAACAUGACAAUUACAAGAGUUAACGGAAUCUGAAAUUUUCUGGGUAACAUCCAACAUCCGCAGUUCAGAAAACCAGUCAUAUCUCGAGUUCCAAAAUUCAAAAGGAUACAUGCUGUACACUGUUGGAAAUAUAAAGAAAUCGUCUACAACUUUCAUUUAGAUCAUACUAACAGAUUCGAACGUUAGAUUAAUCAAAAACUGGGUACAACCGAAACUGUUCCAGAAUUCCAGACUGCGCAGAAACCUCAACUUUAAACUGUCAUAACUCACAGCUCAUAAUAGAUAAUAUGAUCAUUCUUGCGGCAUUGGAAAUAUAUGAAAGUCUACUUGUUCCCAUAAAAAUUUGAUGAACAUUGCACGAACAGAAUUUGAUUUAUACCAGAAUCAUUGCAGACUGCUCCAGAAAAACAGCAAAAGACAGAAACAGGAUAUGACCCCAAACCACUAUUUAUUCAUGUUCUUACUUAAGGUUCUUAACUAGGGAACUUGUGGACAUGCCCACAAAGUUCCAGCACUCAUUACAAAAAUCCAAAUCACACAUAUUCAUAAUAACAAACCAAACAAAGCAUCAAAAGUUCACAUUUCAAGCAUUUACUCAACUUGCGGUACUAACGUUCUCUUCCUAUUAAGGGCAAAGAUCCUAAAACUCCUAUUUCAAUGAUGCCAGAAAGUGGUAAGACAAGGUUCUAAAAGCAUAUCAAGCAAGGAGUGGGGAUGAGAACAAAUCUUUAAAAUAAGCAUCAAGGUGAAGAUGAAUAGCAAUGAAAAGGAUAUAGUAUAUAGGAGAAGAUAUCAAGGUUUACAGAGCAAGGAUUUUAUAGCAAUUUCAAAACCUUAAGACGGCCAAUUUCUAAUUAGGCUUGCGUCCGACAAUCAACAAAGCUUUAAUACCAAUUUGUCACACCCAAAUUUUAAGAACAAAAUAGGAUGCAUAAAAGACUCAUAUGUGCCCCAGAAACAAUCACACACAUAAGUAGACAAAUCUCAAAUGUACCAUUGUAGUGUUUAUUACAUAGCGGAACAUAAUAAAUCACAUAGUCUUACACAAAAAUAAUAGCAUAAAGUAAACAACGCUCUCGACGGAAGCUCCACACAGGGACACUGUUGACUGGUUGACUCCAAACCUAAUACUCAUAGCAAUAGUCCUCAUUCCAAUCAUCAUCAUUAGCAUAACCUGGGGUGUUGGGAAAUUGCAAGAGUGAGCACAUAUCGUACUCAACAAGUAUAACCAGGGGUUCACGAGGCUCAAAAAGCUGACACUGGUUUGACUGCAAUUAGCUUUUAAUAGUGGAUAGCAUGUUCAUAAUUAAUAGCAAAUGUCAAGGUAGCAUAAAUAAUCCAUUAAUCUCAUGAUCAAGUGUAAGCAUAAUUAAUCUCAUAGCAUAAACAAUAAUCAAAUGAACAUAAUAUCAUAACAAGCUCAUCAUCUUAAUGUAGAUGUCCCUAUGGCCGCUUCUAACCGUGAGCUCGGCUAGUAUAUUAGUUUUAACACUCUGCAGAGGUUGUACAUCUUUACCCAUGAGUCAUGAUUUACCCUUUGGCCCGAGGUAGCUAAUCUCUUAACCCCCUUCCUAGGGAGGUCGGCAGGGAUCACUAAGAAGCCUUUCAAAAGUUCAUCUGAUAUGUUAGGGCUGCAAGGUUUCCUUUGCGAGCAGAUAUAGAUACCCUCCUUCCGAAUGGCACAAUGACGUGUAGUCUAUACACAUAGGGACAGGGGAUCACACUAUACCCGUGUCGGUUUAGCCCCUCUGCCCUUUUGGGUAACCUCUAACAAGCUAGAAAAGGUCUCCAUACUGAGCUAAAGCCAGAGCCAUUAUAGCCCUCAUUGUUGCACUAUUAUCCCGGAUGAUCACGUACAGACAAGAUCUCAUACAGUUAUUUGUCAUUCUUUUAUGUUCAUUGCAUAGCUAUUAAUCAUCUUAUAAGAUCAUGGAUUAUAUCAAGCACUAGCACAUCUACACCAAAUGAAUAUCAAGUAGGUAGCAAGGAAUCCAGGUAACAAUCAUCUAUGAUUUUGAUAAGGUCGACAAGGUGAAAGCAUGCAUAUGAUAUAUAUGUGUAUUUAUAAGUGAAUAGGUAACAAGGAUGAUCCCAAGUUAUACUUGCCUUGAUCAAAGCUCUCCUGAGCCUGCUGGUCCUCAUACGGCUCACCGUCUAUUCCCAAACAUCAAUCAACAACACGAAUCCAAUGGAGACAAUCAUACACAAAGCAAACAAGAUAUAAUUAGAACAUUACACCAAACAGUGGUAAAACAAGUAUAAAAGUUUACGAAAAUAUUUUUUGCAGAGCUACGAUCACACAAACGUAAAGUUCACGAAACUCGGAAUUAAAACGUAGAAGUUAUGAAUUUUCUAAGAUUUCCUAUAGAGAAAUAAUUAAUUAAAUGCUACUGCAGAACUAAAAAGUUUCAAAACAGAGAAUAAAUACUUCUAACAUGUAGAUCUCAUAAAUACAAAUCUAACAAAAUUUGAAUGGACAAAAAUAGAGUCAAAAUGAAUAUUUUAUGAGCAUUAUAAAAUCGAUGGCAAAACUGUAAAUAUCUGAAAACGUAAACUGAAUUGAACCAGACAGGAAUACACUUUUAAACUUAGAAAACGUAAUCUCUUCCAGGGCGCCAGGGACCGCGGGGUAAUUAGAGAAAGUUUCCAGGGACUCUUUAUAAAGUUUACAGCCGAAAGGGUAUCUUCUUUUGGAGAUCGUUGGAUCGCCAUCCGACGGCCCCGAACAAACCAGGGGGUCUCCAGGCGGCGGCCGGCCGCUGGCUGUCAGCUCCGGCGCGGUGGCGCCAUGGCCGGAGCCCUUGAAGUUCACCGGCGCCACUAAUCUCCCAAUUUCGGUCACUAGGGAACAAAAGAAAAACGCCGGGCGGAAGAGAAGCUCACCCCGAGCUCACCUACGGGAUCUGCUCGGCCUGGGAAGGAGCAGAGAGGGUUGGCGAGCUCCAAGCUCUCGGCGAGAUCGCAACCUAGAAGAAAACGGUGGCUAGGGUUGCUAAAUCGCGCGGAGAUACAAAGGGGAAGCUGUAGGGUUGGGGAAGACAUUUUAAAGGGCUCGGUUGACGCAUUAGGCAAGGAAUAUCCCGCGGAUUUCGGGAUCGAGUCGGUCGGGGGAAAGAAAUCCCUCUCGGGCACGCGCGAGGAAGGAGAUGGCGGCGCUGCUUGGCGGGUCCCGCAUGUCAGCGGCAAGGGGGAGGGGGCCCGGCUGCCAGUGGCCAAGAGAAAGGGGGGAAGACGCGCGGCUGCUCGGCUUGGGCCACGGCUUGCUGGGCUGCGGUGGAAAAGAAAGCCAGCGGGGUGGGGGAAGGGACUGGGCCGUGGGGAGCCAGUGGGCUGCAGGGGCCGAUUUCUAGGGGCUUCUCCCCUUUUUCUUUCCUUUUUAUUUCCUUUUACCAAACUUUUCAAAAUAGAAAUUUUUGAACAUAAACAAAUAAGAUAAAAGCAGAAACAAACAACACAAAAAUAAAUGCUAUUCUCAGCAUGAAUGCAAAAGCAUGUUUCUAGCCUUAUGAUGAAUUUUAUGCUCCACAAAAUAAUUUAUUUGCUAGGUUUAAAUGCUCACAAAAAUACUUAAAUAAAUCAAAUUAAUUCCUAUUAAUGGAAAUCAAAUUUUUGGGUGUUACAGUAAUCUGAGCUGCCCUCAUGAAGUAUGCUCGGGUGAGUGCUAGGAAUAUCCCUCCAGCUGGAUAGGAAUCGAUUCGAAUCGUCGUCUCUCCCGAAUAGUGAGAGCUUGACUCGAGCAGCGGCAACGUAGAACUCACUAAAUGAACUUAAUGGUUAUGAUGAGAAUGUUGAUAGCUAUGUGAUAAUCCGGAUAUGGUUAUUAUUGUGAUGCUUAAAUACUCAAGUGUAUGCUUAGAACAGGUGCUAAUCUAGUGGAUAGUUUUUAAGUAAUGAACCUGCUGCUGAGAUGUUAUAAAUGGGUUACUUACAACUAAAGCUUUUAUGCAAAAUGUGAGUCAAACCAGUCCACAAAUAUUAGCCUAGCAUACUCCUUGGUGUCACUUUAUUUCUGGUUUAUGACGGGUAAGUCUAGCUGAGUACAUUCUCGUACUCAGGGUUUUAUUUACCCUUGUUGCAGAUGAUGUCGUUUACCACGGCUACUGUACUAUCUGUCAUCAUCCGGUUGCGGACGAUGAGUAGAUCAUGGGCAUGAUCACCUCUAUUACCUUCAGUUGAGCUUUUGUUGGGUUGACUAUGGAUCUGGCAUGUAAUUAAACUGAAUGUGUGUGUUGGUUUCAAAACUACUUUGCUUCCGCUACUAAACUAGUUUGUAAUAACUUUGUUUAAACUCUGAUGUGCUGUAAAACUAUGUUCUGUGAUGAAUGUAUGUAAUCUGUGAUGGCGAUGCCUGAUCAUGUACGAUCUUAGUUGUAUGUUGGUUGAAUCGAGGUCUUUUGAGAUUUUGUCGGACUACCGGGUUUAUAUGGGUUCAAGUCCAUUGGCUUAACUGCUUUGUGGUCACUAAUUCACUUGAAUUCUUAUAAAUUGGACGGUUCUGUUACAUUAUCGGUCACUGAAUGAGGUCACUAUCAAGAAUUAGUAUCCAUUGCCUAGGAUUGAUGACUUAUUUGAUCAGUUAAGGGGUGCAUGUGUGUUCUCUAAGAUUGAUCUUCAUUCUGGUUAUCAUCAGUUGAAGAUCCGUAAUUCAGAUAUACCAAAAACAGCUUUCACAACAAGGUAUGGGUUGUAUGAGUAUACAGUUAUGUCUUUUGGUUUGACCAAUGCACCAGCUUACUUUAUGUACAUGAUGAAUAAAGUAUUUAUGGAGUAUCUUGAUAAGUUUGUGGUGGUCUUUAUUGAUGAUAUUCUGGUAUUCUCUAAAACAAAGGAAGAACAUGCUGAACAUCUAAGAUCGGUCUUACAGAAGCUUAGGCAACAUAAGUUGUAUGCUAAGCGUAGUAAAUGUGAGGUUUGGUUGGAAGAAGUUUCUUUUCUUGGUCAUGUUGUCUCAAAUGGUGGUAUUGCAGUGGAUCCUAGUAAGGUGAAAGAUGUGCUAAAUUGGAAGCCACCUACAGAUGUAAGUGAAAUCCAUAGCUUUCUUAGUUUGGCUGGUUAUUAUCGUAGAUUCAUCGAAGGAUUCUCAAAACUUGCAAAGCCUAUGACUGCUCUAUUAGAGAAGAAUGCUACGUUUGUAUGGUCUGAUCAGUGUCAAGCUAGUUUUGAAGAAUUUAAGAAGAGAUUGACUACUGCACCUGUGUUGGUAUUCCCAGAUCUGAGUAAGAGCUUCUCCAUUUAUUGUGAUGCUUCUCGUCUGGGCUUGGGUUGUGUUCUUAUGAAAAAAGGUAGAGUUGUAGCUUAUGCAUCUAGACAAUUGAGAAAACAUGAACUGAAUUAUCCCACUAAUGAUUUGGAGUUAGCAGCUGUGGUUCAUGCACUCAAGAUUUGGAGACACUAUUUGAUUGGGCAUAAGAGUGAUAUAUAUACUGAUCAUAAGAGUUUGAAAUAUAUUUUCACCCAGGCAGAUCUGAAUUUGAGGCAACGUAGAUGGUUGGAAUUGAUAAAGGAUUAUGAUUUGGAAGUGCACUACCAUCCUGGAAAAGCAAAUGUCGUGGCCGAUGCACUUAGUAGGAAGAAGUAUGCUAAUGAGCUUCGGGCGACACCAGAGUCUGUUGAGUUGUGUGCUGAAUUUGCUCAUUUGAAUCUAGGCAUUGUUGUUAAUGCUAUGGAAAUAGAAGUGACUCCUACCUUAGAGAAGGAGAUAUUGAAAGGUCAGCUAGAGGAUGAGAAACUGAAGGAGAUAGCUCAGAAUGUGGUGUUAGGAAAGGCACCAGGAUUCAAAAUAGAUGACAAUGGUACACUUUGGUUUGGGAAUAGGAUAUGUGUUCCUGAAGUAAAGGCUAUUCGUGAUAUGAUUCUGCAAGAGGCCCAUGAAUCAGCUUACUCCAUUCACCCUGGUAGUACUAAGAUGUAUCUAGAUCUUAGGAGAAAUAUUAGUGGUAUGGGUUAAAGAGAGAUGUAGCUGAAUAUGUUGCUUUGUGUGAUACUUGUCGGCGAGUGAAAGCUGAACACCAGAGGCCAGCUGGACUAUUGCAACCAAUGAAGAUCCCUAAAUGGAAGUGGGAAGAAGUAGGCAUGGACUUCAUAGUGGGUUUGCCUCGUACACAGAGUGGAUAUGAUUCAAUAUGGGUAAUAGUGGAUCGAUUGACUAAAGUUACUCACUUCUUGCCCGUCAAAACCACUAAUUCAGGAGCUUGAUUAGCAGAGUUGUAUAUGAAGAGGAUAGUAUGUUUGCAUGGAGUGCCUAAGAAGAUUGUAUUUGAUAGAGGAACUCAGUUCACCUCUACUUUUUGGAAGAAAGUGCAUGAUUCCUUGGGUACAAAACUGAAUUUUAGUACAACUUAUCAUCCUCAGUCAAAUGGACAGACAGAAAGGAUAAAUCAGAUACUAGAAGAUAUGUUGAGAGCUUGUGCUUUGCAGUAUGGAACCAGUUGGGAUAAGAGUUUGCCGUAUGCGGAGUUUUCCUACAACAAUAGUUAUCAGCAAAGUCUUAAAAUGGCACCAUUUGAGGCAUUAUAUGGUCGUAAAUGUAGAACAACUUUGUUUUGGAAUCAAACCGAAGAGACUCAAGUGUUUGGUCCAAAUGUGCUGAGACAUGCAGAACAACAAGUAUGGAUCAUUCAGGAUAAUAUGAGAGUUGCUCAGUCUCAUCAGAAAAGCUAUGCAGAUACACGUAGGAGAGAACUAGCUUUCGAGGAAGGUGAUUAUGUCUAUCUAAAAGUGUCACCCAUGAGGAGUGUAAAGAGGUUUAAUGUGAAAGGGAAGCUAGCUCCAAGGUAUGUUGGUCUGUUUAAAGUUUUGCAAAGGUGUGGAGAAGUGGCUUAUCAGUUGGAAUUUCCUGAAAGUCUAUCUGGUGUGCAUGAUGUGUUCCAUGUGUCACAACUUAAGAAGUGUUUGUGUGUACUUGAGCAGAUACCUUUAGAAGAGCUUUCUAUUAAAGGUGACCUCACUUAUGAAGAGUAUCCAGUUAAGAUUUUGAAAAUAGCUGAGCAAGUUACUAGAAGUCGGGUUAUUAGAAUGUGCAAAGUGCAAUGGAAUCGAUAUUCAGAAGCAGAAGCAACUUGGGAAAGAGAGGAUGAUCUCAGGAAAUCAUAUUCAUAUUUGUUCGAGUAAGCACUGCUCAAUCUCGAGGACGAGAUUCUUUUAAGGGGGGUAGAGUUUGUAACACCCAAAAUUUGAUUUCCAAUUAAUAGGAUUUAGUUUGAUUUAUUUGAAUAUUUUUGUGAUCAUUUAAAUUAGUAAAUAAAUAAAUUUUGUUGAAAAUAAAAUCCAACAUAGGGAUAGAAACAUGUUGGUGCAUUUCAUGCUGGAGCAUAUUUUAUUUUAUGCUUGUUGCUUUUGGUUUGAAAUUAAUUGCAUUCAAACUCCUAUUUAGAAAAGGUUUUGGGAAAAAGAAAGAAUAAAAAAAGAGAAUGCUCACCUGCACCCUCGGCCUGUUGGCCCAGAACCACUCAAGACGCCUCCUCAGCCCAGCCAGCCCCCUCUCCCCCUAUGCGCUCGGCCCUGCGAGUGGCCCAGCUCACCCCCGCGCACACCUCCCCCUCUCUCUCUCAAGCUGGUGAGCAGGCCCCACCCCUUCUUUCACCGCCAGCCGAGUCCCACGCGUCAGCUCUCUCCCACCUUUCCUUCCUUCUUCUCUACGCGUCGUGUCCGAGCCGGACGCGGUCGAAAAUUUGACUCGAUUUCCUGAGAUUCCCUGCCAACCAUGCAAACCGAUUCCUCUACAAGGCCGUGACUCUUCUCCGCAAUCUCCUCCUCGUUUUCAAUCCUCUAAAUCGAGCCCCAGCUGCACUCGCGUCGCCGUCGGAUCUUGCAGGCUGGCCAGAGUCGCCGCUGCGGUGGAGGGCCUUGUUCUCUGCGGUUUUCAUGAAAUCAAGACCCUACCGGGCUUCUCGUCAAGGUUGCGCGGCUCCCCAAGACUCCACCUCUCUUUUUCUCCCUCUCUACGUUGCUCUAAAUGUUGCUGAACCUCGCAGGGGAGCUCUCGUCCGCCGCUACACGCUGCACGGCAUCUCCAGUCGAUUUGCGACCCCAAAACGUCCCUAGGUGAGUUCGCAUUGGUUCCCUCUUGCUCCCCAUACUUUUGGAUCCGAGUUUGGUGAACCGUAGAGUGUUUUCCGUCAACACCGGUGAGGUUCCGGCCAUGGAACCGCUGCCGGAGACACUGUUCCGGCCGGCAGCUGCCCCUUCUCUCCCCAGCUCUAAUCUGCGCCAUCCAAUCUAAGAUCAACGGCUCCCAAUCAAAGAUACCCUUUCGGCUAGCAUAAUUUCUAAAGAUCCCCUCCCCUUUUUUAUAAUAGAACCCGCAGUCCCUAGCGUAUUCCACUGAAUAUGUUUUCUCAACUUUAAAUACGUAUUUUCGUCGGUUAAAAGCAAAAUACAUUUUCUGCUACUUACAAGUUUGCCACUGAUUGUAUAAUGCUCAUAAAAUACUCAUUUUAAAUCCAAUUUGGUCCAUUCAAAUUGCGUUAGGUUCAUAUUUACGAGCUCUACAUGUUAGAAGUAUUAUUUCACUAUUUUGAAACUUUUUAAUUUCGUGAUACUAUUUAAUUAAUUAUUAUUCUAUAGGAAAUCUUAGAAAAAAUCAUAACUUCUCCGUUUUAAUUCCCAUUUUCGUGAACUUUACGUUUGUGUGAUCGUAGCGCUGCGUAGAAUAUUUUUAUAAACUUUUAUAUUUGUUUUAUCGUUGUUUGGUGUAUUGUUCUAAUUAUAGUUUGUUUGCUUUGUGUAUGAUUGUCCAUUGGAAUGUGUGUUGUUGAUUGAUGAUCGAGUAUAGACGGUAAGCAAUACGUUGGUGACCAAGGGCAAUCUUUUGACGACCAGCAGCAGGAGUUUCAGGAAAGCUUUGAUCAAGGCAAGUAUAACUUGGGACUAUCCUUGUUACCUACACACUUAUAAUUAUACAUAUAUCAUAUGCAUGUGUCCACAUUGAUGACCUUAGCAAAAUCAUAGAUGCUUGUUAUCUGAAUUACUUGUUACCUAUUUGGAUAUGCAUUUGGGUAGUUCUUGCUAGUGCUUGAUUAUAAUCCAUGAUGUUGUAACAUGAAUAUUUGGAUAUACAAUAAACAAUAAAAUAAGCUUUCUAGCAACUUGAACAUAAAGGGUGGAAAGAACUCUAGCUUUUUCUAGAUUGAUCUUGACCCUCCAUAAGGACUUAUCCCUUGGCAAAAGCUGGGACAACUCGUACAAACCAUGAGGGCUAUAUGGCUCUGGCUUUAGCUCGGUAUCAACACCUUAUCUAGCAUGUUAGAGGUUACCUGAAAGUGCACUAGAGGGGCUUGCCGUUUUGGGUAUAGUGUGGCCUCUGUCCUUAUGUGUAUAGGCUGCGAGUCAUUGUGCCAUUUGGAAGGGGGCUCUAUAUCUGCGCGCUCGGGAAACCUUGUGGCCCUAACUUGAUAGAUGAACUUUUGAAAGGCUUCAUAGUGAUCCCUGCCGACCUCCCUAGGAAGGGGGUUAAGAGACUCGCGACCUCGGGCGAAAGGGUAAAUCAUGACUCAUGGGUAAAGAUGUACAACCUCUAUAGAGUGUUAAAUCCAGUAUACUAGCCAUGCCCACGGAUACGGGCGGCCCGAAAAACUAACGGAAUAGAUGGACACUGAUAAACAUGAUUAAUGAUGAUAAAUGAUGACUUAUUAUUAUGUUUAUAUGUGUUAUUCUUAAUUCUUGUAUACAUUGAUCAUGUGGUUAUGGGAGUUAAUUAUGCUACCUUGACAUUUGCUAUCUAAAUAUGAACAUGCUAUCUACAUAUAAAAGCUAAAUGCAGUCAAACCAGUGUGAGCUAAUUGAGCCUCAUGAACCCCUGGUUAUACUUGUUGAGUAUGAUAUGUGCUCACUCUUGCUAUUCCACAACACCUCAGGAUAUUCUAAUGAAGAUGACCGAAAUGAGGACUACCGUUAUGAGUACUAGGCUUGGAGUCAACCAGUUGAUUGUGUCCCUGUGUGGUGCUUCCGUCGAGAGUAUCUUUAUUUGUUUGGGAUUAUGUAAUAAACACUGUAAUGGUACAUUUGAGAUUUGUCUACUUAUGUGUGCAACUGUUUCUGGGGCACAUAUGAGUCUUUUAUGCAUCCUAUUUUGUUCUUAAAAUAUGGGUGUGACACUCAAUCUAAUACCAUAUUCUACAUUCAGAAAGCUCGGUAAAAAGGCAGAAGAUUUAUGCCCUACGAUAUGUGGUUGACAUAUUUUAGUGGAAAUAUUUUAGUGACCAAGGGUGUUGUAUGUGUUGAACUAACAGUUGGUAGUAAGAGCUUGCCUACUACUUUCUUUGUAGUUGAUGCUAAAAGAACAUACAAUAUACUUCUUGCCAUCUACUAUGAACCAAAGUUUUAUUCAAUGGGUUGGAGAUAAUGUGGAAGUUGUGCUAGCUGACUCUUCUGUUAGUACUUCUUAUGCUGAGGCAGAUGAGUGUAAUUUUGAAGGCAUGGAAUGUUUUUAUAGGAAGAUAUAUGAAGGAGACAUCAUCAAGGUAUUUGAAGAUGGUCAACAGCUGAUACAAGCAGUUGGCUCUCAAAGUUUCAAUUAAUGGAUUCUUUAGUCGAUGAAGACGAAGGCAAGAUGGGCGAAGGAUUUAUGUUGGCCAAUGAGUUCGAGGCAGUAGACACAGGUGAUGGUGACAAACCUAGGCCAACAUAUGUUAGUGCUAAGUUGGAUCUUGAGUAUAAGCAGGAGUUAAUAACUUUACUAAAAGAAUACAAAGAUUGUUUUGCUUGGGAAUAUUUUGAAAUGUCUGGUCUUGAUAGAAAGUUAGUUGAGCAUUGACUACCAAUUAAACCUAGAUAUUGGCCUUUCAAGCAAGCUCAGAAGAAUCAAACUAGAAGUUAUUGCUGAUGUCAAGGUAGAAAUCACCGGAUUAUAUAAAGCAAAAUUUAUUCGGCAAUGUCGGUAUGCUGAAUGGAUUUCUACUGUGGUUCCUGUGUAUAAGAAAAAUGGUAAAGUAAGGAUCUGUAUUGACUUCAGAGAUUUAAAUAAGGCCACUCCCAUAAAUAGUUAUCCAAUGCCUAUUGCUGAUAUGUUAGUUGAUGAUGUAGCAGGACAUAAAGUGAUUAGUUUUAUGGAUGGUAAUGCUGGGUAUAACCAGAUAUUUAUGAUAGAGGAAGAUAUUCUUAAAACUGCACACGCAAUCUUUGGAAGAUAUAUAUAAAAAGAAAACAUAAGCAUAGAUAGAUUAUCUUUCCAUUAGGUUGAGCGAUCUGAUCUGACAAAUGAUUUAAAUACUACACUCAUGAUCUUAUUAUCCAUCAACUUUGUCUUGCUCACUAUGCUUAAGGUUAGAGAAGAACAAAUACACUUUUGGUUUUGUUGGUGUUUUCCACCAAUAGGGCCCAUGCACUUGAUCUCUGCCUUGUCUUUAUGAGCAGGUACACUUCGAGCAAAAUAUGGAGGAGUUUUACAACUCCCAGACUCCAUCAAGUGAAGAACCUGGAUCUACGAGCACAAACACACUGGAGAUACUGGACACUCAGGCAAUCACUGCCCUGAGAUGCUUGAGGACGUAACUACUGGAGUAACCCCGUUGUAGAAGUAAUUACUGACCUUCUGCCGGUGAAGAGAGACAACCCAGGACGCCCUGUCAUCCCGAUCUCCAUUGGCAUGGUGGACUUCCUAGAAGCACUCUGCGACUUUGGCUCCAGCGUCAACUUUAUGCCCAGGGGAGGCCAUUCCUAAAUACCCCAGGAGCUGUCAUCUACGCUAGUGCUGCCAAGAUCAGUUUCUACAUCAAGGGAAGGAAGGAGACAUUUUCCUUCAAGAACAAGACUACACAAAUCUCAGAGCAAUCCCGACAUGAACCAAGGAAGAGGACCAACAUGAGGAACAGGAACAAGCAACUGUGGACCGAGUCAGCUAAGAUGGUCACUACAGUUCAAGGAGGUCAAGAUCGUCGACUUAAGUCACCGUUCCUGACCAAAAAGGACGACCCAAGUAUGCCAAGCAUCCAGUGCUCCAUUAAUGGAUACAACUUCCAGAAGAUGUUUUGCAACACCGGGUCAGGCGUCAACAUAAUGGCCGCAGCCACCUAGUAGCUCCUGUUCGGAACCAUGCCUCUAAAACCAACAUACAUUCAGCUACAAAUGGCAGAUCAGACAUUCUGAAAGAUUGAGGGUUAUUGACAUGGGAGAAGACGAGUACGAUCCACCCAUCAUCCUUGGAAGACUGUUCCUCAGCACCGUUAAAGCAAUCAUCAACAUUGGAACCGGAGAAGUCCACAUGCACUUCCCCUCUGAGAGGGUACACCGCUAUUUUACUAACCAUAACUAUAUAGUUGAAGAAUCUAAGCAGGUCAGGACAAGAAGAUGACGAUGCAAUCGCAACCAGAGGAGGCAAAUCAUCAAGGACGGAUGGGCAGACUACGAAGGAGAAGUGAUAAGGUCUGAAGACAUACAGCUUGAAUAGUACUGUCCUGAGGAGACCGUAGCACCGAGUCAGGUGUGUAGAAAGAAGAUAGUUAUACACGAAGAGCAGGCUCCGCCGGAACCACUGACUACGCCAUCCAGCGAAUCCCAGGACGACUAAGAAAACGGAGAGUCCCGUUCGGAGGACUUAAAAACACCGAACGCCUUGCCAAGAGGUAAACUUGGUAGUUAUCUUUUUCAUUUUAAUUAUUUAAAAUAGUUUGCUUAGUUAAUCAGGUUCAUAUCAUCUCGAAAAGAAAAUAAAAAUGUUAAAAAUAGUAAGCCCCAUGUGGGUAUGCUCAUGGCAUAAAACCCAUAAGUACAUUCACUGUGGUGGCGUAAAAAUAAAAUAAAUAUAUUCCUGUCCUAUAAAAAUAAAAUUAUAAAAAUAAAUUUAUGAUCCUACUAAAGAGGGUAACAUUUAUUGAGGAGGCUCAACAUGAUAAAGGCUAGAUAUUUAUGCUAACACUUAACUAGUUCCACAAAGCUUUGUUGUCUAUUUGAGCUCCACAGAAUUCAAGGAUCAAAGAAGACUAGCAGACGGAGGACAACCUAAUCGCUGUCAGAGUGCUGCCGACAUUCAAAUACACCUCCGUCACCUGCUAGCUACAUCAGAAGAAAUUGCGUCGAAAUCUAGUUGGGGGAGAGCACCCCCAUUUAUCCAGCUAAUUAUUCUACUCACAUUUAUACUUUACUCUAAUAAUAAAAUGAUGCAUAAUCAUAAGAACCCAAAUAAAGAUUUUGUGCUUAUAUAUAUAUAUAUAUCUUUGCAUAGUUUGCUAAAUAAUAAAUAAAUAAAUAAAGUUUGCUAUGAACCCUCAUGAUAAGCUCUCACAUGGAAAUGAUGAAUAGUUGCUCUGCUAUGACUAGUUCUCAAAUUGAAAUCUCUCUCAAGUUUAGGCAUGAAUGUUAUUAAUUAAUAUUUGCUCUAAACCUGAACUUAUGGGAAGAGUACUGGAUCUAAAGUCUAAGUUGUUAAUGGAUAUGAUAUGGGAAGGUUGAGCUAUUGUUUAUCUGUUCCUAGAGAUGCUAGAAUUCUGGAGAAUUUUAUCUUUGAAAAUCUUUAAAAUAUCACAUGAUGAGUUCAUGUAUGAUGAGAGUUUAAAAUCCUACCACAGCCAUAUAUACAUGCUUAUUAGACUAUGAACCACACAUUUGCUUUUUACUGCUUAUAAGCAUUGAGUGUGGUCAAGCUGUGUAGACCCUUAGGAGCUUGUCAUGUGGUUAAAUCAAGAUUCGCUUGCACGUUCACUCACACAUGCUGCUUCUACUCCGGAAGUACGCAUCCACAUAUAUCCACCCAUUUCCAUCUCUAGAACCAUCCACAAAUAUUCUACUCCUAAUCCGGGAGAGAAUAGCUAAAAACAUUUUUGUUUUCCCCUGUGAAAUAAAUGCUCCAGUUAUCUUGGUUACUACCACUUGCUACAUUAUUUCAAGAGAUGAGUGCUCUCUAAAAAAAGAGAAGAGAGAAAAAAAGAUACGAGGAAAUAAAAAGGGGCAAGUGCCCGGAACCUCGAAAGAAAAGAAAAAGUGAGACGAGAGGUAAAAAUGGACAAGUGUCCGACAGUAGAAUUAGGGGUACAAGAUACCCACCUGAGAGAAAAGAAAAAAAAAUGUAGAGCAUCUCAUUCUCCUCAAAAAGUUUCAAAAGAGCAAGAAAGGUAUGUAUCCCCUAAAAAGAGCACAAGUAGAAUUAGACUUUCACCAUUGUUAUCACCAUCAUCACCAUACACCAUUCAUUCGCCACACAUGCACAUCUUGAUUUGACUUAUUGACUUGUUUCUUCUGGAUCCAUGGUUUGACUAUGCAAUAAAUGUCUUGUAAGUAUGUAUUAGCUGUCUCCCACCUAUGAGCUCCAGAUAUCAAAACCUUAUUAGAGUAGGGUG